AAAAAAGUUUGUCGUGCCCUCUACUUUUGUCUUGGCUUUUUAUCAAACAUCACAGCAUGUCCUGUUUGCGGUGGUCUUGGCUUGCAUUGUAUGUUCUUUUCUAACUUUAUUGGUUGUCUCUUAUGGACAUGUGUGUAGUAGUGAGUGUGUUGCGUGAGUGAGUGUAUAUAUGAUCAUCAAUUUCAAUAAAACGUGCAUGAUAUAUGAUAAUUUUUCAGCUUAUUGAAUAAUUAUUUCGUAGUCUUGACUUCCUUUCCCUAUUUUUUGUUCCUUUUUCUUCUCAAAUUUAAUUUUUUGUUCCUUUUUCUUCCUUUCCCUGUCGGAUUACCAAUUCCUGGUAAUUGGUGCCUGUUAAAAUGGGUUGAAUUAAAGCUCUUGGCAUUUGGUAUAAGAUUUGGUUUAUCCGAUAGACUUCAGUUGUAAAGCUUACAGCAUGUCUUCUUGGAGGCUGUAUUUGAAUGUCCCAACAUGUUGAUAGGAUUUGGAUAGUCUUAAAUACCAGGGCAGCUUUCUUAGCAAAGGGAGAUUGAAAAGGCAUGAUCUAGGAGAAGCUUCUACUUUCUUAAGAGAAGCUUCUACUUUCUUAAGCCAUUGUUUAAGGGUUGUUUUUGCAGUAUUCGUUGGGGUCUAGUAGUUCCACAAUUGUUCCAAUUGUCCAUUCAGCUUAAAUUGCUGUGCAUUGUACUAAAAUUGCUUUACUUGUUUGAUUGGUCUGAAAGUUGAAGAAAAGUAUUAAAAUAAUUUCAUUUUAUUGCUAUGAGAAUAGUUGUUUCACUAUUUAUUUACUUUACAGAAGAUUCCUGACUAGUUUCCUUUAGACUUGACACUGGAAAAAUUGCAAUGGGUUAAGCUGUGAAAAAUUAUAUGCUUAGUGAACGCCAGCACAUUCUCCCAUCUUUUAACUAUCUGUGGACACUGUUGACAUAGUCUAAUCUGAAAUUUUUCUCCAUGCUUAAAUUGUAAUCGACACAUUAUUGUUUACUGAAUUUUACAGCUUGUCAUUUUCUGGAUGGUGAUGGUUUAUUUAUUUGUGUGUUUCUUGACAGAUCACAUGUGAAUUUAUUAAUGUGACUAGAUGGAAGAUUGCCAUAUGUGGCGAAUAUAUGAAGUCAAGACUAAAGGUACAGCCAAUUGUCUCAUUUUUCAGAGUUAUAAUUGUGCGGCUUACACACUUGCUUUUUUCUUUGCCAUUUUUCUUUUGAUAUGAAAUGAGUUUGUUUCUUUUCUUCUUUUCUUUACACUCUUAUUAUAUUCGUUGAGCAUAUUUUAACAGACAUGCUCUCGUGGAAUGGCUUGCAAUUUUAUCCACUGUUUCUGCAACCCUGGCGGAGACUAUGAAUGGGCUGAUUGGGAUAAACCACCUCCGAGAUAUUGGGUGAAAAAGAUGGCUGCUUUAUUUGGUUAUUCUGAUGAAUCUGGGACCUGGAAUCAAGAACGCUCAGGNNNNNNNNNNNNNNNNNNNNNNNNNNNNNNNNNNNNNNNNNNNNNNNNNNNNNNNNNNNNNNNNNNNNNNNNNNNNNNNNNNNNNNNNNNNNNNNNNNNNNNNNNNNNNNNNNNNNNNNNNNNNNNNNNNNNNNNNNNNNNNNNNNNNNNNNNNNNNNNNNNNNNNNNNNNNNNNNNNNNNNNNNNNNNNNNNCAAUAAAAAAAAUCUGCUGUACCGUACAUCCGCCUUGGCCGUACAGCAGUGUGGCGUAAUGACCAUGUUCCAAGCAUGGCAAGAAAAUAAUUAGAUUCAACAAGAAGCCUUUGGUGAUGUAGCAUUGCAAUCUUAUGUACAAGGGAUGAUGAUCCAAACUAUGAUCAAAUUUUCAUUAUUUAAUGUAUUUACUGCUGAUGUUAGAAAUCUUCUGGUUAUUUAUGAUUUUGUAAUUUCUUAUAUAGGCAUCAUUAUAGAAGGUCUAGAUCAAGGGAGGCUGAUCGUGUGAAAAGUGGUUCUGGCAGAAGCCAUGAUGAUGAACGUCAAGUUCAUGAAACAACUUGGAGUCGGAGGCGCUCCAAUUAUCACAGUGAAAGCAGAAGUGAUGAGGCUAAUUCUGAUGGAAGUUGGUCAGAUAUGGACAGAGACUAAUUUUAUGUAUUGAAUUUGGAUUAUUUAGUUAUGAGAGUAGGAUAUCUCAUAUUUUGGCUAUUGAAGUUCAAUUUGUAAUAUAUACUAAUAAUAUUUAAAUGUGAAAUGAAAGAUUUUGUGAUAUAAAUCAAUUUCUUUUUAUUAUUUUGUGGUGCUUUUAAUUUUACAAAUAAAUCAAUAGGCAAUGAUCCAAUUUAAUUUUUUAUUUUUUAAAAAAUAAAUUAACUAGUGAUACCAUGGUAACAAUAAUCAUAGACACUAAUAAAAUAUCAAUAACUACUAACACUAUGGUGUCAUAAUAUCGGUGAUACUGUAGUAAUAGUAAUCAUUGACACCACUUACAAGUGUCACUAUUUUUCUGACUCCCAGAUUACUGACACAAUUAACAAGUGUCAGUGAAAGUAAUUUCUGACACUAUUCUAAAGUCAGUAAAGACCAUUUUUCUAGUAGUGCUUGUAACUCUUUUUUACUAGUAAAAUAUUUCCUUUUGUUUUCGCCCGUGGAUUCUUUUUACUAGUAAAAUAUUUCCUUUUGUUUUCGCCCAUGGACGUAGGCUAAAAGCCGAACCAAGUAAUUUCUAGUGUUCUCUUUUGUGCUUGUUCUUUAUUUGUCUUCCAAUUUUAUUUUAGCUGCAUGUCUGCUUCACCCACCAAUUUCCUAACAUAUUAUUAUAAACGAAGAGCGUUAUUCCUAUUUAUGCUCUGCUUGUAACUUUUUUAAUUACCACUAUUAAAUCAUCGAGUUCAUGGCCAACGUAUACAAAAAGCAAAAAUUCUUGAAUUUGCAGCUAUUAAAGAUGCAUAUUGCUACAUUCCAUUUUCACUGUAACGUGGAGCAGCGGCAAAUAUCUAUUAACUCCCAAUAUUUUAAGGGAGCACGAUACGAGACCCGUGUGUUGAAAAAUUCAAAAUUGGAACUCAAAUAUAAGCAUUCAAAUUUGGUUAAUGCAUCAAUUGACCAUCUUGCAUACACAUGCAUGCAUUCAGCAUUGGAGAGGCAAAUUUCAAGAUAAAUUGCUAAGGUAGACACCUAAUUUCCAAUGUGCUCGAGGAAAUUAUGAGCCUUGCUGGAGGCUUUGACAUCUUUGACGUGUAUCCUUCACUCGAAUUUCUUAGUUCCAUAACAUGGGUCAAGGCUAGAGUAUUGAGCAUUCAUAAGAAGAUGGAUAAGAUUCUUGAAGAAAUUCUCAUAGAACAUAGGUUGCAAAGGAAUGGGAAUCAUGUCAAAGCUGAUGAUCAGGAAGAUAUUGUUGACAGUCUUUUAAGUUAUGAGGAGGAUAAUAAGAGUAAGUUUCAUCUCACAAUUAACUAGAUUAAAGCUAUCAUUUUGGUAAGUCCUUUACACUAAUGCCAUAAUUAUACAUAAUCGAGACAAUAACUAUAUAGACCAACAAGAUCAAUAUACUGUAAAAGACAAUAACUAUAUGGACUAACAAGAUCUAUGAAUUUCAGGACAUUUUCACUGCGGGGAGUGAGACUUCAGCAACAUCAAUUGAAUGGGAAAUGUCAUAACUAAUAAAGAACCAUGGAGUUAUGAAGAAGGCACAAGAAGAGGUAAGAAAGGCAUUCAAAGGAAAGAGCAAAAUCGAAGAGCCGGACAUCCAAAACCUAGAUUACUUGAAAGCAAUUAUCAAAGAAACUUUCAGGUUACACCCUCUAAUAAGCUUUCGGACAGAAGCUGUGAAUACAACUUGUUUAGUCAAUAGAAGCUUAUCAUCUACUAUUGGGUUUAAGACACCUAAAGAUAUAUGGUCAAGAAGGCCUGCAAAGUAUGAAAAUUUUAGUGAGGUCCUAUUUAUGUUCAUCUAAAAUCAAGGCAAGCUUGAUAUUAGAGCCUUGAAAAGGGUCUUUAUUGGAUACCCUAAUAGAGUUAAAGGGUAUAAGAUCUGGUGGGGAGAGCAAAAGAAGUGUAUUAUUAGUAGGGAUAUAGUGUUCCACAAAUCUAUAUUACUCAAAGAAAGUGUAACAACCAACUUUGAUGAAUACGCUGAUAAUAAUUUUGAAAUAGUAAUUGACAUUUCAAAGCUUAAGGUGGAGUUUUCUAAUGACAGAUAUCAUGAAAAAGAGGAAUAUGAUUAUAAGAAUGGAACAAAUGGUGGAGUUGAAGACAUUUCGCUACCAGAUUUGCAACUAUUUGACUUGCAGAACUAUCAAUUAGCUAAAGACAGAAUUAAAAGGCAAACUAAAGCAUUAGUGAAGUAUGGUUAUAUUGAUUUAAUUGCCUACCCAUUGUUAAGUGUUGAUGACAUUGAGGAGCCUAGAAGUUACUCUAAACCUAUUGAAAGUGAGGAUAACGUUAAAUGGUUUUUUUCUAUGCAAAAAGUGAUGGACUCCCUGCAAAGAAACCAUACCUAGACACUUGUACCAAACCCAGGCAAUAGAAAGCUAGUUAGUUGUAUGUGGAUAUUUAAGAAGAAUGAGGGAAUUCCAGGUAUUGAACCUUCAAGGUAUAAAGCAAAGCUUGUAGCUAGAGAGCUUACACAAAAAAGGGUGUGGAUUUGUUAACUUUGUUAGAUAUGGAGCUUGAACAAACGGAUGUUAAAACUAUCUUCCUUCAUGGUAAUCUUGAAAAAUAGAUACUAAUGGUUCAACCUGAAUGAUGUGAGUGCAAAGGAAAAGAAGGUCAUAUGUGUUUACUAUAUAAGUCCUUGCAUAGAAAUCUCCUAGAUAAUGGUAUGGAAGAUUUGAUGAGUUAUAAUCACAAAUUAAUACCACCAAAGCAAAUUUGAUAGUUGUGUUCAUUAUGGUGGCUCAGAUCAAGGUGGAGUUGUAUAUCUGCCUCUUUAUGUGGAUGAUAUGCUAAUUAUAGGCAAAGACAACUAUGAGAUACAUCAAUUAAAAAAAUUGUUAAAAGGAUAGUUUGAAAUGAAGAACCUUGGCAAUGCCAAAAAGAUCCUUGGCCUGGAAAUCUAAAAAAAUAGAGUUGCCAAUACCUUGUUUCUAAGUUAAGAAAAGUAUAUUAAGAAGGUUUUAGAGAGGUUUGAUAUGCAUGACUGCAAACAUGUUCUAACUCCUUUUGGUCCCCAAUUCAAGUUGUCAACAGCACAAUCCUGAAAGGCUGAAAAGCUACAGAUGAAUGAGAUACAAUAUGCACAAGCUGUAGAGAGCCUUAUAUAUGCAGUGGUCUGCGUUAGACUUGAUACAACCUGUUGUCAGCAGAUUUUUUAGUCGUCUAAGCAAAACUCAUUGAAGUGCAAUCAAAUGGAAAAUGAGAUAUCUCAAAGGUUCUUUUGCUUGUGGUUUGUUGUAUAGAAAGUGAUGCAAAUGAAGUUGCGGAUUAUGUGGAUUCUAAUUUUACUGGAGACUUGGAUAAAAGAAGGUCUAUUUAAGGGUAUAUGUUUAUGUUAAAUAUGUGCAUGAUAAGUUGGAAAGCAUCUCUAGAGCCAGCCAAUGGUGGCAUUAUCUUCAACUAAGGCUAAAUUUGUUAUAGCAACAAAGGUAGUUAAGGAGGCCGUGUCGAUUAAAGGUGUUCUCAAUGAACUUUAGUUGAAUCAGGAAACAAACCAAGAUUUAUGUGAUAAUCAAAGUGCCACUCAAUUGAUUAAAAAUCAGGUCUAUCAUCAGUAGUCCAAGCAUAUAGAUGUAAAGUUGCAGUUUAUCAGAGAUGAAAUUGUAAGGGGGAGCUGUGGCUGUGUGCAAGAUCCAUACAGAUGUAAAUCCUGCUAAUGCACUUACUAAAGUGCUUCCUACUGUAAAAUUUGAGUUAUAUAUAAACUUAAUGGGUGUUUUGCCCAAAUCAAACUAAAUUCAGGAGUGAAUUGUAAUUGAUUGAAGGGUUUUUAGAUAAUGCUUUGUUGAAGGGAUUAUCUGAAUCAAUUGCAAGGUGGAUAAUGUGAAGAUAUAAGCAUUUGAGUUUUUGGACUCAAAUGAAAAAUGAGAAGAACUUGUGGACAUUAUGCAUAUUGACUUUAGUUAAAGAUUUCUGUUUGAUAUUUUUUGCUUACGUGGCAGAUUUAGUUAUAAUUUGUUAAUGCGUUUCCAGUAUAAAUAGAAGCUGACAAGCAGAGCCUGAUAUGAGAGCUCUUUCUUCUUCGUCUGUUAACCAAAUUACAUGGGAUCUAUUACAUUGUGAUAUGUGCAAAUUCUUCUGUAGAAUCCAUUUGUAUUUUGAUAGUAUUGAUCAAUAAUGAGAGCAGAUUUUUCUUCACAAACUAGUUGCUUGUGCCUUUGUUCAUUCUUUUGUAGGUUUGUUCUUGGUUCUGUUUUCUUGUUUUCAUUAAAUUGAGGAAUAAUAUGGCCAAAGAGUCCUCAGCAAUCAGCAUAUGGUAAUUUGUUCAUGUAUGACUCAAGAUGCAGAAGGUAAUAUUUUAAAAUCUUCGGAAGUUCAAAUAUGUGUUGUGUUUACAAGUACAUUCAUAAAUACAUUUCACUCUUUCUCUCAGCUAUGUGGAAACUAUUGCUUCCAAAAUGGUUGGGUUGUCUAAGUUGAUCAAAGAGACUCUGGGAUGUAAAUUUCUAUAAUGCAUUCAGUAAGUUUUAUGUUAUUUAAACUUUUUUUGUUUUUCAUGUUAUUUAGACUGCUUCUGUCGUCAUUAUUUCUAUAUACAGUGAUAAGAAUCAAUUUCAAAUCAACCACAACCAAGACAAUGAUAACAAGGCAACCAUGAACCAUACAAAAGGAAGGAAUAAAUUUUCCUCAAAUCAUUUUGAAGUCAAUCUAGCUUUUUGCUCAGCCUUAGCUAAAGGCUUACCAAGUUCAAGACUUGUCAACAACGACUAGUAUUAGUUUUGGCCUAAACUUUCUCAAAUCACGAUCUUUGUGGAUAUAAUAGGAAACUCUCCUAUGUCAAGCCAUAACAUAGUCCUAAAAUAGCUCCUUAUCUUUCUAUGAAUUGUAUAAGAACAUGUAAAGAAAAUAUGUGAAAAGAAAUAAUAUUUUUCUUCAGCUAUUCAAUCGAUAUCAAAUUAUCUUUUAUGGUAUCAAAGUAGAUGGCUGAAAAUUUUUGCAGAACCACAACUCACUAUUCAAUCCUUUCAUCAAUGUGCCAAUCUUGUUUCUAUUAAACUCACAUUAAAUAAUUAUCUUUUAUGGAAGUCUCAAGUCCUUCCUUUAAUCAAAAGCCUUGAGAUGGAGCAUCACAUUGUAAAAGACAAGACUCCAACGAAAAUGGUUACACAAGGUGGGAAAGAAAUAAUAAAUCCAGAAUUUAUUCAAUGGAUGAAUAAUGAUGGAUUAUUGAUGACAUGGCUUAGAGGGAUGAUGGUUGAAGAUGUUCUAAGCUUGAUUAUAGAAGGCCAAACUGCUUGUGAAGCAUGGCUUUCCAUUAAAGAGCAAAUGCUUCCAGCCACCAAGGAACAAGAAUCUUGGUUGAAGGAUAGCCUCUGCUCUCUUUAAAAGGGAAAUACAAAGCUCGAAGAAUUUCUUAAUAAAUUCAAAUCAUUGUGUGACAACUUGACAGUAAUUGGGAAACCAAUUUCAGAUAAAGACAAAGUCUUCCAACUUGCACGAUCCUUGGGGCCUAAGUACGCGGAUUUCAUGACUACCAUGCUAACUAAACCUCCAUAUCCAACUUUAAAGCAUUUCAUCCUUGCCCUUCAGAAUCAUGAACAAACCAUAAUGGUGAAAACAAAGUCAUUAAUUCUCAAAAAAGACAAACUGCCUCAGAUGCUCAAACUGCUCCAAAAAAUAAUGCCAACCAUCAAGAAAAAGAAGAUAUCAUUAUUUGCCAAAUAUGUGGAAAAAAGGGCCACAAUGUUGCUGUGAAUCUAAUAUUGUUUUAUUAUUGGUUUAUGUUGAUGAUGUGAUAAUAACGGGCAAUAAUAGCAAAAUGAUUCAACACAUCAUCCAUACUCUUAGUUCUCAAUUUGCCUUAAAAGAUCUUGGCUUAUUAAAUUAUUUCUUAGGUAUUGAAAUCAAGAAAUUUAAACAAGGUAUCUUUCUUCCGCAGGCCAAAUACACAAGGGAUUUACUUGACAAAACAAAGAUGCAAGAUAGUACAUUCGUUGCCACUCUAAUGGCUGUGAAACAGAUACCAAGAUUUGAUGAUGCACAAUCCGUUAAUGCUACUGAGUAUCGACAAAUAGUGGGAAGUCUUCAAUACCUCACUUCUACCAGACCAGAUAUCACACAUGCGGUCAACAAAGUGUGUCAAAAAUUCCAACAACCAACAAAGGUUGAUCUCGAGCUGUCAAACGGAUAUUGCGAUACCUCAAAAAGACACUUAACUUUGGACUUCGCUAUUUGAAACAAAGUUCCUUGACACUUUAUGGGUUCUCAAAUUCAGAUUGGGUGGGUUGCCCUUUAACUUGAUGAAGUACGAGUGGCUUCUGCAUUUACCUUGGAUCAUCGUUUAAAAAAGCAAACCAUCGUUGCUCGUUCCAGUACAGAAGCUGAAUAUCAUUGCAUGGUAUCUACGGCAGUCAAACUCACUUGACUUACAUACAUAUUCAAAGAGAUUGGCAUAAACCUGAUAAAGCCUCCAGUUCUUAUAUGCGACAAUAUCAGCUCCCUUCAUAUGUCAAAAAAUCUUUUUUUUUCCAUGCACGGACCAAGCACAUUGAGCUUGAUUAUCACUUUGUUCGUGAGAAAGUAACAAGUAGAUUACUGAACACAAGAUAUAUUCCAUCAUCACAGCAAACGGUAGAUUUAUUCAGUAAACCAUUGUCCAAAGCAUUGUUCUCAAAAUUUCGGCACAAACUUGGAAUACACACCAUGGCAAUUCUUACUUUGAAGGGGGCUGAUAAGAAUUAUUUUCAAAUCAACCACAACCAAGACAAUGACAGCAAGGCAAUCAUGAACUCUACAAAAGGAAGGAAUAAAUUUUCCUCAAAUCAUUUUGAAGUCAAUUUAGCAUUUUGCUCAGCCUUAGCUAAAGGCUUACCAAGUUCAAGACUUGUCAACAACGGCUAGUAUUAGUUUUAGCCUAAACUUUUCCAAAUCACAAUCUUUGUGGAUAUAAUAGGAAACUCUCGUAUGUCAAGCCAUAACAUAGUCCUAAAAUAGCUCUUUAUCUUUGUAUAAAUUGUAUAAGAUCAUGCAAAGAAAAUGUGUGAAAAGAAAUAAUAUUUUUCUCCAGCUAUUCAAUCGAUAUCAAAUUAUCUUUUAUACAGCAGCUUGUUUACUAAAGAGUUUCGUUUGCCCUUGUUUGUGGGAUCAAGACCUCAAUUUCCUGUAUUUCAGACUAUUUGUGUGAUUAUUCAAUGCCAUUAGUGUACGUACUCAAGAUUCCUUUCCAUCACCCAGUUGGAUCGCUUAAUUAAAGGACUGAUGAUACUUGUUUUAAAAUAUUUUGAACUAAGUUGGUCAGUUAGCAUGACAAAUCAAAUUCUCCAAAUUGCACCCAUAUAGCCGCAUUUUUGUGUUUUAAUACUCACAUAAUGAAUCCUUUUUUUAUGACGUUUAAAGAUUUUUUUUUUUCCCUAUUGUCUCUGAUUAUCAUCAGGUCAUUCUCUAUAAAAUUAUGUGCAAAUUUCUACUACUGUCGUGUGUAAAUGCUUAGGCAGAGCCUGACCAGCAGUAUUUCGUUUCAUUUUAUAAACAUUCCAGCGCUCCUAAAACCAUCAAGGAAAGGAAAAUAAUGUGCAGCAGCAGUUGGAUCUUCUUUCAGUAUUCUUUGAAUAUUUUCUGCCCGGAGGCCUAAGGAAUGUAAAAUGUUGUUUUGCACAUGGCACAUGCUAGGUACUAAGAAAGCAAACAGAGCAAUUUUGGUGGGUUGAAUAGUCUACCGAAGCAAAGAUUUGAGUUCACAUAUAGGCAAGGAAAAUGAAUUUAACAAAAAUAUUUAUGGAAUAAAGUGCAGUUUUUUUUAUUUGACUUGGAUGUUCAAAGUCCGAAUUUUGAUUUUCUUUCAUCCCAGUAUUGUUGACCGUCUUGUAUGUAAGAAAGUCAUCGACCAAAAUGAUGAAAAAGUAAUUUAUAAGUUUAUUUUGUAUCGUGAGGCAUUUCGACAUUCCCGAUUUCUGCAUGCUGCAUAAUCUCUUGAACUGUAAUCUCUAUAUUAGAGGUCUGAUGUUAGCGGUAAUCAAAUAAAAUUUUAAAGUAAGAGACUCAUUUCACUUAUUUGGCAUAUAUCUGAACAUAUUUGUAGUACAGCAGAAUGCUGAGGUGCCACAGAAAUGCCCGUGUCUGUGCUUUGAUUGUAGCCUGUAUAAUCUUCUCAAUGAGUUCAUGGGCUCUAUUGAUACAAGCAAGAAUUCCCUAAUUCGGACCAAUUCAAGGUACAAAUAUUUACAGGUUCAUUUUUCAGAUUCAUGUGAUGUAGUAUGCUUCCAUGUUUUUUCUUUUUUUUUUUCGUCUUUCAAUAUUAAUUUUUGUUUGUCUUUGAACUCUCAAUGACAGGAAGUUUGAUCCGGUGAAGUUUAAUCCGGCAGAGUAUGACGGAACGUUUAAUCCGUCGGAGCCUCAAGCCGAUUCCUUUUAAGUCAAACUCCCCGGUAGCAGCUCCUUUGCCUUGACAUGGUUAAAAACCAGCAAGAAAAUGUUAUUAAGUCAUGAAGUAUAUGAAAAAUAAUUUGCAGCGGAAAUAUUUGAAUUGCAAUUCUCAUACAAUAUAUAAAAUUACCAUAAUCUAGAAAUCGUAUCUUUGCUUUUUCGCUGAAGUAAUCUAGACUCCCAGAUCACGAUCUGUCACCACCAAUCUUAUUAGAUCAUGAUUUGUCACAGUGAUCUUUCAGAUUAUGACUCAAGAUUGAUCUGCACUUGACAUGUGGGCGCUUUUAUCACUGCUAAAAGCAACUAGCAAGAGAAAAUUUUCUCUCAAAGUUAGAGAGAAAAAAUCUUUUUUCUCUGAUUUGUAUAUUGUGGCUACUGUCUCCUUUUAAAGAAAACAAGUCAUUUUAUAUCUCUAUUUGGUGGAAACCCUAGGCUCAUAUUUAUAUUCUUAUUUUUAAUUCUAUUAAAUCAAAUUUGAUUUAAAUUAAAAAAUAAUAAAACCAAAAGUGGCGUUACUUGUUCUUAUUAUUGGGGCCCACCUUGUAAAAUAACACAAGGCCCCCUACACACAAAUAUAUUAAAUGGAGUCUCCCACUAAAUAAUAUAUUAGGACUUUUAACUCAAAUAGCUAAUUAUCUUACUUAUUAACCCGGGGAUCAUAUGGGUGCAUAUAAUAGUGGCUACAAUAAUUAGACCUCUAAUUAAACUAAUCCAAUUAUUUAAUUCAAAAUCUACUCUAUUAAAAGAUUGGAACUGACAUCCAUAAUUGCAUUCUAUCUAGGAUAGUGUUCUCAAAUAAUAAUGCGACCCAUGCCACAUUGAUUUUCUUACUGAACAAUCAUUUGUACCAUAUCGCUAAUUAAAUUGAUGCCUCAAUUGUUCAAUCAAUUUAAUUACAUAUUGUUCCUUGAUACUUACUGGUUUUCUCUAAUGAUCAUUUUCAAUAUAUUAAUUAUAUUGACACUCUCUGUCCAGAGAAUUCUAUGAUCAAAUACUGAAAACCCGUGAAGAGAUGUAUUGUACAAAUUCUAUAUUGUUAAUCUAUAAUCUCACUGCUCAUAAUUGUUUUCACCAAGAUACCGGGUAAUCUUGACUAUAAAUGCAUGUCGUGCCCAUUAGUAACUCAAAUGAAAUGACAAUCACAAACACGAAAAUAUAAUUAACUCAAGAUUAAGAUUGCAAUAAAAUCAAUGCCUAUUAGAUUUAAUAAGUUUAACGGUCAUUUUAAGGUUAAUUAAAUCUCAUAUGUGAUCCAGCUCAAUAUAGUCAAAUUACAUCAGUAAAUUCAUACAUAAUUAAGGCAAAUCAUUCAAUGAAUUUACUACAGUCUAAACAUAAAUAGAGCGUCCAACUCUAUUUACCAACUGCGAACUUAAUUUAUUUAAUCAUGAGAUAACUUAUAUUUAUGUCUUCUAUGAAUCCAUAUGAUGAUCACAUCAAUACUUAAAAUAAGAUUAAAUGGACCUGAUUCAAAAUAUUUAUGCAAGUAAGAUUUUUGAAAAAUAUCUCAAAUAUUUUAUUAAUUAGAAAAUAAAUAAAUAUGCUUUAAAGAGCACAUAAUCCCAACAUUAUAUGCUUUCAUUUUGAUAGUGUCUUCUUGCUUCUUCACAAUCUCAUUUUUGUUCAAUUAAACAAAUAUAUAUAUAUAUAUAUAUAUAUAUAUAUAUAAAGUUGGGACUUGAGGAGGUGAUGUGGCAUCACCAUUUCUCAUCUUUGUACAUUCUCUAUUAUCUAAUAAAUAGAGAAAUUUUCUUUUAAAUUUAACUUUUCAUCUUUUCACAAUUAAUUUAAUUGUAAAUGUUUUAAUGAGGCAUAUUCUUUGUAAUGAACAUCCAAGGAGGAGUGUUAUGAAUUUAUUAAAAUAAAUGUAGAUGGUCAUAAUAUAUAUUUCUUAGUCUUCUCACUAUCUCUCAUUAGCAACAUUUAGCUUCCCUAUAACUCCCACUAUCUCAUAAGGAAUUAUGAUCCAUAAUUUUUCAUUAAUUUCAUGGAGUGAUUAUGUAACUAUAAAAGGAGAGCUCAUCUUUUUGUUUUGUACACACACAAUUGAAAUGAAUAAAAUCACUCUACAACAUAUUCUCUCACUUUAUUCUUUAUUUUGCGUUGCUUCUUUAUUUGUAUUGUUGGUUAAUAGUUUUUUUUAUUUUUUAUAAGGCUGCCUCAUCUUUAAAAAAAAAUCAAUUCAUAUUUUUUAUCAGUUUCAUCAAGUGUAAAGUAAGAAAAAAUGAUAAUACUAAAUUCUUUUUUCAAAGCCGCGUGAAGCGCGGUUCUAUUUUCUAGUUACAAAUAAAUGCGUGUUACUAGCUAGUAUGCCCCAUCUCUGCCCACACCCCUCACCUUGCAAUUCAACCAUUUUAAUUUAUAGUAUCAAUUUUAACAUAUAUAUAAUUGGUAACCUGAUUGCUCGCAACGAAGAUUUAGAUUUCAUAAUCAAUAAAUACACUUGGUAAGAAGCACCAAAUAUGUAUGUAAAGAGUUAAUUUUUACUCAUUCACAUAAAAUAACUCGAAAUCUCCUCUUUAAUUCAUCUUAUUUGAUUGCAAUACAUCGAUUAAACAAUAAAGGCUGAAAAUCAAUAGAUGGAUGGUGGGGAAAGUUUGUGCAUUUGGAGUCGGAAAUUGAGUAAUUGUUUGCUUUAUGGAGGGCAGGUAGUGGUGGAGAAGAAAAUUAAACAGGGGCUGCAGUGAACUGUUCUACAAGAGCUAUAUCUUACCUUUUAUGUAAGGUAGCCGAGCCCUAACAUAUAAUUAAUGUUAUAUGGCUGCAUCUGUGAUUCAUAUGAUCUAAAUUGAUUUCUGUUAAUUUAGUCAUCUUUUCUUUCUUCAACUCUCAGACAAGAGGUUUAAUCCAUCGGAGUUGUGAAGAAUUGAGUUGUGAAUUUGGGGACUAAAAUGUAAUCGAAAGAGAGUUACUGGGCUAUAGUGUAGAUCUUAUUCAGUAUUGGGGUCGAUAUGAAAAUACUUUGCUGAUGUGGCAAAGUUUGUUAUGGUCGUUGGAAGCGUUUCUGGAAAAUUUCCAGAAACCUCAGUAUAAAAGGGGCUGAUGAACAGCCUCUGGUGUACGUGUGUCUUCUCUUUCUUUUCUCAUCCAAAUUCUGUAAUUCUUGCUUUAAUAGAAAGCUUGUAAUCUCCUCUAUAAUGUGUGAUCGAGGUGUAAUCAGUUUGAGUAAUAAAAGCUUGUGAGUUUUCCUUCAAACGGUGUCGUUUUGGUUAAGCUCAUCAGUUGUGUGCUUCUGUGUUUGGCGUUUUUCUUCUGUGAUUCUUGAUCUGUUUCUGGAAUCUUUUUCUGGUAAUUUGUUCUCACAAAUUAACAGGAGUGUAACCGGAAGACUUGUGGACAUGCUGUUACAAGCACUAUGUAUGUAUAAAAUAACGAUGGAGCUUCCAAUUCCCUCGAAAGAAAAUCAAGUUAAUUGCUUAAUCUGGAUCCGUUUCAGGGAUUUUAAAAUUGGUUUUGAAUAAUAUGAAAAAAUAGGUUCUUAUAGUUUCUUCACCAAAAUCAUUCUAAAUGUGUAUGUUAAAUCUAAAAUUAAAUAAAAAUUUUUGAGGAAAAUUAAAUUCGUAGAUUUUAAGUCUGGCUGCGCUUCUACAGUUAGGGUAUGGAAAAUCCUCUACAUUACAAAUAUAAUUUAACACUUCAUUAUAGUUUAAAUAAUGUGAUUUAGCCUCAACUUUGCAUUUUAAUAUGUGCGAAAAUGGCUAUUUCUUUUCAAUUUGGAUUCAGAUUCUCUUCCAAUAUCAUUUUUUUUUUAAUUUUUUGAAAAUCUUGAGACAAGUGGCAAAAAGAUUAUUGAAUGGCCAAAAAUUUUAUUGCUUUUGUUUUACAAAAUCAAUUUCUUAAAUUAGAAAAGUAAAAUAAUAAACUUUCACGAACAAACCAAAUUCUUCUUUUUCCUAAUCCACUUUCCUUGGUUUUCUACCUUCAUCAUCUUCUCCUUUCGAGAUUGAGCAAUGGCAGCUAUGGGCAAGACUUCAACAAAUAUUUAAAACCCUAAAGCCAUAGGGUAACAAAGUUAUAAGGAAUUGAAAUAUAAAGCCAUGGGGUAACACAGUUAAUUUAGUUUUGUAAAACUUCAAUAGACAAACAAGAAAAAGAGAAAGUACAUGUGUUUAACAUAUUGAUUGACCAGCAAAAACACAAAUAUUGUUUACCUCGGGUUUUAUAAGACUUGGGAUGUCUUAUCAUCUGAGCUUAUCCCAUUUUGGAGUAAAACCCCAUAUGAAUAUGAAUAUGUACCAUGAAAUUAACACGAAUAAUACUCAACUCCAAUUCAUAAGAAUAAUUCAAAUUAUAAUGCUGAUAAUUGAUAUCUCCGUGAACAAUACACAUGUACAGAGGAUCGGAAGUAUGGGAGGUCCUGGACCCCAAGCUUUAAAAAUGACCUUUAUCUAGGUAAAUUUUAUUCUUUACCCCCUCAGUUCCAUAGUUCUCACAUAUUGCAAGCUGUGUUAAUAAAGUUUGUUGUUUCCAUAUACCCCCAUCGAAUGAAAAUUCUGGUUUCACCAUACGCAGGCACGAGAACAAUCAGCAGAUUUGAAAGAGCUAAUUAUUCAUUUUUAUUUUUCUGCUGCAAAUAUCUUUUAUGUAUACUUUAAUUACAAGCGUACACGUGAUACUAGGAAUCAGUUGGCACUUAUCUAGCUAGGAAUCAGUUGAACAAAUUCUUCUCUUGUACUAUUAGUACUCGGUGAACUCGAUGAGAAAUGGUGAAGUUAUAUUUUUCCAAACCUGAUGUCAGACACUUACUGGUAUAUAUGCGUUGAUGGAAUGAGAUUUGUUGUUUCCAUAAUAAGCAUAUAUAUUAUAUGAUAACAUUGAUAAUUGGUUUAUUAAAACAUGAUUAUUGUCAUAAAACUGAAAUAUUUGUUAGUGCUUCAUGGGCUAUUGCGUUUAAAUGGGGCUGUUCCGGGACAUUGAAUGAAUGCAACAAGUAAGUCAAGAAAGUGAAAUUGGAGCUGGUACCGGGACUUUGAAUGAAUGCAACAUGUAAGUCAAGAACGUGAAAGAACUGCAAUUAGUCUCUUAAACUCAUUGUUACAUUUUCCAUGUAACUACGUAAUCAUCAUUGCCAAGGAAAAAUUGUGUAGUUGAAGGGUCCACACAAAAUAGUAAGGGGUCGACGGCAUUGGCACUACAUUUUAAUCUUAUUCAAUGAUAUUCAAGGGAUCAUGUGUAUCACAUCAUCUGUUAUUCCAAUAAAUUCAAAGGAUCAUAUGUAUCACAUCAUUUGUAGUUCCAAGAAAUUCAAUGGAUCAUGCGUAUCACUUCAUUUGUAAUUCCAAUGGGAUGAGCUCAAUUGGGUUAAUUUAGCAUCUCGUAGCAUAAACAAGAAAUUGUUUUUGGAAAUAUUGUAAAGACAUCCAUCCAAGGGAGUAUGUAUGUAUGUAUAUGUGUGUGUGUGUGUGUACACACACGUUGAUUCGUUUAACUAAAAUAAAUAGAAGAAGUCAUCAAUGAUCCAUAUGGUCUCCUAUAGUGAGCGUAAACAGUAUUAAUUUGAUUAUUAUAGACAUCCGGUAUCUUAUUAAAUCCGACCAAUUAAAUAUAUACAUAUAACUUGAUUGAAUCUCAUCGAUCACUAUUAUUUGUCUAUUGAAGUUUACAAUAUUUUAAUAACUAGGCUACCUUAUGUCUUUGUAUUUCGUUUCUCGAGAAAACUUAGACUAUCUUCAUUGAAUCACGUUAUUCGUACAACAAUUCAAUAAAAUCAUGACAUAUACAUGCUAUUUGUAUUCUAAAAUUUUCAAUCAUUUAUAGUUAUCAACUUAUCAUUGUGAUGAGGUAUACCUUGUACCGGAUUAUUUCCACCUACAGGAACUUUCCUCAGACUCCUGUGAUGGAGUAACCCUUCUGUCGCACUUUUAUGGACUAAACUUUCUGUCACGGAGAGUUCAAGACAAAGGUUAAGAAAAUUAAAAAUGCAAUAAAAACAAAAACAAAAAUACGAAAUAGUGGAGCGAUAUAUAAAAUUAAUGUUCUUCAAUUAAUUGGACCAAUUUCAUGUUCUUAAUUAGUUACGCACCUUGGAUAGCUGAGAAAUUCCGAAUUCUUGCUUCUAUUACCAAGGGAAAUGAAAUCAUUGAUAUAAUAACUAUACAUGCAACAAGCAAAGUGCAGACCGGAGCAUUAUUCCUAUAACAGUUUGACAUAUUACUUUUUUGAAAAAAGAAAAAAAAAGAAUGGAGAUUAUUCAAUUCUAUCAAUCCUUUUAUACAAUCACUGAGAAGGAAAGACUUCCAAAAUUCAAGCUUUGAAUUGUAUAAGUCAAAAUUAUUAAUUGCUAGAAAAUUCUCUUCAAAAAACAAAAAACAAAAAGAAGAACAAAAUUCCUGCUUUUAAUUUCACGGCUUUGAACAAGACCCUAAUUAAUGUUCUACAUUAGCAAGAACCUAGUUUUAACAUUUCUAUCACACAGGUCGUCGACUUCUGUACCUUCAUAAUAUUGAAUUUUAACCGUUAUAUAUGAUUUAUGAUGUAUAUAUGAGUAAGGGCAUUUCCGUCAUUUGAAUAGGAUGAUCCAGUUGGUUUUAACUCUUAAAAGUAAAAGCUACAGGUCAAUGAAUAGGUUCCCCUUACACACCAGCCGUGGAGAUAGAGAUUCUUUAAUUUGUGUUUGUGCAUUGGGAUACUUUGCUCAAAAGGUUUUGAGUGUGCAGUCUAUUGCAAAAAAAUAACAAUAAUUAUAAUCAGGGCUGCCACUGAAAGUUCUAGCUAGCUUCAUCCUCCUUCUCAUGACUGGAUCCCAUUCCGUCCAUGCGAUGACUUGAUAUUUCAGAUUGAGUGUAGAGUGUAGACACUUAAAAUAAAAAUAAAAUGGUUUCAAAUUGAAUGGUAAGCACUAAGGCGACAAAUUUCUUGCAUAUAUAUGUAGUUGAAUUGUCAAUAUAUGAAUUUAUGAAAUGAGAAGUUCGGGUAUUUUACGCCAAGCAAUUUUUAGUGUCUGUUUAAUUAUGUUUAUGGUCCAAUUGUCACGGCAAUUUCAUUCCAAUAGCCAAUGGCUUUGACUCUUGUUGUUUAUGAAAGCAAAUCCAGAAAACUAAAACGGCAGAAGACUUUGCGUUUACAGCUGAAAUCACUUAAGCUCAACGACAUAGAGUCUUGCGUUUUGAAGAGUAAAAGAAAUACUCUUCUGAACGACAUGUGAGUUUGUCGUUUAAGUUUAAGUGAAGCACGCUUGUAUCACAUGCUUGUGUUCAGCUUGCAAAGGUUCGUUAGAAGCCGUUAAAUGCAUGAGGAACUCACGUGAGUUGCUGGGGAACUUCUGGGUUCGUUAUUGAAGCUGUUAUCGAGCAGCUGAUGUGGCAGCAAUAGAUUGGUGUACAGAGAGAGCUGAAGAGAGAGAAGGGGACUGGUUUAUAUAUAGUCAGUUCUGAUCUUUCUUAGCUAUAUAAGCAUUACUCUGUAAUUCAUCUUGUUAAAUCAAUAAAGUUGUUCUUUGCCCUCCCAUGGAUGUAAGCUAGAGAAAUCUAGCUGAACCACGUUAAGUUUCUUUUGUUCUUUGAUUGCUCUACUUAUGUUGAUUCUUUAAUCCAAAUUGGUUAAUCGUCUAGUUCCAUAAAUUCAUCUUAGUCGUAGCUUUUCAGUCAUCAAUCUUGCAACAUCUUGAUUAGUUGGUUGGUGAUCUUAGGGCAGAAUCUAAGGUUGCUUAGUCUGUUCAUAGCACCUUAGUUUCUACAAUUAGUAUCAGAACUUAGUCUACAAACCAAUUACGAGUAUGGCUUCAACCAAGAUCGAUCUUGAGAAGUUUACAGGCAAGAAUGAUUUCAACAUGUGGAAAGUGAAGAUAGAGGCCCUGCUGAUAACACAUGGGUUAGGAGAUGCACUUAAACCUAUCACCAAAAAAGAAAAGAAAGAAGUAUCAUCCUCUAAGACACCUGAAAUGGCUGCCGAGAUAGACAAAAAGGCCAGAAGCACCAUCAUAUUGAGCCUUGGUGACUCAGUGAUAAGGGAGUUUGCCAAAGAGAAGACUGUUGCAGACCUAUGGGCCAAACUAGAAAAGAUUUAUAUGACAAAGUCUUUGGCUAAUAGGUUGUAUAUCAAAAGGAGGAUGUUCACUCUGAAAAUGGCUGAAGGGUCCUCUCUUGAUGAUCAUAUCUAUGAAUUCAAUCAAGUUUGUGACACACUUGAAACCAUUGAUGAGGGGCUGGAUGAUGAAGGAAAGGUAUUGCUUCUGGUGAGUUCUUUACCUCAGUCUAUUCAAAUCUUGUUGAUGCCCUUAUGUAUGGAAGAUCAACAUUAUCAUUAGAUGAGGUUAAGGCUGCCUUGAAUACUAGAGGGCUGCAAGAAAAUUCUGGGAAUAUGAUGCAUGCUGAAGGAUUAUCAGUUAAGGGUAAGUUUAACAAGAAUGAUGGAAAGAAGAAAAAAACAAAAGCAAGAUAAGUCUAAAUUAUAAAACAGAAAGUGCUUUCCUUGUCACAAAGAAGGCCACUUCAAGAAAGACUGUCAAGAACUAAAGAACAAGAACAAGGAAAGAAAUGGUGAUGCAGCUACAGUGGAGGAAGAAGGUUAUGAAUCUGCUGGUGUAUGUGUGGCUACAAAGGAUCUCCAGAGAGGUAAAUGGAUACUAGAUUCUGGUUGCACCUUUCAUAUGUGCCCAUUUAAAACUUACUUCUCUGAUUACCAUAAUUUAGAUGGGGGAAAAAUAAUGAUGGGUAACAAUGCUGUAUGUAAAGUCAUAGGCAUAGGAAAUGUGAGUCUUAGGCUUCAUGAUGGGACAAUUUGGGAACUUAGAGAGGUUAGAUAUGUUCCUGACUUAAAGAGGAACUUAAUCUCACUAGGUUUGAUUGAUCAGAAUGGGUUUAGUAUUAAGCUUGAAUCUGGCAGAUUGUUGAUCAUGAAGGGCACUAAGAUAGUGAUGAAAGGUUCAAAAAGGAAUGCAGUAUAUGUUCUAGAUGAUGAGGCAGUUACAGGAAUAACAGAUGUCAUUAUUGGCACUAGUGAGCACUAGGCUGUGGCACCUAAGAUUGGGGCAUAUGAGUGUUAAGCGGUUAAAAGAGCUUGAAAAACAAGGAGUUCUGGGGAAUGAUAAGACAGAAGAGUUAGAUUUUCGUGAAGAUUGUGUCUUUGGGAAGUCCACGAGAAACAGUUUCAAGCACUCAACUAGCAAAUCUAUUGGCAUCCUAGACUACAUACACUCUGAUCUCUAGGGACCAGCACAGACCAGCUCAUUAAGUGGUAAUAGCUAUUUUUUGUCAAUAAUUAAUGAUUAUUCAAGAAGAGUUUGGGUCUAUAUACUGAAACACAAAGAUCAAGUCUUUAGCAAAUUUAAAGAAUGGAAAACCUUAGUUAAAAAUCAAACUGGAAAGAAGGUUAAGAAACUGAGAACAGAUAAUGGACUUGAGUUAUGCAAUCAGCAAUUUAACAGCAACUGUGCAAAUAAGGGGAUAGCAAGGCACAAAACAGUGAGGUUAACACCUCAGUAAAAUGGAUUGGCAGAAAGGAUAAACAGGACCCUGAUGGAUAAGGUGAGGUGUAUGCUGGUGCAAGCACAGCUACCAAAACACCUCUGGGCAGAAACCUUAUUAACAGCUAGCUAUCUGGUGAAUUUAAGUCCCUCUGCUGCUCUAGACUUUAAGACUCCAUUUGAAAUGUGGCAUGGAAAACCAGCAAGCUAUGUCAAUCUCAAAGUGUUUGGAUGUCCUGCUUAUGCACAUGUCAAUCAAGGAAAGUUAGCACCUAGGGCUCUUAAAGGUCAGUUCCUAGGCUAUCCUGAUGGAGUUAAAGGAUACAAACUAUAGUGUACUGAUCUAGAACCUCCAAGGUGCAUAAUAAGCAGAGAUGUGCCAUUUAAUGAGAAGGCUGUUUUGGAAGUCAGAAAGGAUGCUGGGUUGAAAACUCAGAAACCUCAAGUCCAAGAUAAGAUCCAAUUUGAGGUGGAGCAUCCUGAUUCAAAGAAAUCUGAGAGGGGUAAGAAUUCAGAUCAAGACAGUGAAGAUCAUGAUGAAUGCAGUGGCCCUCAACCACAAUCUCAAAGGCAGACUCAAGCACAAGGUUAUCAGCUGACUAAAGAUAGAGAAAAGAGCCAAAUCAUACCACCACAAAGAUAUGGAUACGCUGAUUUGAUAGCAUAUGCACUAGCUGCUUCACAUGAUAUUGAUGUAGAUGAGCCCAAGAGUUAUAUUGAAGCUAUUCAAAGCUCAAACAAAUUAGAAUGGCAGGAAGCUAUGAAUGAUGAGAUAGCCUCUCUUAAGAAGAAUCACACUUGAAUAUUGGUUGAGAAGCCUGGUAACAGAAGGACAGUGGGUUGCAAGUGGGUUUUCAGAGUCAAAGAAGGCCUCACAGCUAGUGAACCUAUGAGGUACAAAGCUAGGCUUGUGGCUAAGGGGCAUACUCAAAGGGAAGGAGUUGAUUUUAAAGAGGUAUUCUCCCCUGUGGUCAGACAUGCCUCCAUAAGGGUACUGUUAGCACUGACUGUAGUCCAUGACUUAGAGCUUGAUCAACUCGAUGUCAAGACUGCAUUUCUACAUGAAAGACUACAAGAAGAAAUUCUUAUGACUCAACCUGAGGGCUAUGUGGAUUCUAAGAAACCAAACCAUGUUUGCUUGCUAAAAAGGUCAUUGUAUGGGCUCAAGCAAUCUCCAAGGCAAUGGUAUCUCAGGUUUAAUGAAUUCAUGUUGUCACAUGGAUACCUAAGAUGCAGUUUUGAUUGCUGUGUAUAUUACAAGCUAAUAAGUUCAAGCCUCUACAUAUACCUGUUACUCUAUGUAGAUGACAUGUUGGUAGCCUGUAAGUCGAGAGAAGAAAUUGAAGCUUUGAAGAAUUUGCUGAGCUCUGAAUUUGAGAUGAAAGAUUUAGGGUCAGCAAAGAAGAAACUGGGCAUGGAGAUCAAGAGGGACAGAAGCAAAGGUAUUAUGUUCAUUUCUCAAGAGAAAUAUAUGAUGAGGGUACUGGAAACUUUUGGGAUGACCUCAUGUAAACCUUUGAUGACUCCAAUGGCAACACAUUUUAAGCUCUCCAGUCUCCAGUGUCCAAAGACAGAAGAAGAAAAGUUAGAGAUGGCCAAGAUCCCUUAUGCUAAUGCAGUUGGCUGCAUGAUGUAUGUUAUGGUUCUAACUAGGCCUGAUAUCUCCUAUGCUCUAAGUGUAGUUAGCAGAUAUAUGGUGUCUCUUGGAAAAGAACAUUGGAGAGCUGUAAAAUGGUUAGUGAGAUACCUAAGUGGAACUCUGAACCAUGGGCUGGUUUAUGAAAGGUCAACGAGUAAGUCUGAAGGGAUAAGUGGAUUUGUUGAUUCUGACUUUACAGGGAACUUAGAUAGAAUAAGAUCUCUCACAGGGUAUUUGUACAUGCUGGAUGGCUGCUUGAUUAACCGGAAGGCAAGCCUUCAACAUGUUGUUGCGAUAUCAACAACAGAAGCUGAGUAUACAGUAGCCACUGAAGCAGUAAAGGAAGCCUUAUGGUUGAAAGGAUUGAUUUUAGAGCUAGGAGUGAGUCAGAAGACAGUUGAUGUAUUUUGUGAUAGCUCAAGUGCCAUUUACUUGAGCAAAAACCCAGCUUACCAUGAGAAAACAAAGCACAUCGACAUCAAGUUGCAUUUCAUCAGAAAUGUAGUUUCCAUAGGUGUAGUCAAGAUGGUGAAGAUACAUACAGAUAGAAACCCUGCUGACAUGUUAACGAAAGUAGUCACUACAGCUAAGUUCAAAGUUUGCUUGGACAUAGCUGGUCUUGGCUGCUGUUAAUUCAUUCUGGAAAUGGAGGGGAAAAUUAGGGGUGAUUUGUUUCAAUGUGGAGAAUUGUUGUUUGUGAAAGCAAAUCCAGAAAACUAAAACGGUAGAAGACUUUUGCGUUUAGAGCUAAAAUCACUUAAGCUCAAUGACAUAGAGUCUUGCGUUUUGAAGAGUAAAAGAAAUACUCUUCUCAACGACAUGUGAGUUUGUCGUUUAAGUUUAAGUGAAGUACGCUUGUAUCACAUGCUUGUGUUCAGCUUGCAAAGGUUCGUUAGAAGCCGUUAAACGCAUGAGGAACUCACGUGAGUUGUUGGGGAAUUUCUGGGUUCAUUAUUGAAGCUGUUAUCGAGCAGCUGAUGUGGCAACAACAGAUUGGUGUGCAGAGAGAGCUGAAGAGAGAGAAGAGGACUGGUUUAUAUAUAGUCAAUUCUGAUCUUUCUUAGUUAUAUAAGCAUUACUUUGUAAUUCAUCUUGUUAAAUCAAUAAAGCUGUUCUUUGCCCUCCCGUUAAUGUAAGCUAGAGAAAUCUAGCUGAACCACGUUAAGUUUCUUUUGUUCUUUGAUUGCUCUACUUAUGUUGAUUUUUUAAUCCAAAUUGGUUAAUCGUCUAGUUCCAUAAAUUCAUCUUAGUUACAGCUUUUCAGUCAUCAAUUUUGCAGCAUCUUGAUUAGUUGGUUGGUGAUCUUGGGGUAGAAUCUAAGGUUGCUUAGUUUGUUCAUAGCACCUUAGUUUCUACAACUCUCAAUAAGUGCUUUUUUUCCUGUGAAUUUAAUUUGCAUGCGACCCGAUUUUCAAUCUGAUAAGAUUUGUAUGAUCAGUUCAAAGUUAAAAUCGUGGGUCUAAUUUAAUUAUUUGAAUGGUAAAGCACGAAAAAAGCUGGACCCAAAAGACUUUAUAGGAUGUUUGUUUGCAGUCACAAAUCCUGUGGAAAUUACUUGUUUGAUGACGAGUGAAUAGGACUCCUCAAGCAAAUAUAAAGAAUGAAUCUAUAUAGAGAGGCUUGAUUUUAUGUUUGAUGGCACAAAAUGGGAAAAUUCCUUAGAAGGCGUAGUUCAUGUUUUAUAUUCAGCUUUUGUAUUAAUUAGUGUGAAGUAGUGCUCUUUCUUGACAAUAAGCAAGGAUUUCUCUUUUCUGAACAACCUAAACCAUAUAUAUUUUGUUUUGGCAAAAUUUAGAACUCCCCUUAGGUUAAUAGGAUUAUAUUUUAUUUAGUAUUAAAUUUAUGCAUUUUUUUUUAUAGAACUCCUAGACUUAAUUCAUACGUAAAAGCUGGUUUAAAAGUUGAAGAUUGUCUAAAACUUAUACUAUUAACACAGUAACUGACAUGGGAUAAUAUCUUCAACAUUUUCGACUAUCAUUUAUUAUAAAAAGAUCGAAUUGCUUGACCUUCAAAAAGUGCAUGUAUCGAUUAACAUGACAAUUAUCGGGGUGUUGUAGUGGGCUUUCAGUUUUUGGAAAAAUCAUUAGUUUUGCCGAAUAACUGGUUUAUCAAUUUCCCUUCCUCAGAAGUAUAUAUACCCCAGUUUUCUUUCAGAAUUUAUGUAUUUCCAUUUUUUAUGUCUUCUUAAUAAUUUAUAAAGUAGAAGAUAAAUAAAAAAAAACACUAUUUUUUUAUGAAAAAUAAACUAUUUUUCCAUUUACGUGAGCAGUUUAAACCAUAAACUACUUAUGUAAGUGUAAAUGGAUUUAUCAAUUAAACGACCAAGUAUCCACGUGUCUGCUCAAUGAUUAGAAAGAGCAUCAACACCAUUUGAUUUUGAUCAUGAUGGAACACAUUUUCAUUGCUAUAACUUUAAGCACUUUUUUAAAAUAAAUAAAUAAGUAAUAUGUUCAGCAAAGCUCGACCAAUUUUUUGUCAAAGUCGGUGGCCUUAACAAGCCAAAUUCAAAUUGGCUUUGACAGCCACCAAUCUAAAAAGAGUAGAAUUCCACAGUAAAAAAAAAAAGAAGAAGAAAAAUAGAAUUUAAAAGCUGCAAAUGUUGAAGGAUUUGGCACCGCCAAGGAAGAAAGAAAAAUAAGAUAAUGGCUGUGAGACAAAAAAAAAUUAAAAUAAUAACCAAUUUUGACUAUAUAAAGGAAGCUCCUCAUCUUAGCUUUUGCAUUCAUUCUUUGUGAGAGAGAAAGCAGAGAGCUUGAGUGAUUUUAAGAGCUUAAAAUUAUAAAGCUCUUGUGAGUAGAGAUUUGGUGUAUUAGGGUUCUGGGUAGUGAGCCAAAAUAUUACAAUACUUAUAAUCCUCAUAUCACUUGUAAAAUAAUUUUCUUCUGUCUUCGCCCAUGGACGUAGGCUAAAAGCCGAACCACGUAAUUUUCUAGUGUCUUCUUUUGUGCUUGUUCUUUAUUUUCUUCCAAUUUUAUUUUAACUGUGACCCUGCUUCACCCAUCAAUUUCCUAACAGUGGUAUCAGAGCUACUGGUUGUAUUUUUUAAAGUUUGUGGUACUGUUCAUGUAUACGAUACUUUUCACGUAUACGGUAUUGUUCACGUGAAAUGGUAAGAGCUGAUCCUAGCAAAGUUAGUUCGUGGUGAAAAGUGAUGGCGGCAAAAUACGAAAUUGAGAAGUUCAACGGAAAAAAUUUUUCGUUGUAAAAAAUGAAGAUAAAACAUGUAUUGAGGAAAAAUAAUUACUUCGCAACAAUUGGAGAAAGGUCCAUGGAGAUAACUAAUGACAAGUGGAACGAGAUAGACGGCAACAUCAUUUCUGAUCUACACUUGGCACUUGCGGAUGGAGUAUCAUCCAGUGUGGUAGAGAAAAAAACAGUAAAAGAAAUAUGAGAUACUCUCACAAAAUUGUACGAGGCCAAAUCACUGCACAAUAACAUCUUUUUAAAAAUGAGACUCUAUACUCUUCGAAUGGCGGAAUCUACAUUUAUGAUCGACCACAUCAAUACCUUGAAUACUCCAUUUUCACAACUCACAACGUUGGGUCAUAAUAUAGAGAAAAAUGAACAUGCAGAGCUUCUACCUCAAAGUGUACCAGAUUCGUAUGAUCAACUCAUCAUCAACCUGACGAACAACAAUCCAGCGGACAAUCUAGUUUUCGAGAUGUUACAACCUCCGUAUUAAAUGAGGAAAGCUGGCGAAAAAAUAAGGAAGACAGACUGGCGAGUUUGCAGCAAGUAGAAGCGCUAUCGGUGACGAGAGGGAGAUCAAUAGAACGUGGCCCCAGUGGGAGUCAGAGUCAUGGUAAGUCAAAAUCAAAAAGUAAGAAAAUGUCAAAUGCUACAAUUGUGGCAAGAAAUGGUACUUCAAGAAAGAGUGUUAGAGUAACUAGAAGAGAAAAUAGGGCAAAGAACCUGAGUCAUCAAAUGCUCAGGAGUGUGUAGCAAGUACCUCGGAUGAUGGCAAAAUUCUCUACAGCGAGGCAACAACUGUUUCAGAAGGCAAAAAAGGGCUAACUGACGUCUGGCCCAUAGACUCAGGAGCUACCUACCACAUGACAUCUCAGAAAGAAUGGUUCCACACAUAUAAGCCUAUCUCAGAAGGAUCUGUAUAUAUGGGCGAUGAUCAUGCCUUGGAGAUUGUUGGUAUUAGUACUAUCAAAAUCAAAAUGUUUGAUGGUACAAUUCGCACAAUUGAGGAGAUACGACAUGUCAAAGGUCUGAAGAAGAACCUAUAGUGUUUGGGACAAAUGGAUAGUCAUGGGCAUAAAAUUCAUGUGGAAAAAAUGGAAUUAUGAAGAUUGUUAAAGGCGCGUUUGUAUUGAUGAAGGCAAAAAAGAUCAGUGCUAAUCUAUUCAUGCUUAAAGGAGAAAUACUACAAGUGGCUGAUGCGUGUGUCGCAUUAAAUGGAGAAGAGUCGACAAUGAUCUGGCAUCUCAAACUUGCCUACAUGUCGAAACAAAGUUUGAAGAUUCUCUCUGAGCGGAAAUUACUUCCGGGACUCAAAUCGGUAAGUUUACCAUUCUAUGAGCAUUAUAUUACAAGUAAGCAGAAUAGAUUAAAAUUCAGCAAAUCUGUUGCCAGAAGUAAAUGUAUUAUAGACUUGGUUCAUUCUAAUAUUUGGGAAUCACUGGAUAUAUCUAUGGGAGGUGCAAAGUACAUGAUGACUUUCAUUGAUGAUUAUUCCAGGAGAUGUUAGGUGUAUCCAAUUAAGAAAAAAUCAGAUGUGUUUCCAGUGUUUAAGGAAUAAAAAGCGCUGGUGGAACUUGAAUCCGGCAAAAAGAUCAAGUGCUUGAGGACGGAUAAUAGUGGAGAGUAUAUAGACGGCGAGUUUCUUGCUUUCUGUAAGUAAGAAGGUAUUCAAAGGCAGUUCACGGUAGAAUACACUCAUCAAUAAAAUAGAGUGGCAGAGCGGAUGAACAUGACUCUUAUAGAAAGGAUAAGAGCUAUGUUGAGAACUACUGGUCUACCCAAUUUAUUUUAGGCAGAUGCAGCCAAAACUGCUUAUUAUAUAUUAAAUCGGUCGACAUCCAUAGCUAUUGGGCUGAAAUAGCGAUGGAGAUGUGGACUGGAAAGCCAACUAAUUACUCUUAUCUAUAUGCAUUUGGAUGUCCUAUGUACGUGAUGUACAAUGCCCAAGAAAGAAAAAAGUUAGAUCUAAAAUCUAGGAAGUAUAUCUUCUUAGGGUCUGCUGAUGGAGUAAAAGGGUAUCGUCUGUGGGACCCCACUGCCCACAAGAUCAUUAUCAGCAGAGAUGUUAUCUUUGUAGAAAAUCAACUACAAAUGAGAGAUGAGGAUGAUAGCACUGUAAAAGAAAAGUCAGAGACUGCACCGAUAUAUGUAAAAAAUAAUCUAAAAAAAGAAGAUUCAGAUUCUUCUGAAGCAGCACCAUAGCACAAGGAAUAAGAACUAAUCGAGUCCGAGACUCCAGAAGUUCGUCAAUCAACUCAUUAUGACGACCACCACCGUAGCACUCACAGUAUGUCAUAGAGAUCAAUGUUGCAUACUGUUUUCUAACAAAGAAUGGAGAGCCAUCAACUUUCCAUUAAGCUUUAAAUAGCUCAGAUGUUACUUUGUGGAUGACAGCAAUGCAGGAAAAAAUUGAAGCUCUACACAAGAACAAAACAUGAAAACUUGUACCACUACCACAUGAAAGAAAAGUCAUUGGUAAUAAAUGGGUCUACAAGAUUAAACGUGAUGGCAAUAAUCAAGUGGAGCGGUAUCAUGCAAUAUUGUUAGUGAAAUGAUAUGCUCAGAAAGAAGGUACUGACUUGAAUAAGAUAUUUUCUCCGGUGAUUUGACUUACAACAGUCAGAUUAGUCUUGGCGAUGUGUGCUACAUUUGACUUAUAUCUUGAGCAGUUAGAUGUGAAAACUGCAUUUCUUCAUGGAGAACUUGAAAAAGAAAUUUAUAUGCUCCAACCAGAAGGUUUUGCUGAAAUAGGAAAGAAGAACUUGGUUUGCAGAUUGAAUAAAUUUCUAUACAGUCUCAAACAGGUGCCGAGGUGUUGGUAUAAGAGAUUUGAUUCCUUCACCAUGAGCCUUGGAUACAAUAGACUCAAUUCAGACUAUUGUGCAUAUUACAAGAGGUUUGAAGAUAAUGAUUUUAUCAUUUUACUAUUGUACGUGGAUGACAUGUUGGUAGUAGGCCCCAACAAAGAUCGAAUCCAAGAAUUGAAGGCACAAUUGUCUAGGGAGUUUGAAAUAAAGGACUUGGGACCCGCAAACAAGAUUCUAGGGAUGCAAAUUUAUCGAGACAGAAAUAACAUGAAGAUUUGACUUUUUCAGAAGAACUACUUGAAGAAAAUCUUGCAACGGUUUAACAUGCAAGAUUGUAAGCCAAUCUCUACCCCACUUCCUGUUAAUUUCAAAUUAUCCUCAAGUAUGUGUCCUAGCAAUAAAGCAGAGAUGAAGGAAAUGUCUCGAGUACCGUAUGCAUCAGUAGUGGGAAGUUUGAUGUUCGCUAUGAUAUGUAUUAGACUAGACAUUGCACAAGCAAUGGGAGCAGUAAGUCCAUACAUGGCGAAUCCUAGUGGAAAACAUUGGAAAACUGUGAAGAGAAUUUUGAGAUAUAUCAGAGGAACCUCAGAUGUUGCAUUAUGUUAUGGAGGAUUAGAAUUUACUGUCAGGGGCUACGUGGAUUCAGAUUUUGCAGGAGAUCUUGAUAAAAGGAAAUCCACUACUGGCUAUGUGUUUACACUUGUGGGAGCAACUGUAAGCUGGGUUUCGAAACUGCAGACCAAUGUGGCUUUAUCUACAACAAAAGCAGAAUACAUGGCAGCUACACAAGCUUGCAAGGAAGCUAUUUGGAUACAAAGGUUAUUGGAGGAGCUUGGGCACAAACAAGAGAAAAUAUCUGUGUUUUGUGACAGUUAGAGUGUCUUGCAUAUUGUACGGAAUCCAGCCUUUCAUUCCAGGACAAAGCACAUAGGAGUUCAUUAUUACUUCAUUCGAGAAGUAGUGGAAGACGGAAGUGUGGAUUUACAAAAAAUCUAUACUAAGGAGAACCUAGCAGAUGUUUUGACCAAGCCGAUAAUUACUAACAAGUUUGUAUGGAGUAGAUUCUCUUGUGGCCUUACAGAAACGAAAGCAACAUGAUAGCGGCGAAGCAGAAAGGAUGGCAUGGAGAUUGAUUGAUUCUCAAUCAAAUCUCCAAGUGGGAGAAAUGUCAAAGCCGGUGGCCUCAACAAGCCAAAUUCAAAUUGGCUUUGACAGCCACCAAUCUAGAAGAAGUAGAAUUCCACAGUAAAAAAGAAAGAAGAAGAAAAAUAAAAUUUGAAAGCAACAAAUGUUGAAGGAUUUGGCACCGCCAAGGAAGAAAGAAAAAGAAGAUAAUGGUGGUGAGACAAAAAAAAUUAAAAUAAUAGCCAAUUUUGACUAUAUAAAGGAAGCUCCUCAUUUUGGUUUUUGCAUUCACUCUUUGUGAGAGAGAAAGCAGAGAGCUUGAGUGAUUUUAAGAGCUUAAAAUUAUAAAGCUCUUGUGAGUAGAGAUUUGGUGUAUUGGGGUUCUGGGUAGUGAGCAAAAAUAUUACAGUACUUAUAAUCCUCAUAUUACUAGUAAAAUAUUUUCAUUCUGUCAUCGCCCAUGGACGUAAACUAAAAGCCGAACCACAUAAUUUUCUAGUGUUCUCUUUUGUGCUUGUUCUUUAUUUUCUUUCAAUUUCAUUUUAUCUACGGCCUUGCUUCACCCAUUAAUUUCCUAACAUUUUUCAGCCCCUAUUUCCCAAAGGUUCGAACUCAACUAGCCAGCCAAAGAAACUAUCAAGCCCCUAAAGGAUAAAUUCUCAACUCCAAUACAAAAGAAUAAUUCAAAUUAGUUAAAAGAACAGAAAAAUAAUUGUUUGGCUGCUAAGAAAGUUGAAGAAAAUGGUCAAGAUCUGGAAUUUUAAUCUUAUUCAAUUGGCUUCUGGAACAAUCUACACCUACUAACAGAUUACUUAUAUAUGUAUAUACAUAUAUAUAUACACACACACACACCCAAGCGCAGCAGCUCAGCUAAAGUUAACAAACUAACUAUUUACAACUUGCCUAACAAAAUCAUCACGUGUAUAUGCACAAGCAGCUACAUAACCACCUGGUGCUGCUGGCAGUACAUGUCAUCACCUUGUAACUGAUCGUAGAAGCUUCUGUGACCUGUGCUUUGCCGCAAAUAUGAGCCUCCUUAACAAAGUUAUAUCCUGAUAAUUAAUAUCUCGCUCCACGACCAAUAAAUGUACAGAGGAGUGGAAUUAGGGUAAGUCCUGGACCCCAAGCUUUAAAAAUGACCUUUAUCUAGGUAAUUUUAUUCUUUGCCCCCUCAGUUUCAUUUUUCGCACAUAUUGCCAGCUGCAUUAAUAAAUUUUUGUGUUUCCAUACGCCCCCCUCGAAUGAAAAUUCUGGCUUCACCAUACGCAGUCACCAGAAUACUCAGCAGAUUUGAAAGAGCCAUUACUUACUAGUAUAUAUGCGUUGAUGGAAUGAGAUGUGUUGUUUCCAUACUAUUAUAACUUAAAAAAAAAAAAAAAGAAGUCAGGGCAUACAUAUUAUACGGUAACAUUAAUAAAUGGUUUAUUAAAACAUGUUUAUUGUUAUAAAACUGAAAUAUUGGAUGGUACGUCAUAGGUCAUUACGUUUAAAUGGAGCCACCGGGACUUUGAAUGAAUGGAACAUGUAAGUCAAGAACGCGAAAGAACUAUAAUCUUAGUCAUGAAGUAUAUGCUUUCAUUUCGACCUUGUCUUCUUGCUUCUUCACAAUCUCAUUUUGAGUCAAUUGAACAAAUUACAAAUAAAUGCUUUUUGCAAGCUAUUAUUAUGCCCCAUCUCUGCACCACCGCCCCCCCCCCCCCCCAUGCUUGUUACUAGAUAUUAUGCCCCAUCUCUAACCACCACCCGCCUUGCAAUUUCUACCAUUUUAAUUUAUUGUAUCAUGAAAGAAUGUGUGGGAUCAUGCAUGCGUUUUCUUCUUGAUGGGUCUCAGCCGUGUGACUUGAUGAGUAUAUGGGCAUAUAUACAUAUCAUUGAAAGCGCCUUUCAUUCAACUUGAGAUUUUGUUUCUUUUUGUUUAGAAUUUCUCUUUCAGAUUACUGAAGGAGACAGACAUAGGAAAAGGAGAAAAAAAAAAGCUGCGGAGAAAAUGAUGAGUUUGGGAUUAAUGCGAGAAAUUUCCUAGAAGUUAUGGUGUUAUUGUGUUAUAUAUUCCAAAAUGCAAGUUGAUUGAACGGAACUUGCAUUUUUAAAUUUAAGUCAAUAGCUUUACGACUUAUUAAAGAGCAAUCUCCAAUUAAGGAGAAUUGUCAAGUGAAUGAAAGGACCACAAUGACAUUUUUUAGAAGUCUCUAACAUACUAUAUGAUCAUUUAUCUUAUUAUGAACCCUACUUUUUAUUUAAUUCAUUUAUUUUUACAAUUAUCCUUUUUAUAGUUUAAAAAGUAAUUAACAAUAAAUGUAUUGUUGCUCUCUCUCAUCUGCUCUCUCAGUAUCAUAAUCGGACUUAGUCUAUCAUCAAUGCCAGUAUGUAUCUUACACAGAGGCUGAUAAAGAAUCACAUUAAAAUUUUAGAUUUCUAGAUAUUAUAAAGGACCAGCAAACAUGAGAACCUCCAAAGAUGUAAAGAAUGGUGGAAUAACGCAGGAUAUAGGACAGCCCCACUAAGAACAUGACAGGUAAUGAUAGAGCUAUAACCACCUUGUACGAAUAAGUGUUUGCACACUAAUAUGCCAUGAGGACAUUGAAUGUAUAAAAUCACAUGGAUUGUGGCGGAUCCAAAUACUUAAAUUACGGGGGACUUGGUUCAGCAGAUCUUAAUUUAAUUUAGGGUAUUUGUUAUUUUCUUUUAUUGUUCACUUAAGCACAUUAUAUUUAAAGUCACAAAAACUCAAAUUCUAUAAUUUCUCUUAAAUUUUAAAAAAUAAUAGUAACAAAUUAUUAGACCUUAUUAUGACUAUAUUUGUAAAAGUAUCCUCUUUUUAAGUAAUUAAUCUCCACUAAAUAUCUUAAAGCUAAAAUUGUAUGCUUAUUGGAAUUUGAAUCAAUUCUCCAAAAUCACUAAAUAGCACUUUUACCAUUAAGCAUUAACCUACAAGUAUUUUACCAUGUGGAAAAUAUAUCUAAAUCCUCUUUAUUUAACUCUUUUAGAAGGAUUUUGGGAUACAUUUAAAAGAAUAAUAAUAGUCCAGAAGCGCUUACAGGUCCAUCCAUGAUUCAUGAACUCACAUAAUUGGGACGCUUCCUAAAUUAUAAGCAAUUUAAACCCUAUGGAUCUUACUUUAUUCUCUAAAUUAUGAGCAAUUCAUGUAUCUCUAUGUCUUCUCAAUAAUUGUUAAAGUAGUAGAUAAAUUUAAAAUAUAUAUAUAUAUUUCCAUUUAUAUGAGCAAUUUAAACCCUAAACUGCUUGUGUAAGCCUAAAUGGAUUUACCAAUUAAACGAUCAAGUAUCCAUGUGUUUGCUUAAUGAUUAGAAAGAGCAUGAACACCAUUUGAUUUUGAUCAUGGUGUUCAUAAUUUCAUUGUUAUAACUUUUGGCAAUUUGUUUUUUUAAAAAAAUAAAUAAAUAAGAUGUUGGAUAAAGUUCAAAUCAAAUUUUCAGCCCCUAUCUCUCAAAGAUUCAAAAUUGAAUAGUCAGCCAAAGAAAACUAUCAAGCCCUAGGGCUUUUGGCACUUAUUUAUGUGUUAUUUGUUGAAAAGAUUAUAACUGCUAAAUCUAAAGGAUAAAUUCUUAGCUCCAAUCUCUAUUCACAAGAAUAAUUCAAAUAGUUGGCUGAUAAUUAAUAUCUUCAUGAGCAAUUCAUGGACAGAGGAGCUGAAUUAUGGGAGAUCUAGGACGCCAAGCUUUAAAAAUGACCUUUAUCUAGGUCAAUUUUAUUCUUUACCCCCUCAGUUUCAUAGUUCUCACAUAUUGCCAGCCGCAUUAAUAAAGUUUGUUGUUUCCAGAUGCCUCCAUCGAAUGAAAAUUCUGGUUUCACCAUACGCAGUCACCAGAAUGCUUAGCAGAUUUGAAAUAGCCAUUACUUACUAGUAUAUAAACGUUGAUGGAAUGAGAUGUGUUGUUUCCAUACUAUUAUAACUAUAAAAAAAAAUAAGAAAAGAAUUGCAGAGCAUAUAAUAUCAUAUUGUAAUUAAUAAAUGGUUUACUAGAACACUUUUAUGGUCAUAAAACUGAAAUACUGGGUCGUACUUCAUAGGUCAUUGCGUUUAAAUGGAGCUGGUAGCGGGACUUUGAAUGAAUGCAGCAUGUAAGUCAAGAACGUGAAAUAUAGAGCGGGUGCGGGGACUUUGAAUGAUUGCAACAUGUAAGUCAAGAACGUGAAAGAACUGUAAUCUUAAUCAGAAGUAUAUGCUUUCAUUUCGACAUUGUCUUCCUCCACCUUCACGAUCUCCCUUUGGUUCAAUUAAACUGUUGUUUGUGAGAGCAAAUCCAGAAAACCAAAACGGCAGAAGACUUUGCGUUUAGAAGCUGGAAACACUUAAGCUCAACGGUACAGGAUCCUGCGUUUUGAAGAGUAAAAGAAAUACACUUCUGAACGACGUAUGGAUUUGUCGUUUAGAUUUAAGUGAUGCACGCGUAUAUCACGUGCUUGAGUUCAUCUUGCAAAGUUCGUUAGAAGUCGUUAAACGCAUGAGGAACUCACGUGAGGUGCAGAAGAUUUCUGGGUUCGUUUACAGAAGCUGUUAUGGAACAGCUGAUGUGGAAGCAAUUGAUUGGAGAGCAGAGAGAGCUGAAGAGAGAGAAGGAAGCUGGUUAUAUAAAGCUAGUUGUGGUCUUUCUUGGAUAUCUAAGCAUUACUCUGUAAUUCAUCUCAAGGAAAUCAAUAAAGCUGUGUUCUUUCCCUCCCGUGGAUGUAAGCUAGAGAAAUCUAGCUGAACCACGUUAAGAUUCUUUUGUUCUCUGUUUCAAUUACUUCCUUUUAGAUUCUUAAUUCCAAUCCGUUAAUUGUCUAGUUCCAUAGGUUCAUCUUAGUCGUAGCUUUUCAGUUAAACAUCUUGCUGCAUCUUGUUCUAUUGGGUUGAGGUCUUGGGGCAGAGUCUUGGGUUGUUUUAUCAGUCUAUAGCACCUGAGAUUCUACAAACAAAUUACGGAUAAAUGCUUGUUACUAGCUAUUAUCCCCCAUCUCUGACCACCCCUCACCUUGCAGUUUCAACCAUUUAAUUUGUUGUACCAUGAAAGUAUACGUGUUACAUGUGUUUUCUUCUUGGUGGGUCAAAAUCGUGUGACUUCGGGACCGGGACAAAUGUUAUUCAAAACGCUUUUCAUGCGACUUGAAUUUUGUUUCUUUUUACCUUAGAAUUUCUCUCUAAGAUUACUGAAGGAGACAGACAUAGGAAGAAGAAGAAAGAAAAAUAAGCUGUGGAAAAAAUGAUAUGUUUGGAAUUAAUUCGAGAAAUUUCCUGGAAGUUGUGGUGUUAAUGUGUUAUUUCAAAAUGCAAGUUGAUUUAAUACAACAUGCACACAUAAAUCUAAGUCAGUGAGUAGAAAACUAAAAUCUUAUUAACGAGCAUCACUGUUAAAGGAAAAUUGUAAAUUGUUGAGUGUCCUCACACGGACCAUUUUUUAACAUUCACUACUAUACUGCUUAAUUCUUUUUACGAGCCUCACAUUUCAGUUAAAUUUAAAAAAAUAAUUAACAACAAACAUAUUUUUACCCUCUCUCAUCUGCUCUCUCGGCAUCAUAAUUAAACUUAGUCUAUCACCACCAUCAAUUAAGAUAUAUUUUACAUUGAGGAUGAUAAAGACAUAUAUGUAUCUUCGAAUGAUCACAAUAAAAAUUUGCACUCCUAGAUAUUAUAAAGGAAUAAAAAACAUGAGAACCUCCAAAGAUGCAAGGAAUGGUGGAAUAAUGCAGGAUAAAGGACAGCCCCACAAAGAAAUUCCAAAUUGCCCAAGGUCCGAAAUACAAUACCAAAUAAACAAUUUCCCAGACAUGAAAAGAAAAUUUAGCCAGAAAACAAGCUUCCAAAGUAAGAGACAAUUUUCCAUCUUUAGAAAGUUGCCAGAAAGUUGCCAAACAAUAAAAUGCAUUGCAGGUUCUAUUGACAAAACUAUGUCCUUGAUUUCACUUGCAUGGUCUGGAAGUGCAUUAGCAAAAGAAAUAGGAAAGCUGGAAUAGACCUUUUAUCAUUGACAACCAGAUGAAGAGAAAGAGUGCAAAGACAAAAGAAACAAAUAAAAAUAACAUUUAUUUCAAUUUGUUAUUAAGGGUAAUUUUGAAAAUAAAUGGAUAAAUUAGAAAGUGGGGAUUAAUGAAAUAGAUGAAGAGAUCAAAUAUCACCUCUCAUGAUUUUAUCUUUGCAGGCCCAAGGUAAGCUUUUGGACCUCGUUUAAAGAAAAUCUUGAAAAAUAAUUAAUGAAUGGUAAUAUUUAACUCCAUUUUAUCUCACUAGACCCUAUUUCUUAAUAAAACUUUUAAAAAGGUAAAAAUAACUUAUUUUUGGCAGCAUGCACAAUGUAAUUCCAAAUUUAUCCUUAUUUUCACUGGCAUCAUUGCGUAUGACCCAUCAUUUGAAACUACAAGAAUCGAUUCAUUUUCGUUAAGUCUAGUCUAAGCUGGGCAUAUUAUCUUCUCUGCCUGCUCAAUAGUUUCAGAUAAGCUAUUUCGGCAAGACAAGUGAAGCUGUAAAGGAAAACAUCUUGCUAGAUUUGGAAACGCAUAAUUGCUCAGCAUUUUUUCUGUUGCUAAUUGCUCAACCUCUCAAAGUUUCUUUUCUUAUUUUUCUCUUGUUAAAAGCAUGCAAAAUGUAUCAAAAAAGCAAUUUCAGCAAUCGGCCAUGGAAGCAAAGCAAUCUUUUCAAACAUGCUGGCUUUUAAUGUUUUAGGCUCUGAAAUUGAUGAUAUCGGCAGAGCCUUUUACAUUUUUAUAAUUAUUGGUAAGAGAUUCGAUCUAAUUAAUUCCAAACUUCCUUAAUUAUUUUCUUUUAAAAAAAUAAAUAAACCUUAAAUGAUGCUUGAUUUAAAAAUCAAUAAAUAAAUAAACUUCAAAUUCCCUUAAUUAUUUUCUUUUAAAAGCUUGCCUUCGGGAACAUUUAUAUGAAAUGAUUGAAAUUAAUGAAUUAAUAUUAAUUUAGUAUAUAUUUUAAUUAAUUCUAUCAAAUAUUGUUUUACUUGAGAUUUUUUCGUAUACAUACUAAUUUGUCUACAUAUGUGCCCGUACUAGUAGUGUAUGUUUGAUGAGAAAUGACAUAAAUAAAUGUAUAUAAAAGGAUAUGACAUGAAUAAAUUAAUUGUAUAAAACUAUCAUAAACCUACAUAUAACUACCACUUUCAAUGUGAAUGCAGUAGUUCGUUAUUCCAAGUAUCUAAAUGCUCCUUUGACAACUUCAAUUUCAAAGCUUGAACAUUUCCAAUUCCGAGCACAAUUAAUUCGAAGCUUGACUUCUGAUUUUCCUUCCUUCUCAGUGACUGUAUAAAAGAAUAGGUAGUUUAAUUGUUUUAGCUGCAACCAAAUACUUUCUCCAUUUCUUAUUGGAAUAAUAAUUAUGUCGAGGUACCAUGGAAGAAUAAAUGCUGCUGUCUCCACUUUGCUUGUUGCCUAUAUAGUUUUGUUAGUUUGUUCAUGUCCCUUGCUUAUAGAAGCCAGAAUUCAAAAUUUCUCAGCCAUCCAAGGUGCAAAUCAAUCUUCACAACUUCAAUUAAUUUCUUGUUAAUAUUAAUCACAGUUUAAUCAUUUAUAUAGUAAUUUUAUUUUAUUAAUUAUUCUUUGCUUUGAACUUCUAAUUAUACGCGACAGGAAGUUUAGUCCAUCAAAGAAAGAAAGAAGGAUUAGACCAUCGGAGACAAAUGAGAGAACCUGGCAAACAAGAUUCUUCUCCGGUAACCGAUCCAAACCAUGGCCAACGUUGCACUGGUUGCUUGCCUUAGUGGUAGCGAGACCCAAAAUAUAUAUUAAAAAUAAUAAUGGCGCUUUCAGUUCUCUCAAAAGAAAGUUAAUUUAGUUGUUCAAUCUGGAUGCGUUUCGCGGAUUUAUGAUUUAUCAGGAACGGUCCGCAUCUCCGGAAAUUUUUUGGUUGUUCGGAGCCAGUGAUAAAUCGUUUAAAUUUCAAAAUUGAGCCGAUAACGACAGAAAAGCUGAAAUCAUAAGACUUCAGCUCGGUUCGGUAUUAUUUGUAUGCGAGAAAUAAAAUAUUCAAACAACUAAUGCAAAAAUCAAGAGUUAUUUAAUUCAGUUUAUAUAUAAUAAAUUUAAAAUGAAUUUGUAGCUCUAUCUUCGUUAUUAUAAACGAAGAGCGUUAUUCCUAUUUAUGCUCUGCUUGUAACCUUUUUAAUUACCGCUGUAUCAUCGAGUUCAUGGCCGACGUACAUAAAAAGCAAAAAUUCCGGAAUUUGCAGCUAUUAAAGAUGCAUAUCGCUACAUUCCAUUUUCACUGUAACGUGGAGCAGGGGCAAACAAGUAUUAACCCCCCAAUACUUUAAGGGAGCACGAUACGAGACUCAUGGAAUUUUUUUUUUUAUUUUAAAAAUUUAUCAUUGCACCACCUUCCUUUUACUUUAUAUUCAUUUAACCACCACAAAAUUUUAACAUGUUCUUUGCAUCACUUUUUUUUUUAAAUUUGUAUCGAUUAGCCACGUUUGCACUAACACCGUUAAAUAAUUUAAACGAAAUAAUAAUUUUACCCCUAAAUAAAUUAAAAGACCAUUUUAUCUUAUAAAAGCUUUGAAAAAUAAAAAAUUAUAAUUAUAAAAAUACCAUUAAAUUUAAUAAAAAAUAAAUUCAAAAUAGAGGCGCCUAGCUGAUUUUUAUUAAAUUUAGAUUUUGUAAAAUUUUAAUAAUUAUUUGUACUAAAAAAUUUUAAUUUUGUAAAAUUUUAAUAAAAAUAACUGAAUUUAUUUAUUAAAAAUUAUAAUUGUACAAAAUUUUAUUAAAAUAACUGAAUUUAUUUAUUAAAAAAUAAAUCCCAAAAUUUUAAUAAUUUAGGAAAUUUUUAUUAAAUCCCAAAAUUUUGCUAUUAUUUUUAUAAUUAUAAUUUUUUAUUAAAAAGAAAAUUGUUAAUUUCCGGAUUUAUUUCUUUAUUAAUGUAGGGGUAUUUUAUAAUUAUAAUUUUUUAUUUUCAAAGUUUUUAUAAAAUAAAAUGCUCUUUUGAUAUAUUUAGGGGUAAAAUUAUCAUUUUUUAAAAAUUAUUUAACAAUGUUAGUGCAAAAAUGGUUAAUUGAUAUAAAUUUAAAAAGAAAAGUGGUGUAGAGAACAUGUUAGAAUUUUGUAAUGGUUGGAUGAAUAUAUGACAAAAAAAUGUGGUACAAUGAUAAUUUUUCUUUUAUUUUUUCAACUUUUAUCUUUACUCAUCACUUGGGAGUCUAGCUAGACAGAAUUUGAGGCUAGAUCCCCGGAUGAAUUGGAAAGUCCACGGCUGGGUAGGAUGCGUAGCCAGGGGGCAGUAGAGGAGGCGCACAUAUUGACCUGCUAGUCUUUUUUUUUCUAGAAAAUCUUUAAUCACAAAAUUUUAUUUUCCCUAAUAACAAAUUUUUAAAAUUGACUUUAAAUAAAAUAAAAAAAUAAGUUCUUAUAUUUUCUUCGCCAAAAUUAUUUUAAUUGUGUAUGUUAAAUCUAAAAUUAAAUAAAAAUAUUUGAGGAAAAUCAAAUUCGUCUAAGUAAACUAGAUUUACCUCCAAUAGAUAUUAAGUCUAGCUAUGCUACUAUAGCGGGGGAAAUAGAAAAUCCGCUACUUUAUAAAUAUAAUUCAACACCACACUGUAGUUUAAAUACUGUGAUUUAGCCUAUGUACGGAGAUGGUUUUUUUUUUAAUCAAUUUGAAUUCGGAUCUUCUUCUAAUCUCAUUUUUUUCUUAAAUUUUUUGAAAUUCUUGAGACAAGAGAAAAUCGUUUUAGAAAAACAAUGUCUUAAAUUAGAAAAGUAAAAUAGCAAAUUUUCAUAAACAAAUCCAAGUCUUCUCUUUCAUUCACUAUUAUUAUUAUUAUUAUUAUUAUUAUUAUUAUUUUCUCCUAAUCCACUUUCCUUAGUUUUCUGCCUUCAUCAUCUUCUCCUUUCGAGAUUCAGCAAUGGCAGCUAUGGGCAAGAUCUCGACAAAUAUUUAAACUAAAGCCAUAUGGUAACAAAAGUUAUAAGAAUUGAAAUAUAAAGCCAUAGGAUAAAAUAGUUAAUUUAGUUUUGUAAGACUUCAAUAGACAAACAAGAAAAAGAGAAAGUACAUGUGUUUUAACAUAUUGAAUGACAAGCAAAAAAACAAAUAUUAUUUACCUCAGAUUUUAUAAGACUUGGGAUUUGUAUCAACUGAGCUUGUCCCAUUUUGGAGCAAAACACAAAUGAAUAUGAAUAUGUACCAUGUAAUUAACAGGAAUAAUUCUUAACUCCAAUUCAAAAGAAUAAUUCAAAUUAUAUUCUGAUAAUUGAUAUCUCCAUGAGCAAUAUAUGUACAGAGGAUUGGAAUUAUGGAGGUCCUGGACCCCAAGCAUUGAAUAUUGAGUAAAUGAACUUUAUCUAGGUAAAUUUUAUUCUUUGCCCACUCAGUUUCAUAGUUCUCACGUAUUGUCAGCUGCGUUAGUAAAGUUUGUUGUUUCCAUGUUAUUAUAACAUGAAAAAAUAAAACGAAUUGCACAGCAUAUAUAUUACAUAUUAACUAGAGUUGGCAACAAUACCCACGGGGCUCCAAACCUGCGGGGCCCCGCUUAAUUUGGGGUGAGUAUGGGGCCCCAAAAAAGUCUGAAAAUAAAUUUGGGUCUAUUUGGGUAUGAGUCUAAAACCCCAAAACGUUUCAGGUUCGGGUUUGGAGAUUUUCCGGAUCCCCUAACUCAACCUGAAAAUAAAAACAAAAAAAAAAAUCUAAUAUUUUAAACUUUGAAAUUAGAAAUUGUAAUGCCAUCGAAUCAAAUUUUUUCCCCCAAAAGAAACCCUAACAGUUCGUGAGCUGCCGUCAUCACUAACAGCCGGUCAGCCGCCACCGUUCGUCGUCACCGACCAACACUCAGCUGCACUUGUUGGUUCUCCUGCAGCAAGGUUUUUGCCUUUUCUACUUUUCUUUCUUUGUUUAUUUAUUUCGAAUUGCAUCUGGUUUCAUUGAUUUGGGUGUCUCUGUGCGUGUGUUUGUUUGUCAGUAAUGAGUCAUUGAGUUGCAUCUGAUUGUCAUUUUUAGCACUUCCUUUGGAUACUGGCUGCAAUUUGUUUGUCAGUAAUAUUAGCUUUAUUAGUUUGCCUGUGCUAUCAACUGAAACUUUAAGGGUUUAAUUGGUUUAUAGCUUGGGUAGUCAUGAUUUUCUUUUAGCUCUGUGUUAAAUUUCCAGGGUUUAAUUGCUUGCUUGCAUAUUGCCCGCUUGCUUUUCUUUUCUUUUGGCAGCUACGUGAGGGAACCAAAAUGAUAGACAGGUGACACAAAACAAUUUACAGAACCCCUUUUUUUUUUAGGUUUGGAACACAUGAAUUAUUUGCAUAGCAACCAUUAGAGGUGUAAAGAAACUAGUUUAGCACUUAAGAUUUGGGCUAGAGUGGAAUUUCCACGUACGGCAAUUAAGGCAGCUCAAUCCACUGUAGAAUUCUUUAAAAAACAGGAAAUAUGGAAACAUUAUAUAUGCAUGCAUUACUCUUACGCAUCAUUUUAUGUGCCUCUUUAGUGUAUUUAAAAAUGACUAAUGGCUCUAUGUUAAUAAUCUAUGUACUAUGCAAGUGGCACUUUUUAUCUGAUAUUUAUUCUCGUUUUUGCAUUAUUCUUAACAUUUUCCUUUAGCUAGCUAGUUUCGAAGCUGAAGGAAUUUAACUAGUUCUAUUUUAGUUUGCUGAAACAUCCAAGAGGACAUUUUUUAUUUAUUAUUUUAAUUAAUUAAUUUACUUUUGUUGAGCAGAAUAAUAAAUUGAGGUAUUGACAAACUUGGGUAAUAAUAUUUCCUUUGGCAUUCUUUAUGGGAUCCCACUGCCCCUUCUGCUGAUUUGGGUUUGUUCAGAACCAAAGCCAUCCUGCUUUUUGAAAUAUUAUUGGUUUUCACAUCUGGGGGUACAGAUUUUGCUCUUGCUUUUAGUUCAGGUGAUAAAGACACACCAUUAAUGCCAGCUUCUUGCUUUGGCGACUCUCUAGUUUUAGAGUUGGCUCUCAAACGAGACGUCGUUGUUGCUGCUGUGGAGUGUGACAUGCUGUUGGUUUUGCUUAAUUCCUGAUGCUGCUUCAUGGGCUCUUGAAUAUCUGGUUCUUUAAAGAUAAACAGAGAAAGAGCAUGCAAUUAAUUGCAAAUUAUGAGACUGUUGCAAAUUAUGAGACUGCUGCAAGUUAUGUAAGGAAAUGACAACUGUUCUGUUAGCUGUUUUAGGUGAAAGUGAGUUCAGAGUGGAAAUGACAACUGUUCUCUUACUCUAAAAUUCUUCAAACCCAAAUCAGCAGAAGGGGCAGUGGGAUCAUAUUUUUUAGGAGAAAUUUAAUAACUUCCAGAAUUUAGUUUUUAUAUUACCUUUGGCAUUCUAUAAGUCAAUUAAGCAUCAUUAACCAUUAAAUAUAACUAGAAAUUAUAGAUGCUCAAUUAGUAAAUGUUCGUUGCAGCCAAAGAAUAAGCGAGUAUUUGUAUUUUAUCUCUUAAAUAUCUUAGUACUAGUUGGUUUUAAAUCCAGUACAUGGUAAAAUCAGAUUUAAUGUUUUGUAUCUGCAUAGUUCUUAAUUGUUUGCUUCUAGUAAAAUGCUAGUUUUAUUUUCAUUUUAAAAUUUUGCUUAUUGGCUUGAUGGAAGGUGAAUGGUGAUAACUAUCCUAUAUUGUCUCAAAUUGCAAGAGAUAUUUUGGCUAUUCCAGUUACCACUGUUGCUUCUGAAUUUGCUUUCAGCACUGGUGGUCGAUUUGUAAGCCCAUAUCGCAAUAGACUUCAUCCAAGCACAUUGGAGGCUUUGAUGUGAAGAUUGAAACAGAUGUAGAGGCUAUAUAGGUAUAUAGUUUUAGUUUAUAUUAUCUUGUCUAGUAUUUAUUAAGUUGAAUUGUUAAAACAUGUUUUUAUUAAUUUUUUUUUUGUUUAUGUUGUUAUAGGUUUAUGAAGAAUCUUAGAAUGUGCAUCAAUGGUGAUGGCUACAAGUUUAUGUUGAAGACUUAAAAUUAUUUUGAUUUGUCAUAUAAAAUUUAAUCAUUGUAAUUAUGUUGAAGGAAUAUGGAGGUUUUUAGAAUUAUUAUUAUUAAAAAAAAGGAAAACUGAAAUAUUUAGAAAUUAUUAUUUAAAAAAUGGGGAUCAGGUCCCCGUUUUAAUCCCCGCUCAAUUCGGAGAUUUUCAGGGAUAUACCUAAACAAUUCCCCAUUACAAUUUUUCUAGUAUGGGGCGGGUUCGGGGGAUUGCUUCUAAAUUGGGUUUGGGUUCGGGGAUCAUGAUCCCCACCCGAACCCACCCCAUUGACAUCCCUAAUAUUAACAUAAAUAAUUGGUUCAUUAAACGAAUUGGUUCAUAAAUAAUUGGUUCAUUAAGUUUGUUGUUUCCAUAUUAUUAUAAUAUGAAAAAAAGGAGCAUAUAUAUUACAUAGUAACGUAAAUAAUCGGUUCAUUAGAACAUGCCUAUUGUCAUAAAACUGAAAUAUUAGGUAGUCCUUUAUGGGUUAUUGCGUUUAAAUCGAGUUGAUACUAGGACUUUGGGCUUGUUUGGUAAUAUUGUAUCUUUUAAAAUAAUUGUUGUUAGCUAUGCUAUAGAAAUAAUCAACUGUCAAGAGAAUCAAUUAAAUAUUUAGUAAAAUUUGUUUAAAAGUUCUGAGAGUUUUAAAAGUAGUUAUAUGUGUUUGGUAAUCUUACUUUAAACUGCUGCAAGAAUAUAGAAAAUUAAAUUGGACAUAACGUUGAAUACAAUUUAUUUACACAUUUAUAAAAAUAUAUAUAUAUAAUAUUUGAUUGUGUAUAUAUAAAAAUUAAUAACUAAAAUAAAUAUUUUAUAUUAUUAAUUUCAUUUUUUCGGGUCCUUUGAAUUAAUUUUAACUUUUCAAAAUAACUUUUGAACCUCUUAAAAGUAAUCCCAAAACAGGUCCUUUGAAUGAAUGCAACAUGUAAGUUAAGAAGGCGAAAUAUAUAUAGAGCCACUAUCGGGACUUUGAAUGAAUUCAAUAUGUAAGUCAAGAACGUGAAAGAACUGUAAUCUUAAUCAUGAAUUAUAUGACAUUAUUUCGAGAUUGUCUUAUUGCUUCUUCACAAUCUCAUUUCCGUUCAAUUAAACAUAUUACAAAUAUAUGCUUGUUACUAGAUAUUAUGCCCCAUCUCUAACCACCACCCACCUUGCAAUUUCUACCAUUUUAAUUUAUUGUAUCAUGAUAGAAUGCAUGCGAUCAUGCAUGUGUUUUCUUCUUGGUGGGUCUAAGCCGUGUCACUUGAUGAGGAUAGCUGAGAAAUGGAUAGUUGAUUAUGAAAGCACCUCUUGCUAGUAUUUGCGAACUUCUCAGCUAUAAAUAUCGUGGUUGAUAUUUAUAUACAAUCAAUUUGAUAUAGUUGUCUGUGAUUUAAUCCACAUAAUUUAAUAGCUUUUCUGGACUUUAAUGGAGUCCAGGCCUGGACCAGAUCAACACUCAUACAUAUAUUACGUAUGCCCCUUAAUUUUCAAUAUCGAUGCUAAUCAAGUUUGUAUUUCUGCAUUGUGGUCCUUAUUUUAUGUCAUAGCAAACUUAAAUUUGUGACUUCUUGAUUUUCGCUCGCCCCACAGACACACCGGGCCCCCAAAACUAGAAUCCUUGUUUCGACCCUGAAAACUGCGUAAGAUCUUAAUAGGAGACGCUAAUACUGGCAAGAGAUACUUUCAAAAUUAUUGAAUUAUAUGUAAAUUUUGAAUUUAUAUGGCUGAAUUUACUAAUUUCUUAACCAUAACAUAAUGUUAUUAAAAGUUGGUGACAAUGUGCUUUGGAAGCAUCAUUUCUUGUGGUUUGAUACCACUUGUGCGCAAACCGAAAUCAAUAAGCACCAAAUUUUCAUAGAAAAAUAAUAGACACAAAAAUUUAAUAUGGUUCGGCAAUAAAGUCUAUGUCCACGAAGGAAAGAGAGAAUAAUUAUUUUACUAACAAUUAACAGAGUACAAAUUUGAGUAACAAAACCUUAUCUUCCCCAAUACCUAAAUACACUUAGUACUCUUAUACAUCUCAAAGAAAAUAAUUUUCUCAAGACACAUAUUUUCUCAUAUCUCUACAAAUAAUGUAGAACUGAACUGAACACCCGAGGAAACGCUCUCCCAAACUUUCUAAUAGCUCACUUGCAGAUACUCCCUUUCUCUGGACUGUCUCAUAGAGAACUCUCUUUGCACUCUUAGAGAGCUCUUCAUCUAAGCUCUCUAUAAUCCUACAUUUUUGGGAUGCUUUCACUAAACGAAAUGGCUUGGCAUUUGUAGGAAAGUUUCACCAAACAUGUGACUUUUGACUUUUUAACAAGGGACUUGAUCGAGUUAUUUUUAAACAAUUUUCUUUAACUGACCAUUCAAGUUUGAAUUUUAAGGGAAGUAAAAACUAAAAUAUCAAUUUUAAUACACACACACGCUCAAAUGUAUAAUCAUGGCACUUUCUCUCAAAGAAAAUUAGUUUAAUUGCUCAAUCUAGAUCUUUUUUUCAUGGAUUUAUCAAGAAUGGUCCUCAUCCAAUGCCCAUGAAUGCUUUAGGUUGUGUGGAGCUAGUGGUAUGAACUCUGAAUCGCACUGUCUUUCACUGCUUUUGUUGAUUAGACGUACUGACGUUCGUUGUGGGCUGAAAUGGCUAAAAAAUGUCAAAGUCGUGUCAUGACGUUCGUUGAUGGAAAAGUUCCAGCACAACCUGAAACUAAACAAUGCAUUGCAUGUCUUACUUUAAAAAGGAACUUUUCCAUCACAACAUCCACGCAGAGAUAUCUUUUUCAACGUUAACAUGCAAUUUAAUCUACACCUAACAUUCUGUGCUUAAACAAAAGAAAUUGGAUGCAUUUCAAUUUUCUAGAGAAUAAACCGUUUUCUCUUACUCAGCUUAUAAACUUAUCAAAAAGCAUUUCACAUACAACUUUAAUAUUGGUAAGACAAAAAAAAGGUCAUUUAUAUCAAAUAAUAUCGUUUAAGGAUCUAUUUGCUCUCCACCCUAUAUUCUAGGGAAUAUUCCCCUAGAAUAAAGCAUGGGCCGCAGCACAACUGCCCCAAAUGCUCGCUAAAUCAAAUAAUUCUUACUAUUGAUAGUCAAAGGAGGAUCCAAUUCUAAUUUUGAUAACUGCAAACUCUCAAAGUAAAACUCUUUAGCAAAAGUCCCCUUCUUCUACAAAACCAAAAGCAAAAAUAAUAAUAAUUUAUAAAAUAAAAUCCAAUUUCUAACAUGAUUAUUUAUUGAUCAUCACUGGUUCACAAAACUCAAACAAAAAUACAAAGUCUCAUACAAUUGACUAGUAUUGCCUCUCUGUUACUCAGAAAAAAGUUUAUUAAAUAUAAAAUUUCAUAUAAAAAAGUUUAUUGAGUUGUGUGAUUAGUUUUAUGCUGAAUCCCGCAAAUUGCUUUGACAGUUCUAGUCCAUUAAAGAAGAACUCUCUAAUCUUCAAUGCCUGAUCUAUAAAUAAAAAUCAUAAACGCAUUAUUGGGGCAACUCGGAAUAGGCACGAACCGGUUUGGGUCGGUGUUUGCUCAAGCUUCCAGACCGGUUUAACCAGUUGUAAUAUGAACCCGACCGGGCGAGCUUCGUAACAGAUCGAACCCCAUCAAAUUGGAAAAUUCCGGUUCAUUUCGGCUAGGUUACAUGAUUACAUCAGAUCAGGUUCAGACAAGAGAAAGGAAAAAAAGAAAUCAAGGUGCUCAGUGACAAUUUGAAUUAUUUGUUUAUAACAUUUUACAAACAAUCCAUUAAGAAAUCAAACCUAAGAAGACCUAAAAUCAUGGCUCAAUUUCCAGAAACUGAAAAUACAAAGCCACAACCUCAAAAGUAAAUCAAUCACAGCCGCCGACUAGAAGUGACACACGAUGCCAAGGAAGAUGGAUGACGGCCUAAAGUUAUAUAGGAGUUCUUACUUUAGGUAGUGUUUGUUUUUCACUUAUCUGAAUAGAUCUGAAUUUGGUUGUAGUAUUAAGAGGAGGUGGCACUACGAGCCGAAGCCUUCGAAACAGUCAUCCAAGUACCUAAAUUUGACACACAUCUCAGGCAUUCCUCAGCAAUCUUUGCUCCUGCAAGACCAAUGCAUGCUUGUAGCUGAUGUUGAUAGCUCAGGUAAACAAGAAAAAAUCAAUUCUAGGACCUUUCUCGUAUAUUUAUUAAAUAUGCUAAACUCUUGUGUGACUCAGUAUGUUAUUUCGAAUGCGGGCUAGGGCCAUGCAAGUUAGCCAUGUUUUAAGAGUAGGCUGCUUCACAAACGUACAAGAAAAUCAACUGGAUGGACCAAUGGUCAAAAGGAAGAUAGGACUACAAAUACUGUUACUGGUUCUCCUAAGUAGUUAAAGUGAAGAGUCUAUUUCAGUAGUGCAAUAAAUAGUAGAAAAUAUGGUGUCUAGUUUCUUCAACUGGAUGCUAUAAAUCUAUCAUUUGUUGCUGCUUUAGUGGGAGCCUUAAUUUAUUAAUGAAUGUCUGUUAUUAUGUACUAAUGGUGAUAAAUUAACUCAAUUUAUGCCUGACUAAUAACCAUUUGCACUUCUCUACUGAUGAAUCAAUGUAUCCUAAGUGACUGAAGUUGCCGACUCCAACACUUAGGAGUAACCAAUAAGAAUAUCAACAUUCAGUUUCAAGAUGCAGAUGGGUUGCUUGAGGACAAGAGGCAAAUUGGAUUCAGAAUGAAAUGAUUCUUGGCUAUAGUUAAUUCAUCAUCAAUGUUCUCAAUAGGAAAAAUCAAUCAUUCUGUUCAUUUGCUCUCUUUGUCUUUGUUAAUUAUGCCUAUAUUUUCCAUAAUUAAUGAGUUGAUUUGUAAAUGUAAGUAUAUUACUGCCUAUUCAAUACUCUUCACACAAAUAUAAUCUCAGUUCCUGUUUUUCUGACAAGAUCACAGUUAUAGAUUAUGGAAUGGAACAAUAUUUUCUUCAAAUAAUGAGAUCCUACAAAAUUUGCUGCCUCGCUGUAGGCAGAUUAUAACAUAUCCAUGCCGGUGCGAACUAUCAUUUCACAAUCUCAUUACACAAUGCCACCAACUACUUUUGAACUCCUAAAGGUACUUGAAUCGCAGGCGUUUCAAGAAUAAUUGAUUCAAGCUCUCCAAAGUGAUUUUCUAGACAACUGCGGUCUGAACUUUGAUUUUGCAAACCCAUUACAUUGGAGCCAGCUUCAGCGUGCUCACUCUGUUCCGCUGCUUUCUCAGUCAAUAUAUCAUCAUGAAACAACUUCAGGGCAUCUGUUGUUGAAAGAGAAUGCAUAUAUUCAUGCAGGUUCUGGAAUUUGUUUCGUUUCUCUUGUAUUUCAAUCAACAUCUCUUUCAGCUCAUUGAGAAGGCAAACCAGGGCACUUCAAGAAGGAAAAACCAUAAUCUAAUUAAACAAAAUACGCAUACAUGUAUAUAUCUCAUGAACCCAAGAAAUUCAAUUUUUUUACGCAAAGCUACAUACGACUUAUAUUUAUAUAAUUUUUUUCAUUUUCUUAUUAGCAUACCUGGUAACACCUCUAACUAGACCCCAAUUGUAUCCAGAAUGAAAUGACUCCUUAAAGCCGAUAUUAAAUCCCUCUUGUGCAGAGGCUUCUUUCCCUGCAAAAAUCCAUCACGAUAUCCAAUGUAGAGUUUCAACGAUGAUAUUAGUGUAGGUUUGGAAAGUAUCAUACCUUUGCACAAAGGAAAAAUAUGAAGACAAAAUUAACAUAUAGUGUGGAAUUGAUCACGUCUCCUCUGCCACUCUCUGUCUAAAUUAGUCUCUCUAUCAAACUCCUCAUUAGAGCCACCAGAAUAAAGAUCCAUCAUCACCAUCCAGCAAAUCACCUCAAUCACAACCUGAAACUAAACAAUGCAUAGCAUGUCUUGCUUUAAAAUUAGAGAUUAACAUAUAGUGUGGAAUUGAUCACGUCUCCUCUGCCACUCUCUAUCUAAAUUCGUCUCUCUAUCAAACUCCUCAUCAGAGCCACCAGAAUAAAGGUCCAUCAUCACCAUCUAGCAAAUCACCUCAAUCACAACCUGAAACUAAACAAUUUACAGCAAAUCACCUCUAAUCUUUAAACUUUAAUUGCGUAAACUGUUUGUUAACCGUUCAGAUUUUUGUAAAAUAACUGUGACCACCCUUAGAGUUUCCGCCUUGGCCGUACAGCAGUGGACCCCAAGCAUUGAAUAUUGAGUAAAUGAACUUUAUCUAGGUAAAUUUUAUUCUUUGCCCACUCAGUUUCAUAGUUCUCACGUAUUGUCAGCUGCGUUAGUAAAGUUUGUUGUUUCCAUGUUAUUAUAACAUGAAAAAAUAAAACGAAUUGCACAGCAUAUAUAUUACAUAUUAACUAGAGUUGGCAACAAUACCCACGGGGCUCCAAACCUGCGGGGCCCCGCUUAAUUUGGGGUGAGUAUGGGGCCCCAAAAAAGUCUGAAAAUAAAUUUGGGUCUAUUUGGGUAUGAGUCUAAAACCCCAAAACGUUUCAGGUUCGGGUUUGGAGAUUUUCCGGAUCCCCUAACUCAACCUGAAAAUAAAAACAAAAAAAAAAAUCUAAUAUUUUAAACUUUGAAAUUAGAAAUUGUAAUGCCAUCGAAUCAAAUUUUUUCCCCCAAAAGAAACCCUAACAGUUCGUGAGCUGCCGUCAUCACUAACAGCCGGUCAGCCGCCACCGUUCGUCGUCACCGACCAACACUCAGCUGCACUUGUUGGUUCUCCUGCAGCAAGGUUUUUGCCUUUUCUACUUUUCUUUCUUUGUUUAUUUAUUUCGAAUUGCAUCUGGUUUCAUUGAUUUGGGUGUCUCUGUGCGUGUGUUUGUUUGUCAGUAAUGAGUCAUUGAGUUGCAUCUGAUUGUCAUUUUUAGCACUUCCUUUGGAUACUGGCGUAAAUAAUAUCAGGUAAUCUUCAGGUUGCAAGUAAAUAUAAAUUUUUUUUAUUUUCAAUUAAUUGAUAAAAGAAAAUUUAUAUUAUAAUGGAUAAAAAUCUCACAUUUAAUAAAGGGAUCAUUGGAUUUAAUAUUAGAAUCUUCACCCUUAAUUUAAUUUUAAUGGAUAAGUAAUUAUGUAACAAGUAAUCUACAAGUUGUGAUAUUUAUUCAUACUUUAAAUUAUUUUUUAUCUAAUCAAUUGAUAAAUAUUUUAAAUCACCAAAAAAAUGAAAGAAAUACAAAUAAUUUGGAAUUAAAAUUAUUAUUAAUUCUCUCACUUUACCAUUUUGCAUUUUUUUGCUUUCACAUUUAGUAUUAGAAAUAUAUUUAAUAGCAUUAAAAUAAAUGAAUUAACAAGUAAUGUUAUUUCAAUAAUACUUUAUAUAAAGAUAUUACAUAAAGUCUUAUAAUAAUUUGUAUUGUAUGAAUUUAAUUACAAACCAUUAAUACCUAAACAAUAAUGAUAAUAGAAGGCAUUGCAAUAAACUGUUAGCCUAAAGGGCUACAAAUGUUGAUUUUGAUGAUAAGAAACCACAUGUUUUGGAUAAACAAAGAUUUAUAUAUUGUGCUUUAAUAACAAGAAAAUGAUUUUUAUGAAAUUAAAUUUUUCUUCAAGAUGUAAACUAAAAUGAAAGAGUUUUGCCAUCUUUGAUUUUAAUAAAUAUUAUGUUGAAUUUCGGAUUUGGACCUAUUUGAAAAUAUUUAAAUAUUUUAGGUCAUUCUAUAAUUUCAUAUAUUUUGGGCCAUAUCAUAAUUUCUAAAAGUUUUGAGAAUAACAAAGCAUUAUUUAGAAAUUCUGAAAUUGAUCCUAUUUAAAAAUUUUCAUAACAUUUUGGGCCAUAAUAUAGUUAUAUAAAGUUUUGAGAUAAAACUAUAAUUUAAGAAAAUAGUUCACUGUAGCAAGCGGCUAACAGGAUUUGACCAGCGGUAGACCGAAUUUUCAGCAGUAGCUUACUGAAAUGAAAGCGGUUAUCCGGAUUUCGAAAGCGGCAUACCGGAUGUUCUAAAAUUCAAAUAUUUGUUGUAACUGUAACAUAAAAGCAGCUAACUGGAUUCCGAAAGCAGCAAGCCGGUUAUCAUCAGAAAACACAUAACAACUAGUUUUUGGGCUCAAACUAUAUAAACUCAAAUCCAAUUCAUUUUCAAGCUCUCUUGCAAGUAAAAACAAAAAGCACACAACAUAUAUUGAGCUCUCAUUUCGCAAAUUAUUAUACAUUAAAUCAUCUUUGUUCUUCAAUUUGUAUAUUUACUUUUUAAGAGAGAGUUUUUGUUGUAAUUUUCAUUUCCUCAUUAAAUUUGUGAAUGUUUAAGUGUGUGAGACACUUGAAUGAAGAGAUUGAGAGAUAAUCUCUUUGUUGUAAAGGUUCAUUAAUACCUUAGAAGUCAAUUGUAAGCAUUUGAAGUCUUGGAAGGCUUGGAUAGUGAAAUCCUCAAGCUUGGAUUGCUUGGAGGCAUAGAUAUAGGCGGAGAUUGCCGAACCACGUAAAAAUCAUUGCGUUUGUUUUCUCUUCCGUUACUCAUUUAUUAUUUUGCCUUUAUUGAAUUUAUUGUUUUCGAAUUUAUUAAAGCAUUAGAUUGGAUUGUUAUGUGGUUUGGUUAGGAUAAAUUUUAAAAUACCAAUUCACCCCCCUCUUGGAUUGCAUAACUUGUAUUCCAUAAACUUUUUUAGAUAUGUUUUACUAAUAAUACAAUAUGAGUCACAACAAAUGAGAAAUAUUUUACACACCAAUUAUUAUUGAAAAGUACAUAUGUCUAUAUAACUAUAGAAUGAGAAAUAUUUUGAUUUAAAUUUUUAACCAAAAUUAAACUAUUUAUUUCAUGCAAUUCAAUGGUGGAGGAUAUAACAUUAUGAAAUGUUGCUUUGACUUUCAAUAUCAACCAUUAGACUAUGAGAUAUUAAUGUCUUAAAUAUUGUGUCAAAAUUUUAAGUUAAAGUAUCUCAAAUCAUGUCUUUAUAAUGGAAAUAUAAAAACAUACAAUGAUUUUUUUUCUCAUUUUGUCCAUUAAAUAUUAUUUGAUGUAAUAUUUUAUUUAUUGUCACUAUUAAUUAUCAUAAUAGAAGUAAUGACUCUUUGUAACAUAAAAAUUUUAUAAUUACUAUCAAAGAAUAACAAUAAAAUAAUCUUUCAUGAUUGAUAAACUAAAGUUAAUUAGGAAUAUGUGUUAGAUUUAACUUUUAUGAAAUUAACAAAGUGACAUUUAAAAAUAAAAUGAAAACAAGUUUGUGAAAGUUAAAUUUUAUAAGGCUCAGAUAAUUUCCUACCAUGUAAAUAAAAAUAUAAAAGAUUUUCUUUCAUAUUUUUCCCACAUAAAUAUUAUUGGAGACAAUAUUUUAUUUAUUGUCACUAUUAAUUAUCAUAAUAAAGUAAUGACUCUUAAUAACAUAAAAUUUAUAAUUACAAUCAAAGGAUAUCAAUAAAAUAAUAUUUCAUAAUUCAUAAACUAAAGCUUAUUAGGAAUAUAUAUUAGAUUUACCUUUUAAUGAAAUUAACAAAAUGGUAUUUGAAAAUAAAAUGAAACUAUAUAGGCUUAUAAAACUUAAAAUUCCUAUCAUGUAGGAAUAUUAAUUGUAAGAUAAACAAAAAGUUCAGAGAAUAAAUAUGUUAAAUAGGUGUUAAAAACAAUAAAUACUUCAUGAUCAAUUAUGUAAUGGUCCUUAAUAUUAUAUAAAAUAAUGAGUAUUUUAAUAUACGAUAUUAAAUUUUAUUAAAACAUGUGUGAUCAAGUAUUUUUUUUUUAUAUCAUAAGCAAUCUCACCAAUGAGUUUAUUGAUGUAAUUAUGACAUUUACUUAAGUAUAUGUACUUAGUUGUGUUAUUUAUUAGUGUUAUAUCAUAUAUAAAUUUUGCAAUUGUAACUUAUUUAUUUGAUUUGAGUUAAAUAACCUACUUGAUAUUAUAUUUUAAACUUAACAGUAAUAGAUUUUGGAAGAUUUAUUUAAAAGAGAUUACUACAUUUCAAAUUUAAAGGAGGGUUGAAAAGUAAUUUUAAAUAAAAUAUGUUGAAAUUGCUUCAAACUCUAAGGGUGGUCAUAAUUAUUUUACAAAAAUCCUCUACCUUUAACGGUUAGCAAACUGUUUCCGAUUAUUUUUAAAUUAUUUAUUUUUUCUUUACUACAAAUAUUGUGUACCAUUGAUUAAAUCUAAUGGUGCACAAUUAAAACAUUAUUGAUGUUGCAAAAAAAAAUUACAGCAUAAUAGAGGAACCCAAAUAAAAAUCAUGAACUCAUUAUUGGGGCAACUAGGAAUAAGCACAAACCAGUUUGGAAUGGUGUUUGCUCAAACCGAUCCAAACUAGUUUGACCGGUUGUACUAUGAACCCAACCGAGCGAGCUUCGUAACAAAUCCAACUACAUCGAAUUGAAAAAUUUCGGUUCGUUUUGGCUGGCGGAAAUUUUUGUUUUGGCUUCUCCCCCGCAUUUGUAGCUUGUCAGCCCCACUUAUUCUUCUUUAUAUAUUGUUUUCAAAACCUAAAUUUAAUAGAAAAUUUCAUCUAACCCUCAAGUUUUUUUAAUUACUUAACUACCCAAAUUUAUAAAACUUUGGGCUUGUACCACCCAAAUGAGAUGGACCUAACAAUUAAAGGUUCCCAACGAACCGGACGGCACGUUGCAUGGCAUGGGCACGGCACGAGCACGUUUCAGCAAGGCACGCGGCACUGUACGACACACACGUGGGUCUUAAAAGCACGGCAUGUUUAGCGGUGGGCCAAAGCACGGCACGCAAAAUGGCACGUAAUAAGCAUGCUUUGUUGGUGGGCUAGCACGCGACCUGUGGGCCAUUAAUAGAACGUGGGCAAAAGUAUAUUAAAGUAAUUUUUUAAUAAAAAGUAAAAAUAAAAUGUUAUGAUUUUAUAAAUAUUUUAAAAUUAAAAUUUUUAAUAUAUUUUAUUAAAUUAAUUUUAGUUUUAAAAAAAUUCUAAUUGUUUUAUGUUUAUCAUUUAUUAAAUAAAUAAAUAAAUAUCAUAAUUUUAAUAAACAAAAUUAUAAAUAUCACGAUUUUAUAAAUGAUAUAUCAAAAUUUUACGACAAUUGAUAUUUCAUUGAAAUCGUUACUUAGUUAACGGUGAUAUGUUUCAUUUGUGAUUUGUGAAUAAAAUGUUUUUCAUAUUUAUACACAAAAAAAUAAAAUCAUGAACGAAAUAUUUUUUAUUUUUUAUGAUAAAUAAAAAGUUGCAUUUUCAUUAAAUGGAGUUCAAGUCCAAUUAUAAUAUUAAUAAUUCAAAUAAAAUUAGGUGUAAUUUGCUUCACUGCAGUUCAAAUAAUAUUGUUGUGUUAUAAUUGAAUUAGUAAUUGUAAAAUUAAAUAUUUAAAUAUAUAGUUACAAAAUUAUGAUAAACUAAUAAUAAAAUAUUAAUUAUUCUCUUAAUAGUUAAUAAAAAUUAUUAUUAUUAUUGUUGUUGUUGUUGUUGUUAUUAUUGUUAUUAUUAUUAGAUGGGCCGAUAAGCUUGGAAAAGUAUGUUAGGAACGUGGACUUAAAAAAGUACGUGGGCUUGAAGAAAAAAAAAAUUGAUAGGCUUUUUUUGGAUACGCCCGAGCACGGCACGUGAGCUCAUUCUGUGGACCUUGCUAGGCUUAACAAAAAAAAAAGGCACGGCACGACCCACCAAUACUGGCCUAUGAAUCUUCACAGGCCUUGGUUUGAUUGUCAGCACGCCCGUUGGCCACCUUUACCAACAAUACGUAGUUGAAUUGUUGGCAUGGCAUGUCGAGCCCCGAAUUAUUCCUCCUUGCGUCGGAAACAAUUGUCACCAACGUAAACGUUAAAAAUGUCUUUGAAAUUAACGUCGUCCUUAAUUGAUAUUUUCUACAAUUGACUGACUCCAACAUACGGCUUCUUAAUUUGAAUGUUGACAAUUUCAAGUUCGAAAGAGGUAAUAUAUAUAUAUAUAUAUAAGCAUCCACAUAGAACUAACACUUAUAUUGUCAGUUGAUUCUUCUUCAACAACCAAAAUACUCAUAUUUGUUUCUUCUUAGUUAUCAUCCCAUAUAUAAGUAAGACUGAAGGAAAAUGCUCAUAUUUGUUUCUUCUUAGUUAUCAUCCCAAAACUGCCAUAUAAGUAGGACUGAAGGACCAAAUUAAACAACAUCAAGCAUUUCACAAAAAUUUACUUUGCAAACAAAACUUCAACUGUUCAACACAGAGUCAAUGGAUUCUUCUUCAUUAACCCAAAUGCUCACAUUGCCAUCAUCAUUGCCUGUCAUUUUAACUUCUCUUCUCUUUUUCUUGGUACUUGUUAGACAUUGGAAGGUCUCCAAAGGCCAAGGCAAUUUUCCUCCAGGGCCAAAACCUCUGCCUAUUAUAGGCAACUUGCAUCAGUUGGCUCGUCAUGAAUUGCCGCACCAUGCCAUUACAGGAUUAAGCAAACAAUAUGGUCCUGUUAUGAAGCUACAGCUUGGUCAGGUUUUUUCUGUUGUCAUUUCAUCAGCUGAAGCAGCCAAAGAGGUGUUCAAGACUAACGAGCUCAAAUUUACGGGAAAGCCUGAGUUAUAUGUUGCUGGUAUACUAUCAUAUGAUCAUCAAAGUUUGAUUUUCUCUCCUUACAAUGAUUACUGCAAACAGGUGAGAAAGAUAGCUGCCCUGGAGCUCUUAAGCAGUAAGCGCGUGCAAUCAUUCAGAUCGAUAAGGGAAGAGGAGAUGUGGAAUCUUGUUCAAUUCAUUUCAUCAUCUGAGGGACAUGCCAUUAAUCUAGGUGAAAAGUUUUAUUCCAUGACAAAUGAUCUUAUUGCUAGGGCAGCAUUUGGUAGCAAGCGCAAAGAUGGGCAAAAUUUUAUCACAGUGCUCGAGGAAACUAUGAGCCUUGCUGGAGGCUUCGACAUCUUUGACGUGUAUCCUUCACUCGAAUUUCUUAGUUCCAUAACAGGGGUCAAGGCCAGAGUAUUGAGCAUUCACAAGAAGAUGGAUAAGAUUCUUGAAGAAAUUCUCACAGAGCAUAGGUUGAAAAGGAAUGGGAAUCAUGUCGAGGCUGAUGAUCAGGAAGAUAUUGUUGACACACUUUUGAGUUAUGAGGAGGAUAAUAAGAACAAGUUUCAUCUCACAAUCAACCAGAUUAAAGCAAUCAUUUUGGUAAGUCCUUUGCACUAAUGCCAUCAUUAUACAGAAUCUUGACAGAAAAAAACAUACUUAUCCAUGUAAUAUAUAAUCAUAUAAAAAUUCUCAAGUGCAGACGUACAAGCAACAUCAUUAUAUGGAAAAAUACUGGCUGAGAUUUUAACAAAAUUCAGACAUAUGCAAAAGAGAAUAACUCUAUAGAAUAACAAGAUGUGUAAAUUACAGGACAUUUUUGCUGCGGGGAGUGAGACUUCAGCAACAUCAAUUGAAUGGGCAAUGUCAGAAAUGAUAAAGAACCCUGGAGUAAUGAAGAAGGCACAAGAAGAGGUAAGAGAGGAAUGCAAAGGAAAGAGCAAAAUCGAAGAGCCGGACAUCCAAAACCUGGAUUACUUGAAAGCAAUUAUCAAAGAAACUUUCAGGUUGCACCCUCCGGCUCCGUUAUCCUUUAGAGAAUCAAUUGAAAGCGGUGAGAUUAAUGGGUAUACGGUGCCGGCUCGUGCCAAGAUCUUCAUAAACAUUUAUGCAAUGGGGAGAGAUCCGGCAAUCUGGGAAGAUCCUGAAAGCUUUAAACCGGAGCGGUUUGAAGGUUCUUCAGUUGACUUUAAAGGAAACCACUUUGAAUUGCUUCCAUUUGGUUCCGGAAGGAGGAUUUGUCCGGGCAUUGGAUUUGCUACUGCAAGUAUUGAACUUGCACUCGCUCAGUUGUUAUAUCAUUUUGAUUGGAAACUUCCAAAUGGCACCAAACUAGAAGACCUCGACAUGACUGAGAAAUUUGUUCUGGCAGCUAGAAAGAAGACUAAUCUAAAUGUGAUCGCCACCACUAUUAUUCCUUUUCAGAACUGAUCAGACACUUAAUUAGGUGUCGUAUACAAUAAAUAUAUGUGGCAACCAUGUUCUGCAAAAUUGCUUUCUGUUCUUGUGGUCUCAUUGGGAGAGGCUGCUGUUAAUUUCUAAUUUUCUAUAAUAUGUAGCAUGCUUCAUUUCAAUUGAGGCUAAUACAGAAUGAGGAAAUUCCUCAGGAUUGCUAUGCCGCAGCCUGUGUUUCAUGCAUUCAUAUUUUUCCGUGUUUUAAUUAACUAGAAAUGUCCUGGUGAGAUACGUUAAGUACCAUGACAUGAUUUCGUAAAUGAAAUAUUGGAAACCGUAAUUGAAUAUCUUGUUUUGAGAAGUGAGAAGCAUAAUUACUAUGGAUAUUCAUUUACUUCUAUUAUAAAAAGAAGGUUUAUGUCCUUAUGUGUACUAAUAAAAUCAUUCUGUUGAUUAUUAUUGUGUCUCUCAUUAUUGUGCUGCUUGUCUAUUGUCUUGGCCGGCCAAGCAAUCUAGUUUUGGUGGGUUCCUUUUGUUUACCAGACAAAUAUUAUAAUUUUUGUAAGCUUCUAAAUAAUCCUUUCGAAUGCUUCAAUACAUUAUCAGCCUAUUUUGACCUUCAAGCUCGAUUAGGACAUUUUCAAACGUCAAAAAUAGAGAAAAAGAUGCUUCAAAUUAUCCGGAUAAAGAAUAUUAAAUUGGUCGAUUUCGUAAUUAAAAAUAAUCUUAAUCAUCACUUAUAUACAGCUAUUUAAAAUUUGUUAUUGGCUUUUUAUUCCUUUUUUUUUAUCAUUUAGCCAACUCAAUCUUCUUCCCAUUUAUGUCAGGAAGAUUUGAAUUCUAUUAACUUUUAUUUUCAACAUAAGAAAUUUUAGAAUAUAUUUUAUUUCCUUAAUUUAACUAGUCUAAGCACCCAUCUGAUCAUUUUUUUUUUUUUUGUAGCUACGUACUGUAUGCUUCUCACUCGAAUGCGACGACAAACAGAAAAAGUUAUUCUUCUGUAAAUCAACCUUAGAAUCGUUAGAUAUUAGAAUCAUAAUUUUAUUUAACAUUCCUCGAUUGGAGUUCAUAUUUUAGUAAAUAGUUAAAAGGAAAUAAUCAGCUUUGCAAAUAAAACUAAGUUAAAGCUAAAACAAAAGGGAACCUGAGCUUGAACUGAACUAAACGGCUGAGAAGCUUCAAUUACUUGGCCGGCCGGGUUCAUUGAUUUAAAAGAAAUAAGGAAAAGGCAGUAUUUUUUUUUUUUAUAUAUUGUCGAUUGGUGUGUUUUAAAUUAAUAAAUUCUCAACGAUAAACAGAGAGUUUGUAAUACUUAAAGGAACAGGUGGAAAAGGAACAAACUGGAUCAUUUUAUUUGAAGUUCAUAAACUAAGACUUCAUAUUAUUGUCUUUAUGCAGAAUGAACCGGCAGUUGAAAGUGUACCCUUUUAUUAAUCAUCCUUUAACUGUUAUAUAAUUAGGACCAAAUGAGUAUCGAUCAUCCUCAAGACUUGGAACAAAAUCAAGGUGAAUUUCACCCAAAAAAAAAAAAGCAAAGGUCAGAUCCCAUGUGAUAAAGAGGGUAGAUGCAGACAUUAGAAUAGAAUGAAAGAUUUUAUUUCUGCAUAACUAGACCUUUACAGCAUGUCCCUUUUCCAGGUCCUAUUUUCCUCUCAUAAUUAACAUUACACCGCCCGGAAAUAUACAGCUUAUAGCAAAAAGAUGGCCAAAGGUAAAGUGGAAGCAGACUCGAUAUUACGACAUUCUCGAGCGUAGAGGGGAAGGUGCCCGUAGCUUGGGAUGAAACUGAGAAGAGAAGACGACAGUUUAGAUUAUGGUUCCACUGGGAAUCAAGGCAUCCUUGAUUAUUGUGACAAUCCCGCUCUUGAUGAAGUAUCCAUCUGUUUCCCUUGCUGCUUCUUGCACACUGUCACUGUUGACGAUCUGUAUAACAAAAUUAAAAUAUAUUUAAGAGAUCAAUAGACAUAGUGACUACUUGCACCAAUUUGAUAAGAUAAACAGGAAUUAAGGGGUGAAAAAAAAUUAAGAAAUAGAACUAUAACCUUCACAUUAUCCCCAAUUCGAGCAUUUUUGUCGAUUAUUGCUCUCUUGAUGUGAGAAUUCUUGCCAAUACCAAUUGGAACACUACCCUUUGCAGCCAAAAACCUCCUGUCCGCAUCCGUCUGGAGCAAGAAAGUAAAAGUGAAAUCAUUACAAGAGCAAAAGAAUUGAAGUAAAAUAGUCACUUGAGCUAAUUGGAAUCCCAAAGCCUUUUAACAUGCAACCACAAAAUUUUUCAAAUAAAUUACGCAUCUAGAAUGGAAACAUAAUAGGAAAAUAUUGUUAAGGCAGGCUACCUACCUCAUAAUAAUCUGCUCCCAUAAGUAAAGUAUCUUCGAUAAUUGCACCUUCUGAUAUGCAAGAUCGAAGCCCAACAACAGAAUGGUGAAUUUUGCAAUUCUGGCAACAGAUAGGAAAAGUUAAUGUAAAAGACAAGACUGUUCGACACUGGAAAGACUAGGUGACUGGGAUUAUGAUAUAAUACAGUGAUCGCCAUAAAUGAUAACCAUCAACGGCAUCUUCAAAGGUUGCUGAACCAAAAUUCAGGAAUUUACCUUAAUCACACAGCCUUCACCAAUUACACUAUCAGUGACAUCAGCAUCAAGCAUCUUAGAAGGAGGUAGAUAUCUAGGCUGUGUAUAGAUUGGAGCAGAACGGUCAUAGAAGCUGUAAAACAGAGGUCACAGUUAUGAUCAUCCCAGUAGCAUGAAAAUAAAUUGAAGAACAGAAUAACAACUACCUGAAAUCCGGAAUUGGCUUUUUGGUGAUCCCCAGAUUCGCAUUGUAGAAAGCCUCAAUUGUUCCAAUGUCUUCCCAGUAGCCAUCAUAUAAAUAUGCUUGCACCUAUAUUGAAAAAAAAAAGCAAUUAGGCACCUGAAAACUGCAGGAACACCGAAGACUGGAAGCAAAUUAAAAAGUUGUAAAGUCAGUGAACUAUACUGCAUCACUUUAAUUGAAAUUUCAAUUUCUCAGAUGGAACUAAUUGCUUCGUUAACAAUGCAAGUAAACGAGAUCUCUGAAAAAAAAAAAAAACACAAAAAAGAAACUAAAAGGAUACUUACUCUCAUCCCAAUGGAAGUUGCACCAGGGAUAACUUCACUUCCAAAAUCAUUAGCUCCAGGAAAUUUAUCCCUUAGCAGAUUUAACAUCACAUCUUUGCUGAUGACAUAAAUACCCAUACUUGCUAUGUAAGGCAUCUCUUUAGCUCUCUCAUCAUCAAGACCUAAUAUGGUGGUAUCAACCUGAAACAGAGCGUUACCACAGUAUAUCACGUCUGAAUCUUUAAAUGAAAAAUAAAUGAAUAUAAAAGAAGUAAAAAAUUACCUUCAUAGCUUUAAGUUGCUCUCCUUUUGGUUUCUCAGAAAAUUCAAUUAUGCGUCCCUCUUCAUCGAUCUUCAUCAGACCAAAAGCAGUAGCCCGUUUUUCAUCCAUUGGCAGCGCAGCUACUGUGAUAUCCGCAUCAGUUUCUCUGUGUGCCUGAAUAAAUCUCUCAUAGUCCAUUCGGUACAAAUGAUCACCAGCAAGAACGAGAAAUUCCAGAACAUUGUGCUCCUCAAACAGCCACAAAUACUGCCUCACAGCAUCAGCUGUACCCUGUAAAUCAUUGAACCUAACUUUGAUAAGAAUUGCGUGGCCAAGAACAAGAGAUUACCAAUCUUUAAUACAACACUUGUUUGAUUUAUCCAAAUCAAAUUAAUAACACACAAGCGUUAACAGUAUCUAAAUAACUUCUGAAACACUAAAAAUGCUGUUCAGUAUCACCUGAAACCAAUUGGGAUUCUCUGGACUCUGCUGUGCAGCAAGAACUUCAACAAAUCCUUCGUUCUUGUAACCACCCAUGUUGCUAGCAUACGCCCUCGAUAGGUGACGAUUCAGGGACGCAGAAUUGAACUGAGUGAGAACAUAGAUCUUUGAAAUGUUACUAUUCAAACAAUUGCUCACAGGAAUAUCAAUCAGCCUGUAAUUAGCUCCCAAUGGAACAGCAGGCUUUGCCCUCUUCUUCGUAAGUGGAUACAAGCGAGUCCCUGCUCCACCUCCAAGUAUAAUCCCCAAAACACUCUGCAAACGGUCACAGAAAACACAAACUCAGUCACAAUUCUUCCUCUUUCAAUCGUGAGUUCAUGCGCUAGCUAUUACACUUAAACUCUACGUAAAAUCUUUUAAACAAACUAUUUUCUUUUUUAAUUCCCUAUUUUGACAUGAACCAGACACAAGUAAUAAUUCAACAAUUAAACAAAAAUUAUUCGAUCACAAUCCAUCUUCUUUCAAGCUCAAGCACUCGCAAAAGAAUGCUAGGAUGUCAACUUUAUCCGUCCAUGUGCAAGCUGCUUCAUGCAAGCUCGGUUUCAGAUUUAUUUAGGAGUUAAAAAAAAAUAUUUUUUUCCCCUACUCUAGAGGAGAAAGAAACUCACUCGACUGGCUUCAGGAUCAAGGCAAGUCUGCGAAUUUUUCGAAUCCGACACCGCUUGAGGAGACACAACGAUCGGACGCCUCUCCCUUCGCCGAUCACCGGUGACAGCUUUAGAAAAAAUCUUGUCACCGGAGAGCUGAGACGACGAGAACGCCAGUCGUUUAACCACACUCCUGCGGCUGUGAUUGUUGGAGUUAGACGACGUUGCUGCAGUUGACGGAGAUGACGGAACUUUGAGCGAUCCGAUCGACGCCAUACUCGCCAUUAAUCGGUACAAUCUGUUAACGUUAACAGUAAUCGUUAAGCGAGCUGAGCCUGAGUGAGUGUGUGCUAGUGAGAGUGUCAACUGUAAAGAGAAAAAUGCUGAUGAUGACUCGUGAUUUUAUGUGGAGAGCGUGUGAUUACGAUGCGUUUUUGGGAUUGUUAUUUGACCACUUAUUGAUAGAGGAAAUUACGGGACGGGACCUGAAAGUUUUAUUUCAAUCAAGGGUACUUUUGGCAUUUCGGAGAAAAAAUCUUAGUCUUGAGGAAUAAUUGGUGGACGUCGUGGUUCGAGAUUGGGGGAGAUGAGGGAUUUGAUUUGAUUAAACACCAACGGUCACAUGGACGAUGGACUUUCUCUCUCUCGCUCUCUCUUUUUUUAAUUAUUAUUUUUUGUUUUUUAUUUUUCAUUCGAAGCAAUUAGCACCGUCAAUUUUUUUUUCUUCUAGAAAAAAAAAAAAUGUUAGUGCUGAUGGAUUUUUUUUUUUUUUUUAGAAGACUUUGUCUCUCACUUUUUUUUAUCAUUAUUUUUUUGUUUUAUUUUUCAUUCAAAGCAAUUAGCACCGUCCUUUUUUUUUGUUUUAUUAAAUUUAAGAAAAAAUGAAAACAAGGGAAGAGGGAGAAACGUAUGUAGAUAGAUAUGUCCAAACAUGUGAGUUUUGCUUCACAUGUUGGGAAAUGUCAGUGUUUACUUUGUAGAUCCUUAAGCACUAUAUAUUUAAUAAUUUUUAUUCUUUUAAUAUCUUUAAUUUCUAGAAAGGGCUACUUGCAUAAGCAAUUAGUGAGAGAUAUUGUAUUCAUAAUCGGGUGUUAAUGACAUCUCCUUCUUGUUUUUUUUUUUUUUUUUCAAUGGUUUGAAUAAGGGAAAGUUCACUCAUUAAAUAUCAAAAUUUCUCUUGUACUCUUACUUAAAUUUAGAUGAAUGAUCGCAUGUGCAAAAUGCAUUUAAUUAAGGCUAAUCAUACUACGCCCAAGGAUGUUUUAAGACAUAUCUUAAUAAGAAACAAUGACCAUAAAUUCUUAAUGGCAAUAAAUUUAUUCCUUUUUAUUCAUUUCAAAUUUGCUUUUUGGUUGAGCUGCUUUCAAAUAUUAGGGAACAAAACUCUACUCCAAACCCUUUGGGCUUUGCUAUAGGAAUUAGGGUAUGUAGCCAUGUUUCAGUAUGAUCGCGAUCGUGAUCGUGAUAAAUAAAUAACUUUGUCAUAGUUCAUGAUUUCAUUUAUUGUGUUUGUAGGUAUAACUAUUCAUAUAGCACAUUCAGCUUUGGGCGAAUAGGCGGAUGAAAUUGGGCUUAACAAAUGGCGAUCGAAUUGAGGGCCCAAGAAUUUGAAACAAUGGGGCGGGCCGAGCCUCUUCUUUUGGAGUGCGGCUCUCGACUUUGAAACCGAAACCCUUCUUUUUAUCCCCCGUUUCUUGAUAUCCAUCAUUGAAAUUCUGAAAAUAUUAGGAGCGUUUAAUUCCAUAAUUACCCUUUGUUUAUCUCCUGCCACGUCGAUAAUUUUGAUUAUGUCUGAUAUUUCAUGUUGGAUUUUUAAAUAUAUUCACAGAUCAUAUAAUAGAAAUUGAAGAAUAAUUGAUAUUAUGGGUAUCAAGAGAUAAGAUGUUGCGAUUAAAUAGACCCAACCUUGCAAUCUAAUGGCCCAUUAGAUUUUGAUUAUGCCUGAUAUUUGAUUUUAGAUUUUUAACUAAAUUCACAGAUCAUAUAAUUGAAAUUGAAGAAUAAUUGAUAUUACUAUAUUAGGGGUACUAAGAGAUAAAAAGUUGGGUUCAAAUAGCCUCAACCUUUAAGGAGAUCCAACCAUGCAAUCUAAUGGGUCAUUUGGUAAUGGCCCAUUAGAAUUAUUGAUAUUGGGGGUGUUAAGAGAUAAAAUGUUGGGUUCAAAUAGGUCCAACCUUUAAGUAAACCCAAGCUUGCAAUUUAUUGUACCUCUACCAAAGAGCCAUUGCAGUUGAGUUGGUCGCUGUAAAAGAGCACUCGCAAUAGAGAAUAGAUUUCAUAUUAAAAUUUUCUACAAAAAAGAUAAUUUUUUAAUUUUUAAUUCCAAAUAAAUUUAUCGUUCCUCAAAUCCGAUGUAUGUCUAGUUUCUUACUUCCAAGUAUAUAUAUCCUCAAAUCUAAAUAUAAUUAUUGUUGUUAAAGAUAAAAAUAUUGUAUUCUAAUUUAUUGAUAUUAGAACCAUAAUGUUGAAGAAUCAGAGUUUCUCUCGACAUUUCAAUGAAGAAGAAAUUUAUUAUAACAUAUUAAAGAGAAAUCUUGAAGAAGAAAUUUAUUAUAACAUAUUAAAGAGAAAUCUAACCAUGUUAUAUACAAUUAAUGGAAAUUGAUGAAUAUUCCUCUUCCUAUGUUUGGAAAAAAGAAGGGCCGGUUCUCCUGAUCUUAAAGCGAUGAAUGAACUUGUUAACCACCAUUUACCUAAAUUUAUCAUUAAUUACAGUCUUUAAAUCGUACUAACCGUUUGUUUUGUCAAAAUUAAUCAUUUCUAAUGAUCAUUAUUAAUCUACAGUCUAUAGUUUGUACUAACCAUUUCUUUCGUCGAAAUAAAUUUCUUUUUUUCUUUUUUUGGUUGGACAAACAAAUUGGAGAUUGAAUAAAGUAAUCAUUCAAUGGCGUCGCCAUACUUUUUCAUUGUGAGAAAAAUAGAAUCGUACACCCCACAUGCUAAAACCAAUCAUACCCAUUAAUUACAUGAGUUAGCUAAAAGAGCUCAAAAGGAAAAGAUAAAGAAGGUGAACAGAAGCAAAAUAAUAGAAGGAUGGUGAGUACUCUCAACUUUAUAUGAUCAAUGGAUCCCAUCUCCAACCAGAAAUCACCUUCUCUUUUAACCACACGCACGGGUGAGUGACUCCGAAUUAUUGAUUCUUUGUCCCCCUACCCCCACAAAAAGUAAAAAAAAAAAAAAACAAAUUGAUAAUGGGUUCUUUGGUCACCGGGGACCACAUGCGUUGCACGUGUAAUCACCACUCACAUCAGAUUGUCUGGCAUUCUAAUUCCAUCUUCACUUUUACCAAGCGGCAGCAGUGAGCGAGCAUCCUAAUAAUCAAGAAACCACAAAAGAAUCAAGAUUUAUUUCUUUCGCUAAUCAACAUUAAUGUACAAUAAUUAAUAAGAAAUUACUACGGUUUAUUAACUAUUUAGGAAGCACAUAAAGAACAUAAAAAGCAUUUCAGUAAUUUUUUUUUUUCUCUCUUAUACAUUCUCCUUCACAAUUGCCCGACGACUCAGAUUAUAUAGAAAAAUAAUGACACGUAGAAGGAGAAUAAUCAAAUGCCAUAGUAUGUGUCGGUGUGUGUGUGUCUCUGUCAUAAUGAUCUCUAAAUUUUUAAUUUGGUUCGAAAUAAUUUAAUUGAAAACCUUCUCCCUACAUAUUUAUAAUAGUUGGUUCUUAAUUUAUUGCCGCUUUUGUGAUCAUGCAUACUGAGAAUGAUCGAUGCAUGCAAGCAUUUAUAUUGAGUUUCAUGGGUGCAUGCAUGGCAUGGCAUGGGUGGCGAUUCCCAUAAUUCCAAAUCAUGGAAUCCAAAGUCACUCCAUAUCAAUCUUCAAAAGCGAUCUUUAUAAAAUAGUAAGGUGGCGUGAUUGUUAUUAAUUAAUUAUAGUAAUAUAGCAAUUAAUCAUUGGCAUAAAAUAUUAUUAAACUUGCUCUUUGACUUUGUUUUAAUAUAUUAUUUUUCUUGAACCCAACAAAAAAAAAAAAGAGGGAGCAAAAAGUAGGGGUGGGCAAACUUGCUCUUUGACUUAAUAACUCUACAUUCAUUCAAUAAUUAAUAUUCACUGUGGUCAGCCAUGAUUCUUUCUAUAUAUUUUUUAAUAAGACGAUUAUGACACUAUUUGAUAAGUAUUGAACAAAAGAGAUCUUACAUAGAAAUUACGGAUUAAUAUUUUUUUAUAAUCAGAACUUUAACUGAGUAAAAUUAUACGUAAGUACCUGAUGAUUAAUAAAUUAAAAAAUAAUCUUCAUAUGCCAUCAAUAAUAAACACAUAAUAUAAUAUAAGAUUCUUAAAAAUGUUAAAGAAGUCAAAUAAAAAAAAAAUCUUAGUCCAAAAACUAAACAAUAUAAUGAAUUAAUUUGCAGCUUUUGCAAUAUCUAUAUUAUUAUUUCAAAAUAGCAAUCAAUUAAUUAUAUAUGUUCACCAGCUCCUAGAAGAGAGCACUGCGUAUUAAUGGGGGUGGCAAUGAUGGGGUGGCACUAAUGGCAUUGAUGUCUCUGGGGAUUUUGUGGAAGCCGGAACUAUAUAGCCAUGGUUCAAGCUAAGCUCUAGUGGUCCUUGUUAAGUGAAUUGAAGUGCAAGCAAAUGAUGUUCUUAAUUAAUUUGGGGAGUAGUUAUUUAUACUGUAGAUAAUAUUUCGAACGAUUUAAUAUUUAAAAUACUCAUUUAUUAAAUUUAAACUAUUUAAUUUUUACUAUGUAUGUUCAAUAGGAUCUAAAAAGUAUCCUCAAUAAAUCUUUUUUUUUAAAAAAAAAAAAACUUUGCACACCAUGCAUAUAUAAUGUAAAAUCAUCUCAAAAAAGAUAUUUCAUUGCUUUCUAAAUUUUUAUAUUCAAAAUUCUUUAAAACUUUAAGAAUUUUAUUCACCAUGUAAAUAACUCUCCUUCUCUCUUACCAAUAUUCGUAUUUCUCAGAUGGUUGGACGGUAUGGGUGAUUGUUUUACAAUAUUUGUUUUUUAUUUUUUAUAUUAAGAAACCAACUUAAAAUCUUUUAGAUUUAUUAUUGAAUUAUUGAGUUGAUUGCUUUUAUGUCUACAUUUUAUCAAGAUAAGCUACAGUUUAUGUAAAAUGGGUAUUAACUGUUAAGAAUCAUUUCAUUUGGUUUAAUUAAACUAAGUUUUGUAGUAAAUUACUCUAAUAAUAUUAAAUUUUAUUAGAAUUAGAGUGUGCAAAACAUUAUUUACAAUACAAAUAGUCCCACUCAUUCAUUCGGAAUAUAUAUACGUGCGUAUUAUCCUCUUUUGAUAUUAUUUUCAAGUAAUAGUUUUUGAGUAUUUAAAGGCCCAUGCAAUUUAAUUAAAUUGUUUAGCUAUAAUUUAACACAAUGUCUUGUUUGUUGUUAAGGCAACGCUUUAGUCUGAGUCCACUCUUACAUUUGGUGGAAUGCUGGUCUCACGUUCACAAGGGCAAGUGGUUCAAGUCCUAGUGAAUUCAACUUUUUCCUUCAAUUAAGAAUAGUUAAGUGGAGGUCACGUAGUUUUUAUUAUAAAAAAUUAUGAGUGAAACUGAUAUCUCUCAAAUAUUAAAAAGGAUAGGCAGUCUAGACAGUACUUUAUAAGAAUUUAAUAUAAACUAUUAGUCCUAAUUAGUUGUACAAAAAUUUAUAAGUGGACUAUAUAAAUCUCAAAUAUUAAAGAGAAUAAACAAUUUAAAAAGUACUUCAUAAAGAUUUAAUAUAAAUUAAUAGUCCUACCUAAUUAAUAGGCAGUUUGGACAUUAUUUCAUAAGAAUUUAACAUAAACUAAUAAUCCUAACUAAUUGUGUAAUUGCAGUACCAAUAAUUGUCUGCGAUAAUAGCAGAUAGAAUUGUGUGAUUGUAUUAUUAAAGGGGGAAAAAAAAAGUCUCAAUCCACUCUUUAAAAAUGCGCGGGGUUCCAUGAUUUGAAUCACCGAAUAAAGAAUCAUAGAGACGCGUGACAGUGGGAGUACCUCAAACUUCUUUGACGACGUGUAGGGCAGUAUAAAUUUGUGAAACAUGAAAGCGAUAUUGUACUUAGGCUUGUACCUAGCUAGCUAAACCUAAGUUAAUUUGACCAAGCUAGGGCAUUGUUGCUACUUGCUAGCUAGCGACAAGCUAGUGAUAUUUCUAUGUGGCAUGUGAUCUUGGCUAAUGUGAGGGCAACUUUUGCUCAUUUGGGUAUCUUGUGGCCAACGAUAUACUAGCAUCAAGUCUCAUGGAUGUGAUCAUCAUCAAUGCAUGACUUUAGCUAAAAGUGUUCAUAAACAAACAAUAAGCAAAAUGAAUAACGCAUGGAAAAUCUUUUUGAACAAGAGAAUAUGAAAUAAGGAGAGAGCUUUACGGAAGGGUGGUUUAUCUUGCAGGUAGCUAAAAACUAAAAAGACAAAAAACAAAAAGGUUUAAGAUUUGGAUUCAAACAUGUGAAAAAAAGAUAAAUAUGAAAAUGAUUUAUUUUGACGAUCAAAAUUCUCGCUCAAAAAUUUUUAGCUAUAUAAAGUAUUGUUACGAAAUUGACUCAAUGAGCAACAAUAACCAUAUUUUGUUAUACUUUAUAAAGAGUAUUAAGUUACUAAUGCAGAGCAGCAUGAACAUAUAAUAUAAAUUGUAGACUUUUGAGACAGAGUUGAGAUUUAUUAAAUUUUCAAUUGUGGACUCUUUUGUCAGAGCAUAAAUAUUUAUCAACAUUGAAAUUGGGUUUUGUAAUACUUUAUGAAAAUUGAAAUUUAAUCAAGGAAAUUUUAAAAGAAGAAAAUAAAUAUUUAUCGCACACAACGAGAGAGUUAAUUAGACCUUCAAGUUUUCAACAGUUCAACUACUUAAUCAAUCAAUACAAAGAAAAAGAUAAGAGAGAAAAGAGACAAUUCGAGGCAAAUGAGUCAAAGACAUUAAAAAUAAGAACAAGAGUUUUGGUCCAACUGACAUCUCCCCGUGCUAUCUCGAACUAUGUGAUUAUCAGACACACUGACACUGAUGCAAAGCUUCUCAUGAAUGAAGACAAGCAUAAAUGGACCAAAAUGGGUAUUUUUAGAAUCUGAGAAAGAUCUCAAAUUUGAAAAUUUACUAUUUUCAGAAUCUGAGGAAGAUCUCAAAUUUGAAAAUUUACUCCAAUUUAAGAUUUUUAAUUGAUUUUUCAAACCAAUAUCAUGAGCAAAUCAGCAAAUGGGUAUGCAAUAUUUCAAACCGAAAAUAUCAUGAGUAAGAUGGAAUACGUACAGAGAUGAUAAAUCUUGGAGUCGAUCUCGACUUCAAUGAUUGAUAAUUAUAUAUGUAAAGAAGUUUACAGCGCAUUAGGGUUAAAUUUGGUACCCACACGAGGGAAAAUGAUAUAAAGAAGAAAAACUAAUGGUCCCUAGGGAAGUAAUAAUAUCGAGGAGCCCAAGAAGAAUAUAUUGCAAAUUGUGCUUUGACUGAAUCGGUGGAAAAUGGAAUAUCAUCUCCCGUAAGAGCCAAGUCAUUCAAAUCAAUAUCAUCUUCUUCUUCUGGAGGAAAACUUAGAUAAGACAUCAGUGGUAACAAUGGAUCGUCUAAUUAAUUAAUGUGUGAAUGUCAUGUGUGUUAAAUGCUUUUUCUUUAUUAUUAUUAUUAUUGGUCAAUUCUGAAUUAGUGUAAAUGUAACAAAAUAUUAACAAAUAAAUACACAGAUAAUAUGGUGCGCCCAUCCUAUAUUUCUCCCUCUCCGUCUCUCUCUCUCUCUCUUCAAUCUUUUUUUUUUUCUUCGGGACAUUCAUCACAAACAUCAUAAUCACUAGCCCCACCCUCUCUGAAUCGAGUGAGUACUGUAUUUCCCAGACUUGGAUCAUAUUUGAAAGAUAAUAGCUUCAAGCUUCAAGUCUGUUGGGUCCUUUCAAUUUAGUACCUAAAGUUUACAUAGAUUUAUCUACCCACCAACGUUUAGGUAAAUAUAUUGGUCAUUCGUGCUUGAGAAAUUUACUAAAACGGUCCAAAAUUAUGAUUAAUUUUAUCUUAAAGCAGAAGCUAACUUGGAUCACUUUGACAAUGAUGCCCAUAGGCAAGACAGCGUCAAUGACGCCGUCAACCGCACGUAUCGAUUAUGGUCAUAGAUACGGCUAGUCUAUCAUUAUAUUUGAGGGUAUUAUUAUCUAAAAUAUUCUUUUAUGACUACAUAUAAAUAAGUUAAAGUUGGUGCGCCAGCGCCAUUUAACUUAGUUAAAUAUAAUUUUCGUUUCUGUAAAUUAAAUUUCCGAAAUACUUCGUGCAAACUAUUGCGAGAAUUCUAGAAUCGUCAUCAUAUAAAUUAGCAUAAAUUCAUAUCCAGUCACCCUAUGUCUUGUAUCCCUGUAUGUAUUGACAUCUUCUUCUUAUUAGUGUAUCGUUGUUCUAUCUAUACAAAAAAAUCAUUACCACUGUACAUAUAUAUCUAAUAUACACAAAAAUAAACAAAUUAUUCAGUUGCAUGCAUGUUAUCAUAGCCAGUCGAUUUCCUUUAUUCGUACGUGUGAUUAAUACAACAUUAUUAUUUAGUGAUACGUUUAUUAUUAUAUUUUAUCGUAAGAUAUUCAUUUUGUUUGUCCACGAAUCUAAUGCAUAAUUGUUACUUCUACCCCCCCCCCCCCCCCCCCCCCCCCCCCCCCCCCCCCCCCCCCCCCCCCCCCCCCCCCCCCCCCCCCCCCCCCCCCCCCCCCCCCCCCCCCCCCCCCCCCCCCCCCCCCCCCCCCCCCCCCCCCCCCCCCCCCCCCCCCCCCCCCCCCCCCCCCCCCCCCCCCCCCCCCCCCCCCCCCCCCCCCCCCCCCCCCCCCCCCCCCCCCCCCCCCCCCCCCCCCCCCCCCCCCCCCCCCCCCCCCCCCCCCCCCCCCCCCCCCCCCCCCCCCCCCCCCCCCCCCCCCCCCCCCCCCCCCCCCCCCCCCCCCCCCCCCCCCCCCCCCCCCCCCCCCCCCCCCCCCCCCCCCCCCCCCCCCCCCCCCCCCCCCCCCCCCCCCCCCCCCCCCCCCCCCCCCCCCCCCCCCCCCCCCCCCCCCCCCCCCCCCCCCCCCCCCCCCCCCCCCCCCCCCCCCCCCCCCCCCCCCCCCCCCCCCCCAUUUCUACCCCCCCCCCCCCCCCCCCCCCCCCCCCCCCUUUUUUUUUUUUUUUUUUUUUGGUUGCGCUGCUUUGUCUGAAAGGAAUUGCUACUUCUACUUUAGUGCAAAACUUGAUACUCAAUCGAUCGAAAGUUGGACCAACAUGAGAUAUUGCACGGUAAUAAUAAUUGAAUACGUGCAUCCACUUGCUUUCUUUUGGUGAGACUUUAUUUUCUCCAUUAUUGUUAUUUUGCUCUUUUCUUGUAAUGAGACAAAGGAGUUUCAAGCCAAGCAGAUUAGUCAAAGAAAGCUGCACCAAGUGCGAGGAAAAUGAUAGGGAAAUAUCGAAACACACUUUUCUUCUUAUUUAAUGGUCAAUGCGUUAAUUUAGUACCUAAAUUAAUGACAUGAGGAUCAAGUGUGACGAUCAUAUUUAAGUUCAAAUAAAAAUGCAAAAAAGAAGUUAAUAGGAACAUGAUAUGCGAAUCUUUUAAGCUGCUUCUAAAAUAAGUACUUUGAUAUCAUAUAUAAGAAUAUAGAUAAAUGGUUAUUUAAUUCAUAUAUUUUUACUUCGUUUAACCUCUUUAUGAAAGUACUUCAAAACACUUUUACAAUUAAAUAUAUUAUAUUAUUAUUACUAUAACAAUAACAUUAAUUAAUUUAUUUAAAAAUUUUAAUUAAUAGAUUAACUAAUAAUUAUUUAUUAGUAAAUUAACCAAUAAAUUAAUAUCAAUAUGAAGGAACUAAUUUUUUUGUACCCGUAUAAUCAUCUUGUUAGUAAUUUAUUUAUAAAUGAAUUAAUAUCAAUCAACUUAAAGCAAUAUUUAAUAUCAUUGCAACAAUUUUAUUAGUAGUUAUUUUAUAGAAAAUUAAUUUACCAAAUUAAUCCUAAAAGCAAAAUAAUAAUAUAAAAUUUUGUGGAAAUUUUUAUGUUACUUCUAAGAAUAAUUUAAUAAAUCAACAUUUUUUUCUUUUUGUUAAUAUCCUCAAAAAGGUAAGGAUAUUGUUAAAAGAGCAUUAUUGUAAAAGGUAAGAAAAAAAUAACAUUAAUUUAAUUUAUUUAACAAUAAAGAUGUCUCGAGAUAUUUUUUAAAAUAUAAAGAUUAUACAAGUAUUUAAGUCAAAAUAUAAAAUCUAAACGAUCAUUUACAUUACACUAUAAUACAGAGGGAGGGGGGCUUUUACCUUUAAGUCAAUGCUACGAGCAUGGUCAUCACUACCUUAUUUCGGCGGGAAGGGAUUUAGUUCAACUUGGGUGCUUUGAGUUAAAACCAAAAAAGAAAAAAAAAAAUGAAACACCAAAUUGGAUCAUACACUGUCAUGAUGAAACCGUUGGGGGCAUGCCACGACCUGCAAGAUAUUUGAUUGAUUCUUGUCUUACGGCGUAGAUUGGAUUUCCGGUUCCAAAUUAAACGUGCUGAAUGUAUUUCUAAACUUGCAUAUAAGAGUACCCCAACCACACUUUUGCUGAUUUGAUAGAAAAUCAUAUGAAGAUACUUUUAAAUCAAGGCCAUUCUACCAAUGAACAUUAUUAUGAUUAAUUAUGACAUUAAGAAUUUAGACUAUAUACCGAUUAAAGGUACUGAUAUGAAUUGAUUAUUAUGACAUCUACAUUUGGUAAGAAUAAAGAUUCAUCUUUUAGUCAUUAAAGUUUGGUUUAAUUAUCCGGUUAAUUCUUAUAUGUUUUAAAUUACUCAAAAGGUACCUGUCGUUAUUUAAUAGUCCAGUUAAUUUAAAUUCGAAGUAAUCUUAUAAUCCAGUAAAUUAGAUAUUUGUAAUUUGACUCAAUAUGUAAUGAAUAAUCCUGGAAUAACAUCGAGAAUUUUAUAAACAAUUAUUCUAAUUAAAAUAUGAAACCAAAAGUGGCACUUUGUUUGACUGAACUUUUUACUUUUCGAGAAAAGGAAAAUCUCUUUCUCGUGGACGCAAUUGCAAAAUUCUACAAGUUACGUACGUAUUUGCAAUAUUAAUUAAUUUGCAUCAUGCAGGACGCGACUAUAUAUAUAAAUAUAAAAUCAUAAAACUCAUUUGGGCAGAAAAAAAAGGGGAAUGAAUAAAAAAUAAGUAUGAAGUAAUAAAAGCUGCAUGAUCAGUAUUGGUUGUGUCCAUGUGCCUGCAUGGGUCGGUCGGUCAAUCUACUUCAAUGUACUUUGCUUAGCAGCUGAAAGGAAUCAAAUAAAAAAAUUUGAACGUAAAACUAAUAUAUAAAUUCAUCAAAAAAAUCCGCUUUUUUCAUGAUUCAUCAUGAAAGCACGAUCCGACGGCCAUGAUUAUACUUUCUACAAGCUCACACGAGCUCAAGUACACCUCAUUUACAACCCAACUAUGAAAUAAAUACAUUUAAUUGUUUGAUAAUUAAUAAUAAUUAUUAUGAUAAUUUUUUCUUUUCUUUUUCUGAAACCCUAGUGCUGUUUAACAGUGGCUCUAGAUGCUAGUCUAGCUAUGUAGGAUUACAUUUCCUAUGCUCUGAUAAAAGUAAAAAUUUCAAUGACUGUAAAUGUAAUUGAAAAAGCCUGCUUGCUUUCUCAUCACCUUUCUUUAUAUAUAGCAACUGGAGGCCAUACGUUUGCUUCCCAAAAGUCUCUCUUAAAAAAUUAAUUGCUUAUUGUGUUUUAAUUUCUUUUUAUCUUCCAUGGCUGAAUUUGUUUCAUUUUGGCUUCUUCUUUUGGUUUCUAUGCUUCUUGCUUUUGUUUUGGGUCUCAUAAUCUUGAACCACAACUUGCCCUUGUUCUUGAGACUUAGCCAUGUCCCUAAGGGAACUUUUGGUCUGCCAUUACUUGGAGAAACCCUUAGCUUCUUAAAGCCUCAUUCUUCAAAUUCUCUUGGCACAUUUCUUCAAGACCAUUGCUCUAGGUAAACUGAGUGUAUGAUGUGUAUCUAUAAAUUUUCCAAUUCUUGCUCUAAGUAAAAUAAAUAAUAAAAAUUUGGUUAUUUUUGAAUUUUCAGGUAUGGGAAAGUGUUCAAGUCUCAUUUGUUCUUCACUCCCACAGUGGUAUCAUGUGAUGCGGAGCUGAAUUAUUUCAUACUACAAAAUGAAGGCAAGUUGUUUCAAUGCAGCUACCCAAAGACAAUUCCUGGCAUCCUUGGCAACCUCUCCAUGCUUGUCGCUGUUGGUGACACUCACAGAAGGCUCAGAAACGCUGCUCUUUCUCUAGUCACCAUCACCAAAUCAAAGCCUGAGUUUCUCAAUGACAUUGAAAAUUUUGCAAUUCAGAUAUUGGACUCUUGGAAAGAUAAGCCUCAAGUCAUCUUCUGUGAAGAGGCCAGAAAGGUACAGUUAUUUUUAAAUUAAUAAUUAAUCUGAAGUUAUAAACGUUAAUGGUCAUGCAUAUAUAAAUUCUGAAUAUUUUUUGUUUUACAGUUCACAUUCAAUGUAAUAGUGAAGCAAGUGCUAGGUUUAACACCAGAAGAGCCAGAGACCACAAAAAUUCUUGAAGAUUUCUUAACUUUUAUGAAAGGACUUAUAUCUCUUCCACUUUAUAUUCCUGGCACUCCAUAUGCAAGAGCUGUUAAGGUGACAUCAAUUAUUAUUAUUAUCAUCAUCAUCAUUAUUAUUAUAUUAUUAUUCUUUUUGUGUUGCAAAAAGAUUAAGGCAUGUGAGCAACUUCUUUUUGACUAUCUUUACAGGCUAGAAGAAGAAUAUCUUCAACUGUUAAAGCAAUUAUAGAGAAAAGAAGACGAAGAAGUAGUAAUAAUAAUACUGCUGAUAAUUCUGAAAAAAAGAAUAGUGAUUUUCUUGAGAUACUUCUUUGUGUUGAUACCCUAUCUGAGGAUGAAAAAGUGAGCUUUGUUUUGGAUUCUCUAUUGGGUGGCUAUGAAACUACCUCUCUCUUAAUGGCCUUGGUGGUUCAUUUUCUUGGCCAGUUACCCACUGCAUUAGAACAACUAAAGGUAAUAUAAAUUAAUUAAUUUUCUAUAUAUGUGUGUGAAAAUUAAUCACAAGCAUCAUCCAUGCAGUACUCCCUCAACUUUGUAAUUUACCCUAUUUAUUUUAACACUGUAGCUUGAGCAUCAAACUAUAAGAAGCAUGAAGCAGAAUAAUGAGCAUUUGAAUUGGGAAGACUACAAGAAAAUGGAUUUUACUCAAAAUGUAAGAGAAUUUAUAUAUUUUUAUUUUCUUAAGUACAUUUAUUAAUUCAUUAUCGAUCCUUUUUUUGAAUUGUUUUAUUGUAGGUGAUCAAUGAAGCUCUAAGAUACGGUAAUGUAGUAAAAUUUGUGCACCGAAAGGCUCUGAAAGAUGUCAAAUAUAGAGGUAGACAAAUUUGUUCAAAUAUUAUAAUUUGCAAAUCAUGCUUUACACAUAGUCAUGCAUGCAUGAACUUUAUGGGUUUGUUUUUACUUUUAGUGUCUUAUAAUGAAAAGAUUAGCUACUUUAUAUAAUUUUUAUAUUCUUUAUGCAGAUUACUUGAUUCCUUCUGGUUGGAAAGUGCUUCCUGUUUUCACUGCUGUUCAUUUAGACCCAUCUCUACAUGCAAAUGCUUUCCAGUUUCAUCCUUGGAGAUGGGAGGUAUAAUUGGUAGCUUUUGAUCAUCAAACAUGACAUAAUUGAAAUAAUUUUGUUUUGCACAAUAUUUAUAUGCAGAAUCAAGAUCAAACAUGCAAGAAAUUCACACCCUUUGGUGGUGGGUCUAGAUGCUGUCCAGGGUCUGAACUUGCCAAGGUUGAAGUUGCAUUCUUCCUUCACCAUCUAGUACAGAAUUUCAGGUAAUUUAUUCUACUAUAAAUCUAUAAAUCAUAUUUAUUAACAAAAUUUAUAUAAGUUUGAUUUAGUUUUAGUCAAACUGUGGAUAUUUUCGGGAUUGUCGUGCUUCUUCUAACUCUGAAAGCUCAAACAAUUAAAGUGUUUAUUAAAUUUCGACUUUUAUUUACAAACUAGUGAUUUUAUCAGACAAAACUACAGAUAAAAGCAUACAUUGAGUGAUUGACCUAUUGAUUAAUGUUUGGCCUUUUGUUUUUGAUUCUAUAGAUGGAGGAAUCAAGAUGAGGAUCAACCUAUAGCAUAUCCUUAUGUGGAAUUUAAAAGAGGCUUGGUGCUCAAUGUUGAAUGUUGUUCUGAUGAAGCUGAGAACAAGCAACAUUAAAUCCCCAGUAUCUUGAAGAAUCAUAUGGGCUUUCUUCUUGUCUUCCAUCUGUUUAUUUUUUCAGAAGGGUCUCUUAUUUACUAUUCUUCCGUGCUAGUUUUAUUUUAUGUAGUGGUUGUAAUCAGUGUAAUUUUUCCUUGUGAAUUAAAUAGCAAUAUAUAAUCUUCUUUGAACUGUCUACUAGUGAACAAGUUAUGUAUAUGAACUACUGGCCAUGAAUCCGGAGGGAAAGAAGUUACUUUUGUCAACUAGAUUUUUCUCUUUUGCUAACCAUUAAUUAUUGUAAUUAAUUAGCAUAACAGAAACAUAGCAAGUCAGCAACAUAGCUGAAGAAUGGAAAUAAAACAUUAAUAAGGCUUUCUUAUAGCCAUUAUCAGAGAAAUUAAAGGCUUAGUCCAGCUCUUAGGCAGGGUUCACCACUAUGGGACUCCUUACUUGGUGUUGUUUAUCAUCUGCCCAUACCAAGUCCCCAAAUACAUAGUCCUUAGUUGCAGCUCUGACCUUUCUAAACUUAAUGGUGACUUUGAAAUUCUUCUCUUCUCCAACCCUUAAGAACUUCAAGCUCCUCGGUUCAACAGAUACUGAGAUUCCUUUCGGAUUUCUGACACGAGCUAUGUAAGUUCCCGGAGAACCAACAUUCCUUACUGUUCGUGACACUAUGAUUGAGCCGGAGAGUUUGGGGACUGUGAUUGAAGGGUAGUUGAAGUUGGCUGUACUAACAUACUCGGGGCAUCUAUAGGUCUUGUCUGAGAAGAGUGCAAUUUGUGUCUUGUUGUAUCCCAAAGCACAAAGAAAAUUCAAGUAAUCAUUCUCAGUUAAGUCGUAAACCAACCCAGGAUCCAUUGCAAGGUUUGGUUGUAUAUGCCCUGCUCCAUAGCUAAAAGGUGUUGCUUUGUAAGACGAAGCAUUUAGAAUUUGUCCCUUAUUAUUAUCUUGUAUUGAUGCUGUGAAACAGAGGGCAAAGCAAGGGAUCAAAAUCGAGUUUUCGGCACUUGAAGCUGAAACCAAGCAUCAUGUGAUCACUAAGGGACUGGUUUUCAUGUACCUGUGGUCAUGAUGGCUGAUUUAAUUGCUGCAGGACUCCAUUCAGGGUGGAGAGUUUUGAGUAGACCAACAAUGCCAGAAACAUGAGGACAUGACAUUGAAGUUCCUGAGAGAGCGUUAAAUGGAAUCCGACGCCUGUCGUAAUCUUCAUUUGUUGGCCCUGCUGCUUCAGUAUAGGCAGCUAUAAUUGUCACUCCUGGUGCAGUGAUAUCAGGCUGUACAUAAAAUUAUGGUAACGAGUUAUUUAAUUUAAAUGACACAAAAGUUUGAAGAAAUUUUAUUUGCCAUUGAUAUUAUAGUACCUUAAGGAUCUCUGGGGCAAUAGAGCUUGGUCCUUUUGAUGAAAAGGCUGCCAUGAUUGGAGCUGGCUUUAAUCCGAGUUCUGUGGUUGCACGGGUAAGGUAACCAACAGGACGCCUGUUCGAAAUAGAAAUCAAAUUAUAGUAACAGUUGUCCCCCGGAAGCGAAUGAAAUGCUGAGAAAUUCUGCCAUCUUACUUGGUUGAAUUGACAUAUCUAAAUAAAUCAGCGCCAUCGGUGUAGUUGACAUGUGAAGCAGGAAGGAGAUGAGGAUCGGCUAAUAGCUCAUUCCCAUUUUCUAGGGCGUUUGCAAGAACCAUGCCUACAGCACCAGCCAAGAGCGCUUGCUGUCCCUUAUCUAUCCUCGCAUUAUCUCCGCGAAGGCAUACCAAGAUCUUUCCUUUCACCUUCUUAGGAUCAAGUGUUCCUGCCUCGCAUAGUAGGCUGCAAUGUGAAAUAAUUAGGUAGUUAAUCCACAUCUUUUUACAUGCUACAUAAGAUACCAAUGUAGUUAAAAUUAUUAUGUUCUCACGCGACUUCAGUUGAUGCAUUAGCUGCUUUAGCAUCUGCUGCGCUGAUUAGUGGGAAUAACUUGUUGCGCGGUAAGCCUUUAGAUGAUAAGCUUUGCCCCUUCAGAGUCAAAGUAUGUUAAUAUAUAAGUUCACGUUCUUUAAAAUAUGCUCAAAGAUUAAUUUCAAGCAUCGAAAAAAAAGGAAAGUCAUUAACCUUGUAGCGUUUGUUAUUGCUAACUACAACAUAGCUCGGAAAAUCUCUAUCCAUUGUGCUAGCGCCAACUGUGAUUUGCCAAGGCGCAAUAUUUGACACAGUGCUAUCAGUAGGACCAGAAUUACCCGCAGAACAAAUGACAACCAUUCCAUGCUUAACAGCAUGAAAAGAACCAAUUGCAGUGCUGUCAUUGAAAAAUUUGGAGGGCCCGCCACCGAGAGAAACAGACAACACAUCAACGCCAUCGUGAAUGGCCAUAUCAAAGGCUGCCAAUAUAUCGGCAUCAUAGCAUUCGUUCCCCGUCACAGGCGGCCAGCAAACUUUGUAAGCUGCUACUCUGGCUUUCGGUGAUCCUCCUUUUGCUGUUCCUUUGCCCAAGCCGAAAACACUUGCCUUGGCUACGAAGUUACCGCCAGCUGUUGACAAUGUGUGUGUUCCAUGGCCAUCUUUGUCGCGCGGAGUAUCAAAGGAAGAGUUGAGUGGUCCAACAGCAGCUGCGUAGCCUUUGUUGAAGUAUCUUGCUCCUAUUAGCUUCCUUCAGGGCACACACCAAUAAAAUUAAAUUACAAUUUUCAAUCCCCAAAUGACCUGUAAUAUUUUAGUCAAUUUACAGUAGAAACAUGAACAAUUCUGCCUGGUAUCUCAACUUGCAUAUAAAAUAGUGAAAUUGACGAUGCUUUGAUUAAAUCAUAAUUAAUCAUGCCAGCUAGAACUGAAUCCAAGUCAAUAGUAUGUGAGAUUUGCAUUGAAUUCAUAAAAUUAAGAUUUAUCCUCAACCGACGGAUUAAAAAACAAGGGAUUGACUUUCCACAACUAAAAUAUUAGACUUGUCAAAGCAGCAAGAUAGAUGUGCUAAUUACUAUUAUUUUUUUACAACUAAACUAUUAGACUUGUCAAAGCAGCAAGAUAGAUGUGCUAAUUACUAUUAUUAUUAUUUUAAUCUUGUAUUCAUUGCUUUUUUUGUAGGAAGAAUGAAUAGUGAUCAUUUAUGUUAUCAAAGUAAGCUUCAGCUUUAUGAGAAAUUUUCAAAUGAAUUUGUUUUGUGGUACCACUCCUACCCGCAGAGAAAGGAGAUUUAAGAUCCUUCAUUAUGAGAGUUUAAUCUUAAUUGAUUCCAUAAACAAAGUGUUGGGGACCAAUUACAAUGCAAAUUGAUGAAAGCUACUAUUUGAGAAAUUUUUAACAUAAAAAUUAACCCCAUUGACAAAAGGGGUAUUAAAGGGUGAGGAUUCAAAUUCAAUAAAGAUGCAAAAAGGGUUUUGAGAAUAAUUCUUAUCCAUUCAUGGAAUGGACAAAAGGUUUCAACAAGAAAAGCACUAGUGCAUAAGCAUGGAAACGUAUAGGAAUGAAUGAGAAAAACCUGUUGCAAAGAAACUUCGCAUCUUUGUCAUUUUCACAAAUUCCUUUCCACUUUGAUGGAAUCGGUCCCAAGCCUUCAUCACUAAAGCUUUUUGAUUCAGGCCAGACACCUAACACAACACAAUAAUCCCCAUUGAAGCAAAAGUGAUUCCUAUAACAGAAUGUCAAACUUGAUAGUGAAAGAGAAAGAAAUAAUAAAUUGGCACACCUGAUAUCAUAUAGUGUUUCAUAAUAACAUAUAUGUAUCUGGACCAUUUUUCCAACAAGAAAUCAAUCAUGUAAGUUCCCACUAUGGAUUAAAGAAACCAUUAGACCCAACAGCUUAAGUUGAUAAAUUAGAGUUUGCACAGGGUCUUGGCUCUGAUGCAAACCUAAAAAGUAAGAAUUUAAUUUCAAGUUACAUAAGGAGAAGAAUUCUUUAUUCUGCAACAGCUCGAUCAUUUUUUCCGAAAGUGGUUGUCUAAAGUUGAAUAUAUUAAACAUCUAGAAACCACUAAAUCAAAUAAUUUUGUCAUUGGUGAACUUGGAUUAGUCAAAAAGGAGAGUUUGUCUACAAACAUGGUUCAUAUGAAUUUCAAGUUUAUACUGUAUCAAAUUAUUAACAAUCAAAACAUCGUUUUCAAUUUUCUCAGUCAUAUUAUGGUGAAUUAUCUUUCUUUCCACGCAUGGAUAGAGUCAAAAAAUCGGAACUCUAAUUUAAUAAUUAUACCAUAUGUUAGAUCUAGUGGCUGUCAUGUAGUAUAGAUAAAUUAUAUUAAUAUAAAAAAAUUAUAUAGUAAACUAAAAUGGUCAAAUAAUUUUAUUUUAUUUUUCUAAAAAACAAAAACUAGAACUCACCAGUAUCAAGAUUUCCAAUAAUGGUAUCUUCACCAUAUCUUGCCUUCUUCCAGAUUGAGUUUGAUUCAACUCUGCCGUUGCGCUCGAGUCCAAGAAAUUCCCAUGAAUGUGUUGUGUGUAAUUUUCUUCCUUGAUUCAAGAAAACCGAAACAACUUUUGGAUGUUCUGCAUUAUGUAAAGAACCAAAAGCCAGUUACUCAUCAAGAAACAACACAAAAAUGCAAGAACAGAGAUGAAACAGAGGAGCCCUGUUUCGGUUUCUCACUUGCAAUCUCAGCUGCUACAGCAUCAUCUAGCUUUGCAGCAAAACCAUUGAUGUGUCUAGUGUAUGAGUAAAAGAUUGCAUCUUCAGGAUUGUCAUUACUGUUUAUGAAGUUGAAACAAUUAUGUCACUCAAAUUGGAUGCGAAUAAGAGACGUGCAAAUAGAUAGAUAUAUCAUAUGACCAAUUUUUCUUGAACUUAAAUUCAUUACCCAUGCAAAAAUGACCCAAGAAACUCAUAGUGAGACUCAGUGACUCGAUGUAGAUCAACAGCUGAUAAUUCAGGUCCAUGAGAGUGCGCACCUAAGUAAACAACAUAAGACUAGAUACAAGAAAGAUUAUGAAAUCAUUAGCAACAUUGGCUGCAAAGAGAGAGUUUCUAAUUUUUUUUUUUAAAUCACUAAUAAUGGAGGGAGUAAGAGGAUUAAAAUGCUUACCUUUUUGGCAGCAAUGGUGGGUCUGUAGCAUAGAGAAAAGAAAAGACAGGAUAAGAGGAAAAGGGAAGGAUUUAAAAUGAAAAUCCUCAUUGCUUGCUACUGCUAGUUGCUUUGCUACUUUGUUGUUGGUAUUGUGCUGCUCUGCUUCUCCUCCGUUUUUGUAGGGUCUCAUUUCUUUUUAUACACACAAUAAUGGAACAGAGGAUAGCAAUUUGAGCUGGGUAUGAUUAUGGUGCGUUUAGGAUUGAGGUUGCACUAAAGUAUUUGGUAAACACUAAUUGUUAUAGCUUGUAAGUUAUGUUGAUAUAAUUUUUCACUUAUAUAAUGAAAAAAUUAUUGUAUCUUUAAUAAUUUUGUCAAAAUUAUUAUUUAAAAUUUAUAUUUACUGCAUAUUAUUAAUUUUUGUUUGAUAGUUACAACUUUUUUUCCACAACAGUUGUAGCUUAAAAGCUACAGUACCUCAAUCCCAAACGAGAACCUUAACAUGUCAUCAUCAUCCUAAAAGUUACACUCAAUAGUCAAUACGAUACUAUUUUAGUAUAAUGUUAUGUCAUUACUAAUGUGAUUUCUAAGUGUGCGCUUUAGGUUAUAUGUUAAGGAAUCACAACCCUUAUCCUUAAAAAACAAGUUACUCAAUUUUUUUUUUAAAUUAUUCUAACCUUUCUUACUCUCUAAAAUAAGCUCAUAAGUUUUUCCUUUUUUUGUUAAAAAAAAAAAUUAGAAAUGGAGAUCAAUGUUAUAAAAAGUUAUUAACGAGAUCUUGACGAAUAUCUAAUAAGAUGGAUAAUAUAAUCUCUUCUCUUAUUUAACAUGUGAGUUAGGGCACAUGUUAAUGUAAUUCUAAGAUUGAAAUGUUCUUAAAAUUAUAUUUACGUCUAUAAUUUUGCAAAGACCUGCACAGAGAAAUUUUAUGAGUCAAAUUUUGAACGUGAAAUGUUCUGACUUUGAAGAAGAUACGGUGUAAGCAAAGCAAGAAUCUCAAAUAUCUCAACCUUUCCUUUCCCAUUUUUAUAUAGCCAAAGGCUAAAGCUCGUGUGCUAGUUGCCAAAAUAGUGUACUAGUAUAGCAAACAUAAUUGACCAAUCACUAACUGCCACAUGCAAAACUUAGGCUUCUUUACCAUAAGUUAUGGGCAAAACUAGGCCGGGCCCACCUCUAGCCAACUCAUCAAGGGCCUGUAAGUUGCCUUAUCUUUAUUGUGUGCGUAAAAUUAUAAUGAACUCAAAAUUUUCGUGUUUGAUUCUAAUUAAACAUCGUGAUAAGUAAACAAACCCAAAAUCAAAUAUAUCUCAAGGUACAUAUGGGUUUUUCCAAACAAUUUUCAAGUAAUAUUCCAAGAGAUUUCAUUCAAGUAAUGCAUCAUUCAUGGGUUUUCUCAAUCAUGAAAAUAUUAUUGACAAGUUUGAAUAAUUAAAACUAAAAUUUUAGGCUUUUUAUACUAACGAUAAAUAUCGAGAAUAUACUAGAAUAAACAAAUUCAAAAUAUUAUUUUAUAACAAAAUUUCCCUAGUCUAAAUAUGAAAAAUAAAAGAAACGGUACCCAAAUAUGAUAUCUAAAAAAAAGAUAAAAAUCUCAAAAAAAAUAAAAAAAUAGAAAAAUAAUUUAAAACAGUAAAAUAAUUAGAAAAGAAAUAGAAAUUUCAACUCGAUCACAAGACAUAACAACAAUAACAGUUUUGAGAUUUAAUUCGUCUCGUCGCAAGUUUUAAAAUAGUAUGUUACACUCCCAAAUGGUAAAUUUUAAUUUAGAUGAAUUAUUGAGGGGGUUAUCUAAAAUUUCAACGAUUGAAAGUAGUUAAUUUGUAUUUUAAAAGAGUAUAUUGAUUAGUAAAAAUGAAGAGAAGAAAUAGGCUGAUAGUAAUAGAUAGGGAUUCAAUUUUGAUCAAACAUUCCAACGUAGGUAAAUACAGAGACACGUGGAUUUGACUAUCUAUAUGUAUAUGGGAUGAUAAGGUAAAGGGAAAAAUUCAUUGUGGAAUUCAUCCUGUCAAAUUUGGAUUUCUCGCGAUUAUAAUUUUAUGCCCAAGCUGGUCAUGUCACUUUUUAUGGAAUUGAGCAACUGCGAAUAAACUGUGACCAUUACUAGGGCACGGUCAACAUGUACAGGGUUUUGUUGACCAAUGGAAUAUAGUGUCAAAAUUUUAGAAAUCAUUAUUUUCUCUGCACCGAAUUAUAUUCGCAUAUAUAUAUAUUCAUCCUAGUCAUCCUACAUACUAGCAUAAAGAUAUCUGGUUGGCCAAUGGAAUAUAGUGUUCAGUUGUCAAUUAAAAAAAUUGUUUUAAACUAUUGGUAUGUUUAGUUUUAUAUUACUAAAACUAUUUUUCAGAAAUUAAAUUACCAAUAAAAAUAUAUAAAAGAUUUAACUCCGUAAUCAUCCAAUUUUAAUAAAAUACACCAAACUAUCGAUUGAUAAGAAAAAUCAAUCAAUAAUAUCUUUCGUGUUCAAAAUUUAAAACACAAUAAUAGGAUAAUUUUUACUUUCCUCCCUUGAGUUUUGGGUUUUUUACACUUAGAUGGCCAAUAUCCAUUUAUUAGUAAAGCUCCCCUUACCAUCAAUUAAUUUUGUGCUUGACUGUUAGUUGAAUUGAAAAAGAUUGAAAUGCCCCAGUUGGAUUUUCAAGAACUUUCACAUCUCAUACAUUGGGCGCGAAAAUUAUAACAACCAUAAUAUUACCAUUAUACUCCUUAAAUUUAGAUUAUUUACAAUUGCACUCAACAAAUAAAAUGAUAAUUCUAAUCCUAAUCAUAAGUUACAUCAACCAAAAUACUCAUUUAAAAAGGUCAAAAGUUUAAGUCAAGUUAAAAGAAAUACUCACGAUUGCAAUUUGAUCGUUGGAUCCCAACGGUCACAUUGCCACAUAUUUACCUAUUUAAAGGCUUAAAUACAUAGCCUUGUUUACAAGCAUCACUACUUCCUCUCAACACUUUGCAAGCUCAACUACAUUUCUGUCAAUCUUUCAAUCUCAACAACAUGGAUUCAGAGGGCUCAAGUGUAGUAACCAACAAGAAGAAUAGAUAUAAUAAAGGUAGUAUGAAAUGGAGGAGUCAAGUUAAUGGAAAUCAAUGUUAAAGAAAAAGUUAAAAUUUAGUAAAUAGAAAAUGCAAAGUGUAGGUGAUUGGUAAUAACACAAAAAUGCAGCAUAUCAUCUAUUAGAUGCCAACAAAUUUAGUACAUAACAGAACUAUACAGAUUCAACACCAUCUAACUAACUUAAAGAGACUUAUCAUUCUAUAUGAAAACAUUUCAAGUUGUCGGAAUAACAUUAUAUCAAUUAUCUAAUUUAAGACUAUUGAGGCAUAUCUUACAUUAUGCAAUUAAAAACAAUUAUCAUUAAGUGUUUUAAACUUCAAUUUUUCAGCUUUGUAUAACUGUCAUUAAGACCAAAAAAAUUUGUUUAUACUUUCCUACAUUUUUCAUGCCUAUUAAAACUCAAUUAAAAAAGUACAUCAUGAAUAUUACAUGGCAUAAAUCGAAUGCACAAUCUACCAUAUAAGUUGAAACCAUAUGCUUGCAAAAUACCCAAAAUGGCACAUAUUGGAAAAUUUUUAUGUUGGAAAUUUUUUUCUCAAUUUUAUAUUUCACAAUUCCAUAAACAUUAUCAAAGUUGUGUCAAUAAAUAAAGAAUGAAGCAUCCACUUGACAUUUACAAACAACUCACAUAGUAUCAAUACACUCUAAAUGGAGCCCAAAAAAAAAAAAAAAAGCUUUGUUCAAAACUAACCUAUUAUUAGUUUCAACAUAGUGAUUCAAGUCUUUCGGGUAUCGGUGAAAUUCAGAGCGGUACAUGAUGUAGGUUUGAUAUUUCUUCUUCACUUUAGACAAGUAAUAGAUACUGCUUUGUUAGAAAUAAAGAUUUUUUUAACCUCCUAAACAGAGCUCUCAGCUAAGCUUCAUGAAAGAGAAACACUCAAUUUGAGAGAAAAGAGAGGAAGAUCUAAGCUUUGAAUUUUUUUACAAUUUUUUAUUUAUAUGAAUAUUUACAAGACACGAUUUUUUCGUAAUGAUUUGACAAUUCACUGUGCUCAUGUCAAUCAAAAUGCGCAAAAGUUAUGCUUGUCAAAUUAGAUUACCAAAUUGCCCAUAACUAACCAUAUGAGAACUACCGUUUGCAUUCCAUAGGGGAGUCUUUACUACUAAUAAAUGGAUCUUGGUCAUCUAAGUGCAGAAAGCCCAAAGUUUAGGGGAGGAAAGUAAAAAUUACUCCACAACAAUAAUAUAGUCUUCCAAAUAUAUAGUUCUAGACAAACGGUAUCAAUUAUUAUUACAUAAAAAAAAACAAUGCACAUAUAAAGCAAAGAUAAAAAGAAUGUCAAAUGAAAAAUAAUAGUGUACAUAUAAAACAUAGAAUUUCAUUUCCAGGAACAAAAAAGAGCAACACCGAAAUAAAGACAGAAGGCACCCGGCAACAGCAAGUCCAAUAAUUCAAAAAAAGCAAAAAAUUAAAAAAAAAAAAACAACUUAUGCUGUGUUCGUCAACAACUUUAUACACACACACGUAUAUGAAAUUAAUAAAAUUAUGUACGUUUAUUUUUAACAUUAUAUAUAAAAAUGAGAAGCUAUUUUGUCUUUACUAUUAAUUUGAACUUUUAAUAAUAAAGACAAUAGUUUUUAGAGAGCUCAAAAAAUUUAUAUUUCAAAAUUAACAAAACACCACAAUUUUUUUUUAAAAGAAAAGCACAUAUGACCUUUACAAAAGGCAAUACCAAAAACGUACUUAAAAAGUUUUCAUAUUUGCUUAGGCCUUGACCCUAUAAUGGUCCACUGAGAGAAACUAUAUAAGUUUUACCUUAUUUACUCGUGAUGCUAUUACCACCCCUUUAUUAUCCUUUUCGAACUUAUUUUUUAAUUGUGUUCGGGUGGGAUAGUUUAAACCCACCAAACUACUCAAUAUUCAUGUGGCUGGAGCAAUACCAGAAUUCGUAAAAGGAAAAUUAUUUGUUGCAUUUUUUAUUUUUCAUAUUCAAUAAGUGAGACCUUUUUUUUCAUAUAUUGUGGCAUAUGUCUCUAGCUUCGUGACGAUGAUGAUAAUAGAGGACGAUUAAACAUCUAGAUUUCAUGACAGAGAGACAUUCUCUCAUGGAGAUAAAAAUUAUUUUAAUGCUUUAGGUAGAACUUACAGUCGUAGGAAGAGAAACGAGUGACGAGUUUCGUUUGCGUUGGGAACAUUUUUGUUUUUUAAGGAAUACUAAUUUUUUUUCCCCUCCCAAGUGUUGGUAUUGAUUUUUUAUGAUUUUUUUUUAAUUCACCGGACAACUCGUUUUCCCUUGCAUACAUAGUUACAUACAAUUGUGAACUCUCUUCCUCAUAUUUUCAUUCUAAAGAGGUGCAAAUUCUAGGCGAGUUCUAAUCGGAAAAAAAAAAAUUACAAACACAGAGAUAAAAAUCACUAUUUGAAUAUAAAGAUGGAUUCAAAGAGUAAAAUUUAUAUACACACACGAUAAUUAUAAUUUGAUUUAGAAAUAUUUUAAUAAUUAACAAUUAUUUUUUAAAGGUAGAUAUAGUGAAUAAUUUGGUGAGGUAAAAUAGUCCCACUCUUUAUGUCCUAUUUAAUUCAUAAAAUAACCUUCAUUGUUAAACUUCCUUAAUAAACCAUGUGAGUGACUCUCUCUCUCCCCCAUUUCAAUCUUCUUGGAAUAUCAUCUCUCAGCAGAUUUUCUUCCUCUGUAAACACCAAUGAUUGAUUCUCUCAUUCCAUUUCAAAAAGAAACAAAAUGGGCACAAAAUAUGAUUGUUCUCUAACAUGUUCAAAAAGUUAAUAAUCUAUGACAAAACUAUAUUUCCCCAAAAAAAAAAAAUUGUAAAUAAGUGAGUAAACUUAUUUUAAAUCAAAUUCUUACUUUUUUAAUUGCCUUGUUUUUUGUUUGUAAACCUUGUAGAUUUAAAGAGUUUGUGAUGGAGAAAGAAAACAAGAGCAAAACCAGAGGCGGGUUUAAUUAGAUAGGUUUUAAAUCUCUUACACAUUUUAAAAUAAAAAGGAUAAAAUUAUAAAUGCAAAGCAGUAGGGGUUUUAAAAGAGAAAAGAACGGGUGCCAGUAGGGUCAAUCUUUACCCAGAGACAGGGUGGACCAAUGGGCCUUGUCAAAUCAGGGUCAAAAACUUCAAGCCCACAGCCGGAGAGCACGUGGUAGUUCCGGCACGCGAAUGGGUCCCAAAAGCCAAGCUGUCAAUCUCCUAUGAGCAAUGUUUUUUUAAAUUUAAAAAAAUAGGCCCUCAAACGGCCGUAAGAAAAUCCGUUAAACCACCCAGAACGAGGCAGUAAUUUGUCCCAUGCGCUGGCUCUGGCUCCGUCUAAUACAGGUCAAAAGGCCGUCAUGGACUUGAUUUGACUCACCCCCACGUUGUUAUCAUCAACCAUCCCUAACACGCAGUGAUGCAGACACGCAGGUCCACAUUUUUUAUAUUAUUAGAAAGAGACAAAAGUGUUUAAUCCUCCAAAAAGCAAGAAUUGGGGUUUAAUUUUAGCAUUAUUGAAGCUAAUAACGGACUAUUAUUGAAAGUAUUAAUUGUCUAGUAAUAAAGUAAUGAUGCUCCUAGUAAUAGUGGCCGUCUCUAUUUACACUCCAUCUCUUAUCUCUGUAUUUUCUGUUGUCUUUGCUUACUUCAUUUGUCUUUAAAAUCCCAGUUUAAGCAAAACUAGAAUCUCAAAUCAAAAGCGAAAGUGAAGUGAGUGUUUGGCUACGUAGAAAGUGGAGUCAUAAAAAAUUUCCAGAUAUAGCUCAGGGGAGCAUUUGCUUAAUUGAUUUAUUCAGCUGACAAAAUUUUAACUGCUUGAUUUGAGUUUUGCAGGAUACGCUUUGAUCUGCCUGGCUCCCUGGAUGCCAAGUAAGAAGCUUGUCGACAUGUGUCGAUUUCUCAUUAGUUGGCAUCAGAGGAGCCAUGCAGAUGCACCAAUGCCCGCCCUCCGAUUAAUCAGAUGAAAGGUUGGUACGAUAGAGCUAAUAGUCUUUUGAUAUAAUUUCUAUGGAAAGUGUUCGCAUGUUGUGAAAUUCAGAUCAUUUGACGCUAUACAAUGAAGCAUAGAUGCUAAAACUACGGUUUAUAGCAUUAAAUCUGAAUAUUUCUAACGUGUAAACAUCCACACUUGAGAAUUAUUGGUUCAUCUGGACUGAUUGCUCCUCCACGCUAUGAAUUCCAAUCUCUCCGAAUUUAGCUAACUCUGUUUCUCAGCGUCCCUGUAUGUGGCUCGCUGUGUAUGUGUAUAUGUAUAUUUGUUUUUACAGGAUGGAGCAACUGUAGGGGUCAUAGUCUCUAACCACGCAAACAUCGUAAUGAGGCAGUGGCGCCGCAACAUGAUAAUUAGGCCACACCACUGGCUCCGGAUUGGCCUCAAUUUUUUCAUCAUCCAUGCUCUGUUCACCAGCACCAGCACCAGCACCAGCAGCGCCGACGCUCACCACCUCCGCAUAACCCACCUUCUUUCUUAACGAAGUCGUGAGCGCAACCGCAUCUACCCCGUCUCCCGUCACCUCUAUUUGGCUCAUGUCGUCUCCUUUCAAUGCCACUGAUUCCACACCUAAGCAUGAAGAAAUGAACCAUGACAUAAUCAUUGCGGAUUUCAAUUAUAUGAAAACUAAGUAAUAGUUAAUUAAUGCGGACUCGUGCAUAAUUGGUCGCAAUUUAACACUGGAUUGCUACUACCAAUGUACAAGUUUGUAAAAAGAUGUCAGCAUUAGAAAACGAUUAUUUUACCUGAAAAUCCAACUGCGACCUUUAGGGCCUUCGAGCGGGACUUGUGCUUAUUCAUAUAAACUUUGAUCACCAUCUUUUGCUGCAACAAUUAAACCAAAGUUAUAAAGAACAGCAAAUAUUGACUAAACUUUAACACGCAACAAACACUUAUGAACACAAUAAUUUUUGAUAUUUUAACUUUGUACACAUAAUUAGUUUAAUUAUCACAGGGUUUUAUACCUUCAUGGUCUUGCUCUGUUGGAAAUUGUUUUGAUUCUUGAUUUCUUUAGGAGGUUUGAAGGCUUGGAGCUGUGUUGGGCUGUUGGCUAUUAUUGUGCAUUUAUAUAGCGCCUCUUGUGGUUCUAGUUCAGAAGUCGUAUAGAGGGCAAUUUCUUGGUGAUCUCAAAGAUAAUGACAACUUAAAUUCAUUGUACCUUCAUUCCAACUAUUCAAAAUUAAAAGCAUACACUUUGCUUUCUAGAAAUCAAAUUUUUAUUCAACCUAAUAAUAACAUGAAGAAUUUUUUCCCAUAAUAAAAACAUCAUUAAUUGUAGUAGGUUCUUCAGAAUUAUAUAAAUUUUCGUUGUUAAAUUGGGACUGGAUCUGCACAACAUUAUUAUAUAGCCAAAUGGAUUUAAGACUAUUGAUAAAUUUCUUUCGUUUAAGAUUCAUUAUGAUAUCUACCAAUUAAAAAACUGAAGUGGCAAUGUUCCUAUUUAAUUAAAUAAGUAGGAAAUGAAUGAGACCAGAAAUGUUCACAUUAUGACUUUGACUAUGCAAUGGAAAACGAAGGCAUGUGGAAAGACUAACUAGUGAACUUAGCAAUUAGUAUUAAAUUAUGACCACCAAAUAUGAUAAUGAACAAACAAAAGGUCGAUGACGUUUGACAUGUUAACCAUCCCUAAUUUGUCUUCAUUCAUUUAGCUUUACAGUCUCAAAGUCAUUGUAAAACUAAUUUUGUAUUUGGCAAAAGUGGGUGAAAUAGUCCAAGUAGUUUUUUUUUUUUUUAAAAAAAAGAUAUUAUCAUUUUAUCACUUAAUUUUUUUAAUAUGUUACUUUAUCAUUAAAAUUUUUAAGCAAUUAUUUUUUCCACUUAAUAUUUUAAUUUUUAUCGUUAAAAAUAAUAGAACUUUUAACAAAACUUUGAUUAAAAAUCUGUUUUAUCCCUAAGAUCUGUAAAUGCUAUUUAAUCCUCUAAAAUAAAAUAAUAUAAAAUUAAUUAUAGAUAGAGUAAUAAUGCUUAUAUUAGUUAAUUAGUUUAUAUAUCUAAAAUAAUUAAUUGAUAAAAUUAAAAAUAUUUUAAUACUUUUGGCUUAAUAGAUUGAAGUUCCUGAAGUACAGCUGUGAUAUCAAUAGUUUCUUCACAGAUAAUAGAUUGGUGAUAAAAUGAUAAAAGCUAAAAUAUUAGGUGAGAAAAAGUAAUUAUUAUAAAAUUUUGAUGGUAAAGUGAUAUUUAAAAAAAAGGUAAUAAAAUGAUAAUAUUUCUUUUGAGAAAGAUUUUCGAAGGUUAUGUGGCAUGACUCUUGUCGCCUUCCAAAUUAUAACUUUUCUCAACUUUAAAAUAGUUUAUUGUUUUGUGGUGUAAGUUUUAUUUGCUAAUAAAUUCCUCUUGAAUUUGGUGCAUUUUUUGAGAAUAAAAUUACUUCAACAAUCAAGAGCGAGAACGAAUGGCGUAAUCUCAAAAAAUUUCGCCUAAUUUCAGCAUUAUCGAGCCAAUAAUGAACCCUUAAUUCAGAGAUUAUGAACAAUCAUUAAGACUGUUUUAAUAAGUUCUUUGCUGCAAUAAAAAAAAAAAAGAGAUUCUCAAUUUUUUCUACUGAAAUUAUAAAAUACAAUUUAUCCCCCUACUGCAAUUAGUAAGAGAUUCUCAAUUUUUUCUACUGAAAUUAACUGUUUUAAUAAGUUCUUUGCUGCAAUAAAAAAAAAAAAGAGAUUCUCAAUUUUUUCUACUGAAAUUAUAAAAUACAAUUUAUCCCCCUACUGCAAUUAGUAAAUAUCACUUAUCUGUAGUUUAAUAAUCAAUAAUCUUCCUGACAUCAUAACUUUAUAGUGUUAUCUUUAUUUUCAAAUACACUUUUAUUCAUAUUUAUUAUUAAUUAAAUAAAUUGUAUGAACAAAAAUUAAAAUACUAAAAAAAGAAUAUAAGUUUUGAUGUGAAAAAAAUUAAUAAUAAGAUAUUUUUAAGUAUCUUUACUUAUAAUUAAUAUAUAUUUUAUAUUUAUAAGAUAAAAUAUUAAGUAAAUGACUCAUUUACCGAUUUACACUUCUUUUCCUUUAAAUUAUUUUAUGCCAAAAGAGUUAUUAGCUAUUAUAAAAAUAAUAUGGAGUAAGUAAUGUAUAGUAAUCUAAAUAGAGGAAAGCUAACAAACGAGGGUGGACAUUGAUUUGGUUCGGUUUCGGGACAAACUCUCAAUUUUGCCUGAGGGAAAUGGAGGACAUGGUCUUAGCCCCGACUUUAGUGUUGCUGGCCCGCGGGCCUCUGGUUCAAAGAAGUACUUUAAAUUAGUGAAUGGAAGCAAGUAUCGUAAGCAGUACUCUGCUCGCUAUCUCACUUUCAUACGGUUUCUUUCGUUAGGCUUUACAGUGUUCUCCCGCUUAUUCUUUGUUUCUUUUAUUUACUUUUGCUAAUUUUUUCUUGUUGGCUAUUUCUUUCUUGAGUUAGAGAGUUUGGUUUAUAUACCCCGAAUAUUUUUUUUUAUUUUUAAUUUACAAGUAAGGGAGUCAUGCUUAGCUCGCACACCCCAUGGGGGGUUUUUAAUUUAAAAAAUCCUCCAAUAUUAUUAGUGUAGAUGGAGCACACGUUUGUUUUUUUGUUUUUUAAAGAGAUUUUCUUUCAAAAAAGGUAGGGGAAUAGGAAAGUGGAUAAGCAUAAUUUUUUAUACCUAAUCAAAUUUAAACAGCCAAGUAAAUAAAAUUGAUUGAUAACUAAUUGCUCGAAUGUCCUUGGGAGUAAUCUUCUUUCAAAGAGACCUAAAAUUAAAACCAAGAGAGUAAAGAUAUUUUUGCAGGAUUUAGAUAAUCCACUAUAUUUCAAUAAGCUAGAAAAUUUUAACAAAUUUUCACAUCACCUUGCUGAUCUCUACUUUCUCCCACAGUAAUUAAAAAAAGUUUUUUUUUUUUAAUAGUAAAUCAAUUAUUUAUAUAUUCACACAACAAAUUACAAUAUCAAUACAGUAUUAAACUGCAUGCUUCUCCCCUGGAAACGCAACCAAUUAAUCAACUUGCUUCAUCAGAAUUUCAAUUCCCUUUCUUUCUUUUUGUUCGUCUAUCAUCUCCAACCCCAAGGUCACACUAUAACUACCCCAAGUGCAGUGCAAAUUUUAAUUUCUCAAAUCCUCUGUGUCAUGUCUCUGUUUCUCUUCUCACAUGAUGGAGCAGGGGUCAGCGUAUCGAUCAGCAGAAACCACAUGGUAAUCAUAGUGAGGCACCCACCCGCCGUAAUAGGGAGGCAAGUAUUGAGGUGGUUGUGGUUUGACCUCAGGAUUCUUUGGUUUGUUUUCAUCUUUCUUCUCACCGGCGGGACCAACGCUCACCAGCUCUGCAUAUCCGACCUUCUUUCUCAGCAAACUAGUCAGCAAAACAGGGUCCAUCCCAUCUCCAGUCACCUCUAUCUGGCUCUUGUCGUCUCCUUUCAACGACGCCGAUUCCACUCCUGUAAUAAACAAUUAUAUAUUUAGUACCCAGAUACACUGUAUGUUUGCGACUGUUAUGCUUCUGCUUAAUAUAAAAU
This 89971-nucleotide long non-coding RNA is filed under the name Citrus sinensis (sweet orange). RNAcentral's name for it is "long non-coding RNA (CSIN_LNC000758)". The stretch from base 85371 to 85457 matches the Rfam family "mir-160 microRNA precursor family". Lineage: Eukaryota; Viridiplantae; Streptophyta; Magnoliopsida; Sapindales; Rutaceae. The record is from RNAcentral.